Molecule: long non-coding RNA, 89565 nt
Filed under: Phoenix dactylifera (date palm)
Lineage: Eukaryota; Viridiplantae; Streptophyta; Magnoliopsida; Arecales; Arecaceae
Description: long non-coding RNA (PDAC_LNC003194)
Rfam family: Bacterial small subunit ribosomal RNA (bases 3096-3395)
Source: RNAcentral
UUUGUGUUUGAGACUUAAGAUUUUUAUAUAGUCUCAGAUAAUCCUGGUUACUCCAGGAGAGGCUCAUGGAAGCCUCAAUAUAGCUUACCUCAUGAAGGCCAUAAUAACCUACCUAUGGUGGCAGCCUCUAAAAUCGGCAACCUCAAAAGGACCCGACAAGAAUAUCUGGCACCUCAUACUAGAUUAAUUUAAAUUAUCUGAUUUAUAAAAAAAAAAUUGGUGACGUAUAUUAAUUUAAAUUAUCUGAUUUAAAUUAUCUCAAGCUUUCUUCUGAGCAAAACCAGGGGCGCGUCCUCCGUGCUUCCGUGGCGCAGCCAUACGUGUUCUCCUUUCACGCGCGCACCCAAGAACUCCGCCGCUCUCUCUCUCCCUCUCGUUCUCCAUUGCGACUCUCUCCCACGCCAUGCUAAUGCCUCGCUCGUUUGUCGCCGUCUCCUUCUUGCUUCCACUCCGUGCCAUCCCAAGCGGCCUCAUCACCCCUCUCGUCUUGAUUCCUCGCUUCCUCCCUUUCUUCUUCUUCUCUUCCUCUCUUCUUCUUCUUCUUCUUUUCUUCUUUAUAUAGUGAGGAGAAGAUAUUUAAGAAAUCUAAUGAACUUCUGAUCCCUAGACGUGAUUUUUUUUUUCUUGAUCUUGUUCUUAUUCUUCUUCUUGAUAGUUGAUCGUCGUGAUGAUGAGAUUUUUCUUCUUUUUGUUUCUUUAUCUCUCUCUCUCGUUUCGCACGGCGUACGUCUUCUGCUCACCCAUGCCUCAACCCUCUUAUCCUCGCUUCUCUCUUUCCUCCUUCUCCGCGUUUAGAAAGCGGACACGGCGGAAGAAGAAGCCCGGCCUCAACAUCUUCUUCUCUUGUCCUCGAAGCAGCUUUUCCACUUCUUCUUGAUAUCUUAAUGCUUCCUGAUCUCCUAAUUUCCUUGAUUAUAUGCGUCGGUUUGAGUUGAACUGUAGAUUUUGAAGUUUUGAUCGGUGAUCGACAAUCACGGUAUGGAUUUUGUUGAGAGAUUUGUAAAUUAUAGACCAUAAUAGGAUGGUUUGCUGGGAUCUAAGAGGAGCUUCUGGCUCUCUUCAUAAUGGCAGUUGUGAAGAUUUUAGAUUAUUAGGUUCUGAAGAACACCAGUAAGGUGAUUGAAUCAUUUGGACUUUUGAUAUAUGCAAGAUAGGUAACUUAACUUUUCUUUGUCCUUGUUUUGUGAAAUAGAAAUCAAAUUUUUCUUUAUGUCAGGUAUGUAAUAAACAUUAUUCACAGAAAUAGAAGAACUAGUAGAUGACAUAAGUGAUCGAUCACUAAUAUUUUUGAUAGGAUAAAGUGAGUCAUUAGUAGUAGCAAUAGCACGAGAACUAAUAUAAUCAUAUAGAAAAUCAAAUAUCUCUCAACGACUAAUAAGAUGAUUAGAACACCCAUAUUUAACAAUCCAAUCAUGAGCAAAAUCAAUGUCUAGUACUUAAGAAGAAGUAGAAAUACGUGCAUGAUGGCUAUCAAGAUAACUAUAAUCAACAAUAGUAGAAGUGAGAGCUCAACUUUCAGUUUUUUCUCUCAUCCAUGCUCUGAUAUAGAGAUACAAUAUUAGAUUGUUUAAGCUUCACCCAGCAAUCUUGAAUUUUAUGGCCAAAUUUUUAUAACUAUGAUAAUUUCUCUUGAAUUUAUAAAUUUUCUUAUGAUUAGGAUUAUUAUCCUUCUCAGAUUCUCCAAUUAGCCUUUUUUACUUCUGAUUGGUGUGCCGUCAGUUAAAUCUUGCUAUCGACAGAUCCGAUAGAUUCGUUCUUCCUCCUGUAAUUGAAAAGAUACUCAAUCUCAGUUAUAUAUUCUAGAUUAUAUUUGGUUUGUAGAAUUUUGAUACCAAUAUGGCUAGCUUUAAAGCGACAAAAAAUUUCGAAGAAAAGGAAUUGCAGGUACACAAUCAACACCUAACUUUCAAUGCUGGACCUUCUUCCUCUCAUCUUAUGGAGGAAGCUAUUAUUUCAACUCUAGAAAAGCGUAUUUGUACCAAACUCUUUAAAGAUAAAAUCGCAAGAAAAAUCCAUCGCUCGAGUAUUGUAUCUUUAAGACCAAUCAAAUUUUCAUUGCUUUCAAGUUUUUGAACUUUUAUUUUUCUCUUAUUUUUAAAGAAAUGCAGGAAAGCCCCUGACCUCUCUUUAGAAAAAGGAUGCCUAGGAGAUAACCUACCAUACAUAGAUCUAUAUCGUUAACAUGCCUUCCCCUCGAUUCCUAAACAUUUCAUCAUUUUUAUUUUAAGACCAUCCGACAAAACAUAAAGAAGUGAUAAAUGACUAUCUCUAAAUGUAUGAUGUUUUUAUAUCCCUUUAGAUCAAGCUGAAAGCUAUUGUUUCGACACCAAAAAAGCGUAUUCAUACUGACCUCUUUGAAGAUGGAACUCGCAAGAAAAAUCCAUCAGUCGAAUAUUAUAUCUUUAAUACUAAUCAAUUUUUCAUUACUUUCAAGUUUUUUAGCUUUUAUUUUUUUCUUACUUUAAAAAAAUGCAGGAACAUACAUGACCUUCCUUAGAAAAAAGGAUUUUUUUGAGGUAACCUACAAUGCAUAGAUCUAUAUCGUUAAUAUGCCUUCCCAUCGAUUCCUAAACAUAUCUUUCUUUUUUUGUCCGACAUCCUACAAAACAUAAAGAAAUGAUAGAUGGUUAUCUCAAAAUGCUUGAUGCCUAUAUAUCCCUUUAGAUCAAGUUGGGAUAACGGAAUUAGAAUCAUGAAGCACCACUACACACCGCAGUAUUCAACCCUGUCUUCUACUAGUUUUACACGUAUGUAUAAAUUUUUUUAAAUUACCUAGGAGCUAAAUGUUUCUCUCUAUUUUUCUUAAAAUGUAUUCGUAGCAUGGGUACAUUGCUAGUUUUGACAAUACGGCAAAGUCUCAGUCUAAACCAUUGGCAUUAGGAUUUUUAGAAUUAGGAUUUUAUAGUAGUUUACUAUGGCAACUCUUUUCAAGCCAUGAUACUUUGAACUAGUUGUUUUAAACAUUGUAAAGAGAUGAGCAAAUGAAGAGAUUUAAUCAUCCUUUCUUUGACUGUAAAAUUAAUGGCCAAAGAAGUCAACUUUUUGUUUGAAAGCCAUGAAUUUCUACAUAUUAUAGAUGAAUGCUAGUGGCAUGCUUAACACAUACAAGUCCGAUCGGAAGUAGUGUUUCUAGUGGCAAACAGGUGAGUAACGCAUAAGAACCUGCCAUUGGGAGGGGAACAACAACUGGAAAUGGUUGUUAAUGCCCCAUAGGUUGAGGAGCAAAAGGAGGAAUCCACUCGAGGAGGGGCUCGUGUCCAAUUAGUUAGUUGGUGAUGCAAUAGCUUACCAAAGCGAUGAUCAGUAGUUGGUCUAAGAGGAUGAUCAGCCACACUAGAAGGAUCAAAAGAAUUAAACAUCUUGCUCUUUCUUUAAAAAUUUCUGAUCUCUAGUGGACCUCAAAGUUUGUGAUCCCCAUAAUAGGAAACCAUUUCACACAAUUCUGAGGGCACUUGAAUAAGCUGCUGACACUCGGUUGCGUCUUUACCCCUAUCCAAUUUUUGGGCUUCCAGUAUGACCAAAGAUUUUCUAUCUACAUCCAGAAUAAUGACACAAUCAAGUUGUUGGUUCGACCCUAAAUUGAUCCUCUUCUUUUUCCUUCAAGGACCAGAGAAUGUUAAACUCUUGGCGGGCUGCUAGGUUUCGCUUACGCUAUAGUUCAAAAGAUUGCACCUUAAUUAUUCAACCGAAGUGUUAGGGUUCCAGAGCAUGAGGCAAUGUUUAGCAUUUUCGAGACCAUGCAAAUGAAUUGAUUUGUUUGUUAAGAGAAAGAAUUUAAGGUUAGUAACUAUCAAUAAGUUAGACCAAUUUUAUAAAUAAUGUUUUUAUUCUAUGUUUGCAAGCUUUGAAAAUAAGUUAUGUCAAAACAUAGGCCAACUGCAAAUAUAGUCUACUUUAGAGACUAAGUGUUGAACUAAAGACCAAUUGCGCUCUAUAUUGUUUGUAGAACUACGUCAUCAACUUGAAAUACAGAUAGAGACCUUAGAGCAAGAUCACUACAAGAAAAUACACUUUCAGUGACCACGUUCGGCGACUAAAUGAAUAUUGGUCGCUGCAAAUAAGGCUAUUUGCAACCAACAUCCUUGUUAGUUAUUGAAUGAUUGUCCUACACCGACUAAAUGCAUAUUUGGUCGCGGAAAAUUAAAACCAAAUUGGCGGGGUGGAGGUAAAACGUUUGGCGACUAAAGUUUGGUCGCUGAAAAUAAGGCUAUCUGCGACCAACAUUCCUGUUAGUUGCUGAAUAAUUGUCCUACACCGACUAAAUACAUAUUUGGUUGCGAAAAAGCAAUACCAAGUUGGCACGAGUCCAAUAUUUCACGCGGGCUGGAGGUAAAACUUUUGGCGACUAAAUUUUGGUCCUUAAAGGUUCACCUCCAGCGACUAAAAAAAAUUUAGUCCAGAAAAACUUUUAUGAAUGGCGUCUUUUUCCGAUGAAAAAAUUGGGCAGAAAGUUUGAGUUUUUUAGUGACCAAACUUUUGGUAGUGGAAGAUUUCCGUAAAACCGAACGAUGUUGUACUAGCUCCUAUAAGAUGCUAAUUUCUAAGUUCAAAAAAAAAAAACACCUUAAUUCACUUAGGCAUAUCCUCGUCUCUUCGGCUGAAUCUCAAUCCCACAACUUUUCUUCAUACUUAAAUUCUUUUUUAUUUUUAUUACUAUAAUAUAAUUUUAAAGCUCGAGCUCGGUGCUUGACUCCUUGUCAAAUUAAUAUACAGAUCGACAGAAUACACAUCAUGCGGACGUGGGAUCGGGAAUCCGCUUAGAAAUAUAUAGAAUUCUUGGACAUCCUACGGGCAGGAUCUUUUUUUCAUUAGCCCACCCGCAUGGCGGAUCGAAAAUCCACUUAGAAAUAAAUUUGCACGCAUCCUUGUUAGUUACUGAAUGAUUGUCCUACACCAACUAAAUGCAUAUUUGAUCGCGGAAAAUCAAAACCAAGUAGGUGCGAGUCCAGUAUUUCGCGCGGGCUUGAGGUAAAAUUUUUGGCGACUAAAUUUUGGUCCCUAAAGGUUCACCUCCAGCGUCUAAAAAAAAUUUAGUCGAGAAAAGUAUGCAUAUAGGGGACGUCGUAUGAGAAACCAAACAAAUCCUAAUUCCCUAUUCCUCUAUUCGGCUUUAACUCCUUGCCUUCACCCGUCGCCGUAAUUAAUUCCUUCGCCCGUUCGCCGUUCCCUUAUUCAGAAUCCCAAAUCCCUCCCACUCGGUGCUAGCCAAGCCUUUUUCGCUUCCGAGUUCCUGCCCUAUAUCUGGAGAACAGGAAGACCCUGUCCGGCUGCGGCGGUGGAACCUCUGGAGAAGACCCUGUCCGGCUGCGGCAGUGGAACCUCUGGAGAAGACCCUGUCCGGCUGUCUGCGCGCCCGCGAGUCUCUUCGACGUCCCAAGGUAUAUCUCCUCCGGAAUUUGUUUUAGCAUAGGCCGGGAGGGCUUUUGUAAGAGGGUAACAAGGCCGGGCUUGAGGGAGAGGGAGAGGGAGAGGUGGGGGUCGUCGGGGGUUGUCGGAAGAUUUGGAGGCGAGGCGGGAGAAGAAGAAACCUAGGAGGGCUUCUUCUCCUCCGCCGCCGCCGCAGCCACCGCGGAGGAAUUUUCCUCCUUCGCCAGGUCCAUUCCGGCCNNNNNNNNNNNNNNNNNNNNGCUCUGAUGUCCCCAUCACCGAUACAUAUACCUCUCUGUUAGACCUAGAUCUGAAUAGAGAAAUACAGAAUCAAUGCAUAGAGAGAGAGAGAGAGAGAGAUACCUCUCGGUUAGAUCUCGCUCAUCAGAUGGUCGUCGACGUACCGUUGCCAAGACAUCUUCGUUAAUUCCUUGUAUUUUCUCUUCGUCGUCUUCUUUCUCUUCUUGGCUCUGACUCUCUCCUUGUAUUGCUCUUUCUUUCGCCUUUCUAAAUUUGGGGUUUGAGCAAGAACAGUAGUAGGGGAAGGAGAAUGGAUCUCGGGUGUUGCUCCACCUGAUCGAACUAGCUAGUGUCCUUCACGUCUGCCUUCGUUCCAGGGGUGUAAGUGGAUUAUCUGUAGAAGGCGCAUGUCAACGAUAUCAGACUGAUCAUAUGGAGACAAAAAGAGACAACAGCUUCAGAUCAGAAAAGGUGACAGCAGCGUGUAAGUCUCCAUUGAUGUUUUCUGGUGCCUGGAAGAUUCAACAAAUGUUAACGCAAAUCCUUGAAGUUUCCACUCUCUGCACCCUUGAAGGUGAAUCUGAACUGCACCCUCACAGGACGGAUGGUGGUUGCUAGGUAGGGCAGAAGAAGGGGAAGGAUGAUAGCUAGUUAGGGCCAAGAGGAGAGAUCGCAUGAUGAAACCGGCCACACUCAACAGCCAAUCACCAAGGGCCCUGCGCAAGCCCGGCACAAUCAAAAGAUUUAGUUGCAAAUUUCAUUCGAAAUUCUGCUCCAACAAACUACCCUUUCAUGGAGAAGCAUAAGUAUUUGAUCUGUUCUUUCAUGCAACGUGAUGAGAGAGCAUAGAGUUUAUGUAAAAUUCAUAUCAAUUUCGCCAAAAAAAAAGAAAAAAGAACUGAACAUGGAAAGUCAUUUGUGAAGAUGGCAAUUGGUACUACAUACGCUCAUGAUGCCAUGCAAGGCAAUUCUGCUAGAUCGAAUUACAUAAGUACAACAACUAGCAUAGCAGUAAACAUUUCCCAUGGACAAAAACUCAUGGUUGACUAACAAUGAUAAUAAUUGUGGGGCUGCCUGCCAAUUACUUUUGUCUCAUUUUUAGGUCAUCAUUUCUAUUGAGUUAUUGAAUGUUCAAAUUUCCGCUGUCAAUGGAUGACUUCCUAUCGUUUACGUGUCUCAGGAGUGCUAGUUUGAUUGUUUUUGUGAUGAUACUGACAUUGUGCAUGGAAUUGCAAUUAACUUGUGAGUCGUGAUAUCUUGAGAAGAAUGCAUGUGUUGGAAAUUCUUUUUCCAACAUAUAAAUCAUUCCCACGAGAAGAAUAUCAUCUUUAAAUUAUAUUUAUGACUAGUCCAAUCAUCUCAGCUUGUCAAUGGCUAUGUCAAGUGAGAAUAUUUUUGUAAUAGACACAGCAAUAAACACGAAAUAUUCCAAAAAUAUCUUUCAAAAUAUUUAAUAAAAAAGUACAUAGAUACGAAUCACAAUCUAAAUGCGAAAAUACUAAAAUAAGGGUGGUUGCAGAAGCCUGGUUUUGUCGGAUCACCAGUCCACCUAAAACUCGGUCAAAUUAUUGAAAUGGAUUACGGAUUUGGAUAUUUAAUUCAUAAUUAAUUGACCAGUAAAAAUUAUAUUAUUCAAUAAUGUGGAAUUAGUAAUCAUUGAGUUAGAUCACUGGAGCUUUGGACAUGUGGCAAUCAAAUUGAGCUUGGAUCCUCACCCAAUAAAGCUACAAAUGGGUCGGAUUAACCUAUGACCUAACCCGACCCGAUCUAUUUUGGAGGACUUGUGGGGCCGAAUCGGAUUCUAAAAGUAGACCCGUAGCAUUUUUCGGGUCGGAUCUGGAUUUAUUAAAUUUAGAUCUGAUCCGACCCAUUUGAAAUUUGAGUAAUAAUUUUGAGUUUUUAAUCCUACAAUUCGAUCCGCCCUGAUCCGAAUUUGUAAAAUUAUUUGGGCCGGAGGGGGUGCAAACACAAGUUCUGAAACCAUAGAUGGGUUGAUCCAAAUCGGACUCGAAUUUUUUGGAUUGGAUCUGGAUUAUACAUGGACCCGACUCGACCCAAAUGAUCCGUUAAGUCAAAAAUUGUAGUGGUGGAUCCGACCCGAUCUUCUAUCGGAUCGAAUCUAAAUUCAAAAUUAGAUCCCGAACAAGAAAUCGGACUAGGUCGGGGUCACUCAUGAUUCUAUCUGACCUAUUUGCAUCCGUACCACCCAACGUCUAUCCAAACCGAGAUCCUAAUGCUUGCACAAAGAAGCAGCCCAUCCGAAUUCCGAACAGAGCUCUCGGUUAGCUUUUCCAGGCGUUCGGUCCAAUUGCGAUGGAUUCGGACCCCACCCAGAUGAGAUCUUUUCCGACAUGACCAAGUCAUGGAACUGGAAGCAUAGAAUUCCCGAUUCCAUGGUGUGCCUGCUCGCAUCACACACGUUGCUCUUGUGCCGACGGCCGAAGGUGCGCGCGCGUCUGAAGAGAUAAGGAUGGUCUCUUUAUUCCAUGCGGCAGCGGUGCCGACUUCCAUUACUGGUGCGAUCGUCAACUUCCUCUCUCUUCUCACCAUUCCCUUCUCUCCCCCUGACCAUGCGUCCAUGCCCAAUGGCUGUCCUUUGGCGCAUCUGAACCCCUUCCCUUAUCUCAAGUUCUUCCUUUCUCCGGAAGGGACCAAACGUAGUGGGGAAGGAACAAUUCACCAUUAAGCUGACUUAUCAUGGGCAUAACGCCAUCUCAAAAAGCUUACACCAGCCGUCAUUUCUCCUUAUAUUUCUUGAUACAAAAGGAGUACCAAGUUUUGACAACAGCCUGGUCUGGUUCUAAGAUUUGGUAGAUUUUCCUGCUGGCAUUGUCCAAGUUCCUUGCUUUUUCCAGCUUUUCUAAUGACGGCACUAAAAAAUUUCGAGGGGCCAAAUGUUUCUUCUACUCUUUGACCAUAUAAUUUGUGGGUCAAGCACGAUCUAUUUGGACCCUACAUCAUGUUUCAUCAGACAAGAAAUCUGUAGAGCAAAUCUUUGGUACAAAGCUAACAUAUAAUAACUGACAUGUAGAACGUGCCAGUUAGCCUGCUCGUAAAGUAUUUUGAUGGUUAUUGCAUGUUUUGAGGAUCAAAAAUUCGAACCUCGUCUUCAUCUAGUGUGCAGCAAAAAAUCUCUUGGGAACCUGUCCUUCAAAAAUUAAGAAGCACGCACGCGCGGUGUAACAUACCAUUUCCAUGGUAUUUAAAAUAUCAUACUGAGACAUUAAAUCAAGGAGAUGUGAUUUUUUCAUUUUUUCAAUUAUUAUCACACUACUUUUGAGUGUGAAUACUCUACCGCCAACAGUUCUGCCAAAUAGGGCCUAAGACAUUAAAUCAAUGAGCCAUGAUCUUUGGUAUUUCGAAAUUUGAGGAGCAAUUGAAAUGCUAAAGCCUUUCAUUUGAUAAGGUGCACCAUUCUUUUCUGAAAGGAAUGUUGUUGUUGUCUUGCACGUCGAUUUAAAGUUUCAUGCUUUGCUUUCCGUGAUUCUUAUACCGUCCCCUUGCGACUCCUCCACACAUAAAAGCAGUCCAUCUCUCCUAAUCGCUAUGUCCCACAUAAAAACGAUCGCAAUACGACUCGAUCGGCAAAGAGGGACGGACUCACCAUGGUUGUCCCUAAAUUUGACCCUAAGACCACUUCCAUGCCGUAGGGAGGAAGUCUAAUAAUUUUUAGACGGUAGAGGGGCCAUUCGCUAUGAGCGAAACAGGACAUUUGAUUGGGAUGUGGAUGAAGGCGUGGAUCUUAUCCGUCGCUCCAACCCCACUGGCCAUCUCUUCUUAAUACCAUUUGUGGGGCCAAGUCGUACAAACCCCAAAGACAGGUGAUGGUAUCGAAUCUUUAAUUAAGAGAGACAAGCAGAUGGGAGAGGUGUAUUAUUAACUAAACCACGCUCUUGAUUCCUUCUAAACCUAUUUUUUAAGAGCAGUGCUAUGGGUCCCUACUAUGGUCCAAUGAAAAACAUAAGGCACCAGAUGAUUGAUCCAAUUGACUGGUAAGACUGAUACGGGGCAGGACUGUGGUACCAACCCUAUGUAAUGGUGCCAUAGUAUUGGGGUUAAGCAUGAUAAUUUAUAACUCGAUCCAUCAAUCCGACUCGCGAACGUACGAUUUAAGCAGGUUUGAAUUUAACAUAAAUAAGUUUAAGUCGUAAAUAGGUUAAAUUGCCUAAACUUGUUUAUUAAAUGAAUUGGAUUCGGAUUUAAAUCUUGGACUCAUUUAAUUCAUUUUGACCUAUUUAAUAACUAGGUUGGGUUAUGAUCCGACUCGUCUAAUCUAUUUAACCAGUUUGAAAUUUGAUUAACUUAGUUCUGAUCUAUUUAAUCGCUUAAUCUAUUUAACCUAUUAAAAACCAGUCGAACAUAUUUAUUCUGUUUCAUGAAUAAGUUAUGUUGGUCAAUUGGAUUAUCAAUUUAAUAAAAAAAAACUGAGAUUUAGAUUAGAAAUUUUGAUCGAUAUAAUAAAUAGAUUGAAUUUGGAUUGUUGAAUUUUUGAUUUGAUCUAUAUACAAUCCGAUUUCUGACCUAGUUGGCCGGGUGCGGGAGCUUUUUAUUAUUAUCUUUUUGUUUUUUUUACGCACUAUCUCAUCUAUAUGCCUUUUCACCAUGCAUUCGCAUCCAUACCCGCACACAUGAGCUGAUUUGUCAAUUGACGAAACAAGUAUCCUAUCAUUCAAAUUCAAUGAAUGACAAUAAAUAAUUUGUUAGGCUGUUCAGGAGGAGUGGCAUGUUUAAGAUGCUCCACGUCCUCACCCUCACCAGUUGGCUUUGACUAAUCAAGAUAGAAACGGGUACAUGAUUUCUCUGACGCGGAACAUCUUUAUUACGCACUUCUCGGGGGUGCAGCGUAAUGGAGGCAUGCCAUGCUCUCUAUCCACAAACGUUUUAAAAUAAUUAAUCCAUCUCAUUUAAGAAUUAAAAAUGCGACCGCCCGCAGAAAUGUUCCUUGAGCUUCAAGUUGCAAGCAGUUUAUAUCCAUCUGUCCAUCCAUGCAACGACUAAAGAGCUUCUUUUUAUUUUCCUCCUCCAAGCCGGACCUUCCUUCUCCAGAGGCACCAAAUUUCGAUACAUGGGUAAAGGUCUCGAGGAAACAUUUCGUGGAGCCCCGUCGCCACAAGCCGAAGAUGCCGAUGAGCUCCGCGAAUCUGCGUCUCUCUCAAAUGACUCCAGCGACUCCAUGUUCUCAUCUUCAUCUAAUCUCACAGAUGACGCAACUUCCUCAUCUCCUAAGUCAUUCUCGCCAUCAUCGAAUUCAUCGAAAUUGAAUUCGGACGGGCCUCUUUUCGAGCUAUCUUCGCUCAUGGCUCAGCUUCCUAUCAGGUGAGUACAUCAGUCUUUUAACUCUGAAUCUGCCGUUCUCUGUUUACAUAGCAAUGCAGAGGUCCAAGCAAACAACAGAGAGAUUUAGAAAAUAUGAACAAGAUAAAAACCAUCAAAAAGAUAAUCAAUAUAUCAGCCAACUUUCCAAAGCUAACUUUUUGUUCCUGGUAAUUCCAUGAUUGGUCCAUUUAUCAAAUUACUCAUUUUGUUUACUACGCAUUAGAUUUAGUAAUUUCGAUGACAUUCUGGGGGUCUGCAGGAGAGGGCUGUCUAAAUACUUUCAAGGGAAAUCACAGUCCUUUACAUCCCUGUCCGAUGCUAGAUGCAUAGAUGAUCUUGCCAAGAAAGAGACCCCUUACAAGAAGAGGAUGAAACCAUGCAAGAGCUAUGCAGGAGGUUUCGAUGCAAGCCAAAAGCCAUGCUAUACACCAGGGCCUUGUAACAAGACCAUAGCAAAGAAAACUUCCAGGGGUUCAAGUGGUUCUCUAGUUGCCAGGAGAAGCAGCAGUAGCCUUUUAUCUAUUAGCAAACCACCUCCCAUACCUGUGAAUAAGAACAUGUAAUUUUUUUUGGUAUUUAAUUAUAGAAUAUGAAGAAGAGAUGCUGCCUGAUUUCAUGACAAGCAAUCUAUUUGAUAGAAGAAAUUAGGCAGCAGAAUUUAUCGUGCUCCUUUUUGUGUAUUAGUUCUAUGAAUAAAAGAGAAGUAGGACCAUUUCGUUAAGCAUCACACUGUAUUCAGUGGGUUUUAUCAUUACUAUACAGUAAUUUUUUUGGGGGGUAGAGCGACAUCUCAAACUGAGAAAAAAAAACUGUAAACUCUAGAACAUUGCAUCACACUUUUUUUUGAUGAAAAAUGGAGGAAGCGAAUUACUUCCCCAAGCUUAAAUCAAUCAAAAAUUAUUUACAGCGUUUCAGAGAACAUUGCAUCACACUUGAACUCUGUUUAACUGCUCGUUCGCAAAAAUGUUUUUCAAUGCUUGACAUUCCAUUUUUCCUUUUCUAAUUUACAAAAACCGCUUGAUGCACAAGUAGAUUCAACAAUUCAUGGAUCGAUAGUUAAUUUUCCGUCGAGCUCAAAUAAUUUGCGGUUCAAGCAAUAAAGAGGUCGUCUUCUGCUACAANNNNNNNNNNNNNNNNNNNNNNNNNNNNNNNNNNNNNNNNNNNNNNNNNNNNNNNNNNNNNNNNNNNNNNNNNNNNNNNNNNNNNNNNNNNNNNNNNNNNNNNNNNNNNNNNNNNNNNNNNNNNNNNNNNNNNNNNNNNNNNNNNNNNNNNNNNNNNNNNNNNNNNNNNNNNNNNNNNNNNNNNNNNNNNNNNNNNNNNNNNNNNNNNNNNNNNNNNNNNNNNNNNNNNNNNNNNNNNNNNNNNNNNNNNNNNNNNNNNNNNNNNNNNNNNNNNNNNNNNNNNNNNNNNNNNNNNNNNNNNNNNNNNNNNNNNNNNNNNNNNNNNNNNNNNNNNNNNNNNNNNNNNNNNNNNNNNNNNNNNNNNNNNNNNNNNNNNNNNNNNNNNNNNNNNNNNNNNNNNNNNNNNNNNNNNNNNNNNNNNNNNNNNNNNNNNNNNNNNNNNNNNNNNNNNNNNNNNNNNNNNNNNNNNNNNNNNNNNNNNNNNNNNNNNNNNNNNNNNNNNNNNNNNNNNNNNNNNNNNNNNNNNNNNNNNNNNNNNNNNNNNNNNNNNNNNNNNNNNNNNNNNNNNNNNNNNNNNNNNNNNNNNNNNNNNNNNNNNNNNNNNCCAGCAUCCUCAUGAUUGAUGAUCAUCUUAGACUUGUCAUUCACUGUUAUAUUUUGGACGAGAGCCCCUUUUCGCAAUAGGCUAGUCUCCUCAACAUAAAAUUUUCAGAUGGUCUAGCCAACAUAAAUGAUCUUUCGAAAAGGUAUUCAGUAACACUCUUAUACUAAAUCUAAUGGGACGCUGGAAAUUUCAUCAAGACAAGGGAUAUUACCAGGGAAAGUAGAAAGGGGAAUAAAAUAAGGUAACUUGGAUAAAGUUUGUGGUAAUUCCAAGCUGAUCCAGCAUCAUUUUUAAUUUUACCCGGCUACUUUUGCAGUUCCAGAGGGGAUGAUUUCAACCGUAUCUCGCAGUGCCUGGGCAAUGUUUGCACGACCUUUUGCUGCUUGCAACCAGUAUGGCCGUAACCUACCUUUUGCUGCUCAGCGUGUCAAGAAUAAAAGUAGCAUCUGCAAAUAGAGAAUUGUUCUAAAAGUAAGGUAUUCAACUUGGUUCCCAACCUACCUUUACCUUAAUGGCAGUAAAAAUUUAGCCAUUAGCAGUCUAGAUCACAUGAUCCUGAUAGCACUUUCAGAAACAAGCAAAAAAAAAAGACAAAACAUAUUAACAUGGCGUACUCCGCUUGAAUUAGAGUUUGAAACCAAACUUAUCCUCGAAAGGAUAAAGGAGCCGAUUCAAGCAAGAUUCAAUGUAAAUCUAACUUUUUAUCUAUUCAUAGGAUUUGGAUGGUUGUGUUUCUCAGCAGCCGCAAUGAAAGAAAUGAAAUAAAAGAUUUCAAUUAAAAUGACUACUUUGAUCAACAACAAAAUUUUCAGUUUUUUGGAGGUAACUACGUACCAACGAAAUCGGAGAAUUUACGAAGGUAUUCAAGUUAUUAAGUAUAGAGAUAGUAAACUAAAAGACCGGUUCAAAAGAAUAUUUAGAGCAGCAUAGAUUCUCCAAAGAACAUAACCCGAUUUUAGAUUGGUUAGUGUAUAACCUAAUUUGUAGAAAUCAAUUAAAAAACAACUUUUCCCUUACUGGGAAGUCAAAAAGGUCUUUGCUGACUCUCCCUCGACAAUGAUAGCUUCAUCAUGCCUUCACCAAGCAAAAUUUAAUGUAUAAAGUGCACAACUUUGCUUUGUUAGAACUUAGAAUCUGGUACCUAUGUGCUGGAUUAAAUAUGAUACCAAACAUUCCUAGGGAUCGUCUAGCCUAGAGCAAAAAAAAAAAAGAAGAAGAAGAUGAUUUGCUCCAAGAAAAAAAUUGCAGGCAACGUAUUAAGACAUUUUUGGCACAUGCCAAGCAUAUAUUUCUUAAUUUUUAAAAUUAAAAAUAAAAAACAGUUAGAUAGAUAGUAAUGCUAGUGGAAGGACCUAAACCUCAAACCUUAUGGUUAUCAAAUAAAUGCUAGAGGUGGAGGCCGCAGUCGAAUUCCUGUUUGAAUAAAAUAGGAUUUCGACAGCUAAAAAAUUUCGAAAUUUUUAAAUAAAGUCGGCAAAUCGCUUGCCGGCUUAACUUAAAUAUCAUAAUUUUUUUUAAUUUUGCAAGUCCACUUAAAUCUUGCUGGAUGACCUGAAAUAGCAAAAAUAUGAAAGUUCACCUACUCGAAAGUAUUCGAUGGAAUUCUUCGAUACCUAAAUCAUAGCUAUUUUGGUAAUAGCUCGCAUAUCUUGCCAAAACAUCAUGCUCAUGCAUCUAGCCCACGUAGAUUGCUUGUAUGUUGCACACGCAAGAAAACCAUACGCGAUCAUGCACCGAGCUAUCACUAGCUAGAGGAGCUUAAAAUUUGAAUGACUUUGCGUGCGCUUUUAUGGUGGCUAUGUAGCGAGUUUUCAUUAGUUGGUCAAUCACGACAACUAUAAUCAGCUCCAACACAUAUCACGAUGCAAAAGAUAUUUAAUUAUAUAUAUAUAACAAUAAUUAUAAUAACUUAUAAAAUAUAAAAAAAUAUUUUAUUAUUUUUAAAAAUUAGUUUUUCAAGCAAGGUACUACUAUCAUGCAUCUAAACUUUCACAUCUCUUCUUUCCUACCGUUAGCAACCUACCUUCUAACCAACCGCUUUUUUUUCUCCGAUCUCCUUCGCAACCAUCACCUUGGUGAAGUGCCUUCAAUUGAUGGCUCUACAAAUGCAAGGUCAUGUAAGAAAGAUUUUAGAUAUCCAUUGAGAGACAUUGGUGAGGUGAGUGGAAGCUGCCUAAGGCUCUCCGUGACGUUUUGUUUUCAGAUUUUAUUGAGUGUAUCCAUACUCAUGUAGUAUGAUGCGCCCGCUCUAGCCAAAAAAAAAGAGAGGCUUUUUUUGUUCCAUACGAAUUAUUAUUUUUCAUCUCUACUCUCCUCUAAAAACUCCAAUCAAAUAUAAAAUAUUUCUCUUUUUCUCUAUUGACCACAUUUUUCCUCCUGCGGACCAAACAAUCCCAUAUUUGUUUUAAUUUUCUAUUUUAAAUUUUUGCCUGCUAAAUAUAUUUUACAAUUUUCAUUAUGAAAAUAAAAAAUAAUGGAGGCUGCUCAAUAUAUUCUUGUUGCGGGAAAUUUAGAGAAUUGGAAAUAGAAUUCUUUUUUAAAAAUUUUAAAAUAAAAAUAAUGGCGAUGCCAAAUGCAGCCUUAUUUUUGAUUCUAAAUAUUUUAAUAUACAUAAUAAAUCACUAAAAGUAUGUAUGCGGUGGGCCAGGUCAGGUUAAAAUAAAUAAAGCGAAUCCGAUCGUUGGCUAAAAUAAAUGACAUGGUCAUAACGAGACCGGACUGCAUUGGGCCAUUUUUCCACCUAGCCAGGAGACAACAGCAGGAAAGUAGAGGCCUUCUUGUGCCCAAGUACUAUAAAAUCUAGUCUGAAAAGGGAUUGGAACAAGUGAUGGAUCCAAAACUAGAACUAGGUUCGGUAUCUAUUUGCCACAUUCAAAAUGGGAAUCCAUUCGAGCCCAAUUGAAAGAUUGCAAAGGCUCGCCCAAUCUAACUUGCAAAAUGGUGAUUGAACACGACCUAAAAAUCAAAAUUAACCAAUAUGAAAUAUUCUAAGACUACUUAAUACAUAGUCAUUUAUUUUACAUCAAGUUCUUUUAACAAAAAAUCAAAGAUGUUUCUUUGAUGUGCUUUGAAUUUGCUAAGAAGAUCGCAGGCCUCCAUUUUAAAAGAUCGAAUCAGCCACAUAUAGGCUGGGUUUGGGUUAUAUUUUUCGCGCAAAAAGAUCAUUGGCCUUCUCUCACGAUUUAAACUAUUGAAUCAGAACUUGUGCAGAUCUUAAAGUAAUUAAUUUUUUUUAAAUUUUGUCUGCAUAGAUUUUGAAAUGGCUAUUAUGCGAUUGAAUGAUUGGCACGUAAGAUAAAUCAUUCUUUAGCUCAAAAACAUACAACCGGAAACCAUAAAGGACAGUGUGGACCAUGGCCCUGGCCCCCUUUACAACUGGUGUUUCUUUGGCUCGUCGUCCCCCUCCCAAAAUUGAACGGGGGAAAGCUAUAUAUGGAGAGAGACGUGGAGGAAUUUUUUCUCUUUUCAAUUUUUCUUCGGCGUUUCUAUUAAAAAAAAACUUUCUUCAGUAAUGAAAGGUUGCAGGUUAAAAAUUAAAAUAAGAAUGGUUGUAAGUAAAUAGUCCUUAAAAUUAUUCAAAAAAUAUUUGUUUGGCCAAAAAAAUCUGCACAAAGCACCGUCACCUAGCAUGUCCAUUUAACCUUUUCUUUUUGAAUAUUUUAAAAAAACCAUUUUAGAUUUCUUUCUAUUUGUCUUUUUUCAGAUGUUUUCUUUGCUAAAUUUUCUAUUCAUAGGUUUAUAUUUUAAUAUUCUUUUAACUCAAUACAUUUUUCUUCAUAAGAGGUAGGUAUAAUCAUUAAGAUCAUAAAUCAGAAAAUAAAGAAAAAAAGUAUUGUGCCUUCUAUAGAUAUUAUUACAAUUUUUAUAUUUACUAUCAAUAAAGUACAAGCACACAUUUUAUAAUCAAAUAAUGCAUUACUGUUAGACUUCUCCAGAGAGAAAUCUUGGCUCCACCCUGCACAUUUACAAUCAAAAUUGCAAUCCUCAUUUUGUCUUUGCAUAUUGAGACCUAUUAAAAGUUUUUUUUUUUUUUUAAGCAAGAGAUCUCGAUUCAAAUAUUAAUGAUGGUGAAUAAUAACUAUAUUUUUUAAAAAAAGUAAAAAUGGUCAUUAAUUGAAAAAAAAGUAAAAAUGGUCCACUAAGCGGCAUCUUAUUAAUGAUCCGGUAGCAAGCGGCCGAAUAAUGUAAAACUUAAGAGAAUACUGCAUCAAAAAGUUGUCAGUGCUUUUCUGUAAAAAAUUUUUUUUUUGUCAAAACCAUGGCUUAUUGCCCACAGGCUGCCGUUAACCUAUUACACUAGAAAAUAAAAUUAGUGACUUUGUCCUCGUUCUUAUCCCUUUGUCCCCCCAAGUCUUUCAUGAGUCUGACGUGCGUUCUAAUUCCUCUCUCGACGUGCACAAACUAACGUGCUCCGAGCAAUCUCCUACGUCCGGAACCGGAUUCAACGAUCUCACGCCUACGGGACAAAAUUAUUUUAGCAUUCCAACGGAACAUUUGAUACGGUAAAUUCGGCAGCCUCGUCCAUAUAGUGAUGCUGGGAUCGAAGAACAGAAACGAAAGGGCAAAAAAACGGAGGGGUGAGAUGCAGAGCGGUGGAAGGAAAGGGUCGAAAGGGCACUCGAAAUCGGAGCAGGGAGGUCGCAAGGACCGGAGAUCGGCCACAGGCAUGAGCGGGGAGCCGAAGAAGGGCGGGCACGGAGGGAAGUUCACCUGGGCCGGCGACCACCGCUACUCCCAAGUCGAGUACGGUGGCGAGAUGGGGAAGCUGGAUGCCAAGGAUCCUAACUUCGAAGACCCACCGGAAGAGAAACGACUAACGGUCUGAUGCUCGUGCUAUGAAAUCUUUGUGGAUGGUUAGAUUCCACUUCGAGCGAAGAUCGGAUCGACGCCUCUGAUGUUGCCUUGUUGUAGUUAAAUAAAGUUAAAUCUGUGACUGAUGUGUCUAUAAUUGUGUCUCCUCCCAUCAUAUUUAAGAUUUCCGUAUCUCUCAGUCUCCUUUUUGGCCAUGGAUCGGAUCUUGUUCGCAAUUGAAAGUAUGACAAUGCAUUUUGGCCAUCAAUUAGAAAUUGAUCAAGAAAAAAAUUGGAUAAGAGGAUCCGGUGCACACAAUUUAGCAGUUGUAGAUUAAAAAGGGCCGUUCUUGUAAGAUAAAUUAGUUAAUUAGAGUGCGGGGACCGUAAACAAAUUCAUAGAGCAAUUUGUUUUGUCGUAUACUACCACACCAGCUGGAGAGCACCGCCCAUCCUCUCUUUUUUUUUCCCUUCUUUUAUUUAUUUACAAUGGUUUACACCUUGCGGAUGCGGGUAGGACCAACAAAAUCCUAAAAUAACCAAACAGAGAAGAAAUUUGGCACUGUGUCAUGUCCUUUCUAAACAAAACCUCUAGAAUAGUAAGCUAUAUGGGAAGCAACUCAUUCAGCUGCAUUAUUUACUUUUCUAUAAACAUGUGUAGUUUGAUAAGCACUAUGCUUAUGUAGAUAUUCAUGGAACGGAUAAACACAUAAGAUAUUUAUGGAUGCGAGCAAAACUGGGUUCAAGGUCUGCACCUCAGUGUGGAUGAAACAACGUGUUCAACCGAGCUAUGGGAACCUUAACACCGAGCGAAGUAACGAAGAAAACGUAGUCUCAGCAUGGAGACUUAAAAAGAGUGGUGCCGUGGGUCCUUCAGCUUUGUUUUUUGCUCAAAUCCAUUCCCUAAGAGAGGUUGGCUUGUUGGUGAGACUGUUCCUGGGUGUUUUGCUCUCCCAAACAUCUGUUCUUCCGUUGUUUUCGGGGGAAAUUGAAGUCUUCAGUGUUUUGCUCUGUUUGCAAAAAAAAAAAAAUCUAUUCUUCUGUUGUUUUUGGGGAAAAUUGAAGUCUUCAGAGCUGGCUCUUCUUUUGGUUCUUUGUCACUAUAGGGCUGUUUUUCCUUGCUAUAUACCAUACAUUCUUUUCUUUUCCCUCAGUUGUAAAUUUGCUUUCAUUCUGCAAUAAAAUUCAGGUGACUAAGGGAUAAUCUCUUAGUCUCCUUUUCCUCACAAAUAAAUAUUUAAAUAAAUAAAAAAGAAUCUCAGACGACAAAACAAGAACAGGCAGAAAAAACAAUUCAAUGUAUACAUUUCUGCACUUGGAGACCCAGGAAUUCCUGAUGACCAUAUAUACAAUAGCUUCUUCCUGCAUAGGCUUACUAAAAUUUCAGACAAAUCAUAUUUAAUAGUAAGUUUAUUGGUGAGCAGCCACUGGAAAACUUCAGCAAUGCAAAAGAGGCAAGACGGCCUUGCGAUCAUGGGCCUGGCUCGAACAAUACUGUACGAUGAGAUGUUCAAAUCCUUCAUGGCAUCUUCGCGGCCAUCAUAAACCUUCUAGAUCUGCCUCCAUUGCAUUCCUGGUAGGGGAACAAGUUGGUGUAGAGCUCAAGUCCGUCCGUCAUGGACUUGUAUGGAUAUCAGCAAUCUGUAUGAUUUGUAGCUUCUUUAGAUAAGCUUUGAGCCCUGAGAUUAACUUGAUGUUGCAUACAAACAAUAAUUAGCUACAUGCUGUAAUAACAGAAAAAAAUAGAAGGAGCACGCAUCAGGGACGAUGGGUAAUUUUGUUAGCUUGAAAAGAGGGCUACGAAGAUUGAAGACAAGUUAGUGUUUAUUAUAUCGCUGUUGAUUUAUUUAUGAAGAUUAUUUAUUUUUUUAGGUUACAUUUAUGAAGAACUAGGUUGGGAAGAUAAUGUAGGGUAAGAUCCACCCAAUUCAUUUGUUAAGCUUUUAAAAACACUUCUUUCCAUUGGUCAUCUUAUUGUAGUUGACGCGUGUGAAUGAAGGAUUGGAUGUAGGAUACAGUUAGCCAUUUAUUCUGGGACUUCCCGUAUUUCCCUUUCAUGCAUAGCAAGUGAGAAUCCAUGCUUAAAAAGUGUUCCAAGCUUACAUAAGUUCCACUCAGAAUGUUGGUGCGAAAUGGCACUGGUGGUGGAAUCCAGUUGCUGCUCACUUGUUCCUCGCCAGUAUAUUUUGUGCUGCUUACGUGGACGAAUUGGAUGCUGGUACUCCAUAUGAAGUCAGCAGCUCCUCUCCCAAUAUUACAUCUAUACACUCAUACAAAAAGAACAGUUCAAUCCUUUCAAGAUAAGAGGGGUUCAGAAAUUUCACUGAAGAAGUCCCUCAGGCCCUUGAGCCAUUCGCUUUGCUUCGUUCAGUGGCACUCUUCAUGAUGCCAUUUUAAAGGAUCAAUAAUAACAUUAUUCCCCGCCAGCUGAGCGACUUUUUGGGUGACACUUUUUGACGUAAGCUUUUUCCUAGCCUCACAGGAUAAACCAUUCCCUGAGGGCCUCAUGACGCAGGUUAGUAAUGCCAUUUUCCCAUGCAUUAAAUCACCUUGAGGCAACCUUCACAAAUACACGGAAAAUUUUAGAACACUUCCAAUAACACGAUGCCAAGUGUCGACAACACCAAGCAAAUAAAGCAAAUGGCAUUCACCGGUCCAAUCACAACCCGUCAGACAAAGAAUCCAGCUCCGGAGAAACACUCUCCAAAUUCCCACUCAUUCCCAUCCCCUGCCCAAAAUGCAGAGCCUUUGGUUGCUCCCUUUGCUUGCAUUCCUCCACCUCUCCUUCCCCAAAUCCUCGGCUAACAUUGGAAUUGGUGGUCGUGUCGGAGUCUGGAUCAACGGGAGGGGCAUCACUACCACCACCCACACCCAAGCCCCACCGCCCAGAGCCUCAGAUCCCGGCCCUAGCAGGGAGUACAUAGUCCUCCAAGCGUGGAAAUCAGCCAUGACGGAGGACCCAUCUGGAAUUCUAAGUUCUUGGGUUGGCCCUGAUGUGUGCUCCUAUAGAGGUAUCUUCUGCUCAGAUCCCCCUGAAGAGAUGUCGUCAUCCACUGCCAGUAGUGUGGUGGCGGGCAUAGAUCUCAACCAUGCCAACCUCAAGGGAUCUCUGGUGAAGGAGCUCUCCCUCCUCACCCACCUCUCCGUCAUCCACCUCAACAGCAACAGCUUCUCAGGCACCGUCCCGGACUCCUUCAAAGAGUUCCAGUACCUCUCAGAGCUGGAUCUCAGCAACAACCGCCUCUCAGGGCCUUUCCCAACCGCAGUUCUCCUCAUCCCAAACCUCAAGUAUCUGGAUCUCAGGUUCAACAGCUUCUCAGGGGAGGUCCCAGACGAGGUCUUUGAGAAGGACCUGGAUGCCAUCUUCCUCAACAACAACCAGUUUGGAGGCCAGAUCCCCAUGAGCGUCUGGGGCUCUCCUGCUACUGUGAUCACCCUGGCUAACAACAAGUUCUCAGGGUCCAUUCCUGCUAGCUUUGGCUACACGGGUGCUAGGAUUAGAGAGAUCCUCUUCCUCAACAACAAGCUCACAGGCUGCAUUCCAGAGGGACUUGGCUAUCUAUCAGGGAUAGAGGUCCUGGACUUGAGCUUCAACGCACUCACAGGUCACCUCCCUGACUCUCUGUCGUGCCUCACUGGGAUGGAGGUGCUUAAUAUAGCACACAACCAGCUAACAGGGGAACUUUCUGACUUGGUUUGUGAUAUGAAGAGACUUGUAAACCUUACGUUGUCUUAUAACUUCUUCUCCGGGUUCAGCCAAGAUUGUGCAGGGCUCUUCUUCAGGAAUGUGGGGUUUGAUUUUGCUGGGAAUUGUGUACCUGGGGGGCACAUGCAGAGGCCUCCACCCGAGUGCAUGGGAGUGUCUUGGGGUGGUCUCAGCUGCCUGAGGAUCCCAUUCACAAAGCCUAUAGCUUGCGCUGCAGGAGCCAUCAUGGGUCAAGUGGGUGGAAUGGUUGGGAUCCCAUUUCACUUCCCCGCUUCACUGCCUCCUUCCGUGCCAUGAAGCUGUGUUAGGACGAGACUGGGACUAGACCGGUGGUGCCUACUUGGAAAUCUAAUGGCGCAGACAGCAGGCCGUAUGUGUAUUUAAUUAUUCAAGCUCUCGUCAAUAUAUAUCCUGAGUGCUCAAGUUCAAUUCUUCCUUCUAUUCUAUUUUUCGGUGGCUUUAGAUUGCUUUGAUGUUCGCAUGAAGCAUUAGACAUGCGUAUAGCCACCUUGGAUCAAGCUUUUGGUUUUAAGAGCUGAGCAUCUGUAUUAAUAUUUAUUAAUGUUAUCAUACAGACUUGCCAAGAGAGGAGUUCUCUUUAUAUCCAAUUAGAGAUAGUUUUUACCGAUCAGAAAUAGAAGAUCUUCUACUUUAAAUGGUGAUGUUACACGAGUCCUGAUCAUCAACAAACUGGAGCAAUCAACUCAUGGGCUGCAGGGUGUCUAGAGGGAGUGCAUUCCUGAAGUAGAUGAAUCCUAUGAUGUUAGACACCAAACCACUUCAUAUUAAGAGUGUUAACAUUCCUUAACCUUCGCUCGACAAAAGAUUUGUGCUUCCAACUGACGUUAGUUUGUUUGAUACAGUCCACCUGAGGGUCGCAGCCGGCUACGAUGACUAUGAAGAAACUACAAAUUCCGACAGAGUCUAUUUCGAUUAUGAAAACUGUCUUUAGUGAGAAUUUGUAUUUCGUCCUCGCUUCUCUGCAUCUCACUGGUGAAGCCUCCGAUUCUGUAGGGAUCUCGCUUUUUAAAAGUUCUCUUAAAAUGACAACAUAUAAAAUACAAAUUCUCCUCUAUUAAUCUUGGAAUGAGUUGAUGGUUAACUUAGAUGUGUCAUGCCUUCGAUAAACCUCAGCUCUCUGAUGACACAUUGUCUGCUGUUGCAGCUUCAAAUAUAUGUUCGCGGUGCCAGGGUACAAACAAUUUGUGGAAUCAUUGUUCUUACAAAUAAUACGUUUACAAUAUAAUUGUAUGAAUUUGGAAAAGAUUCAACAAAUUGCUUAGUCCUUUUCCAAACAAUAUCAUUGAAUGUAGUACAUGGGAUUGGGGAGUUUGAAGGAUCGCAUGGCCAUAGGUGAACCCAACAAGUCACUCCAUUGAUCCCCAGAGUUCCCAUGGAUCCUGUAUCCUUGAGCUUCCAACUCUGCCCGUCUCCCUGAUUUAUAUCUCACUGCUUUCUUGCCAAUAUCAGAAUCUUCCCUGUCUCGUGACAUAUUAUCCUUGAUCAGCAAAUACUUGUCAAAUUCAUAUAUAAAAGUUGGCUGAAAACCAGUUUACCCUAUGGUACAUCAAGUUAAUUGAGGGUUCAGGAAUGUUUCAAUCAUUCAGAAAAGCACAUAAGAAUAUUUAGCCCAAAUAGAUGAUACUAGGAAUCUAGUAUAGCAGUUUUCCUGGGUGACUGCAUACAGUACAUUAAUUUGGAAGAUCCUGAUAUAUGAUAUCCCAUUAUGGGAAAACUAAAUGAUGAGAAGUUCUAAUUAAAAAAGUAAGAGUCUAAAAUUUGAUAGUUAUGCUAAACAGACCGAAAGUUGAGUUUUUGCAAGUGAACUGUUAAGAACUUAGCAUUCAACCAGCAGCUAACUAAAGGGGCAGAAGAUAAGUAGAAAUGGGAUGAUCACUAUAAAUAUGCAUAAUUCCCAUAGUUGAAGAAUUACAGAACAUAAUUCUCUAGGCGGUGUGAAAAAAAAGAAAGAAAAUGAAAAUUUAACUGCAUGUGAACUUCAUCCAGCAUUAGCUCAUAGUAGAACAGAUACAUUAUAAGAAUUGGCCACUAUGAUAGAGAUCUAUAAUACUGCAAGUUAAGCAACUGAUGGUUUAGAUUGAUUAAUACUGAUGAAAUUUUCCAACUCCAGUUAUUUUAAAUUUAAAUCAAUAAUAUAACUUAAGCAAUGUAGUGGGUGUGACAUUGCAUUUGAGGAAAUAAUGGAUUAAAGUGUUUUAUGUAUAUAAAUAGACCACACUGGUGAAAUUUUCCUGGUGAGCAAGAUCCAGUUUCACAGCACAGGAAUUUUACAUGCAACAAGCAUCAUCACACUUGCUAGUGAAAGCUUAUCUUUCAUAAAAAAUUGUACCAAAUUGUUAAUUAGGGGAAGAAGGCCUGAUGAUUUCAAGGAUGAGCCUUUCUUAUAUUGCUACAGGGGCUGCAAAUAGAUCAUGCUGACCAGAAACUGAGAUAUAUACUAAAAUUACCUAACUUUGAGUGAAACAUGGAUCUAUGAAUUGAGUCGAAAGUCAAACUUACAUCUAUUAAAUGAACCAGUGAAGUUCCAGUUAAUAGAAAGUUGGGAUCACACAUGAUCUAACCACUAUAUAGUUGCAUCAACCUACAGUAGAGCCAUAGUCAAUUGACUUGCCUCGAAAAUGGAGAAACAUAACUGGUAAUACUCAUCUCCGAAAGUCAUAGCUAAACCUACUUGGAUAAAAUGAACAAGGAUUAUUCAAAUUUUGUUAAAACAUAGUUCAAAUGAUUGGAGGUUCAAGCGAAUACUGGUGAUUCCAUUUUUGCAAUACAAUAUAUGAACAACAUACAUGUUGAAUUAUAGAAGCCAAAGUGUAGAAAGAGAAUGGAAGUGGCAAUGCAGGGGAACUGAAGGAAUCAAUCAUGAUUUACUUUAUGGAGUGGCAGAGGAAACAGGAUUUGGAAUGUGGCUCAAGAACUGGCUGCUACCAUUAUAAGAUGAUCCUUUUUUCCCAACUACAAAGGCAUUGUACUGUAUUUGGUAAGCCUAGAUGAGAUUGAAAGUAACACAUAUAAGAGAUAGUCAAGUUCAUCUCCUAAGUUGUUUUAGGAUCUCCCAAGGGCACCUAGAUCAGUUUAAAAAAUUAGAUUUAUUUUAUAAAAAUCUGCUCUUACAAACAGAUUGUUUGAUUUAAUCAUUUAAAGGCUGCGAGUAUAUUAUUUUCAAUGAGCAAGCUGGACCAACUCCAGCCAUAAUGCAAACUCUCAAUAAGCAAAAUUAAAUUGUUAGGACUUUUUUCAGAAUAUGCAUUAGUUAAGAUAGAGAUCUUGAGACAUUAUUCAUUACAUGGUUUUAUAGAACAUUUAAUGUAGAAUAUAUUUGAAGAUUACCGCGACUUCUAGUGUAAAAUAUUGAGACUUUUGAAGAUGAGGUAGCAGUUUUUAGCUUUUCUAAAUUUCAAUAACAUUUAUAUUUCUGUGCAGUUUAAUAAUUUCUGGCAUUGGAAGCUACAGCAAUUCUUGUCCACAGAUGAAGCUUCAAUCCUCCUGUUUCAAUACACACUUUGUUGGCAAACUUUUGAAGGCUGGUUUAGAUUAUACGAUCAGAAUCUAAACAAAUCACUGCCAAAGUAUAUACCAUAAUAUGAACUGGAAAAUCUACCGGGCAGAAAACAAAAGAAAAACAAAAAAUUUGUUAUGAACCAAAAUUUAGUCUCCACAACAUUAUGUGAAUAUGUACCUCAAUAAAAUGCAUGCAAAAGAUAAGUAUAUAACUUAUUGUGCUUUGUGCUGACAUUUGGGUAUCUAUAAACCAGAUUUUUUUUCAUCACUUAUUCACCUUAAUGAAGAUGCUUAUCCAUUACCCAUUAGCUCAAGCUCCAAAUUAACUCUACAAAUUUCAUAGCAUAAGUUUUGACUCCACUAAUGCAAGUUGAACAGUGUUACAACUUACAACAUUAAGAAGAAACGCACUAGAGAAUCAUUCGUUAAAGCAGAAGAAAGAGAGCAAAUGUACCUCAAAAUGAGCCUAUUCCAAGAAUGGUAUCCUGCGAACGAUAGAUUCUCUGCAGUGACAUUCCUUUGAGCCUCGACACGGCCGGUCAGAAGGACCACCUGAAAUCCUAGACCCAGGAGCUCCUCAUACAGCCUCAAACUCGCCGGCAAAGCCGGCGCCUUUGCCAGAUUCACCCACUCAUCGAAUGUCGUCUCGUUGAAAUCCUCUGACCUACGAAAUUUCGAUACUUUGCAUUAAGGGUAAAAUCUCUGGAAAAAAAAAACCCAUUCGUAUUAAUUGCACGGUAUUAACUUCAAAGCGGGUAAUUGUCAAUACUUUAAAUUAAAAAAUAAAAAACCAGCAUUUUCAAAGCAAAGAAUCUUUCUUUGACUCGUUGUAAAUCAAGAAAAUUGGGAGAAAAGGGGAUAUCCUGUACCCGUAUCCGUUGACGGCGUAAUAGGGGAGGUUGGAGAGCAGCGUCUCAUCGACGUCAAAGAUCCAGACGUCCUUCCCGUCGCCGACGACCUGAACGGUCUGGGCGAAGGCCAGGGACUCGGCGGCGACUACGGCGGAGUCCGAUGCGAAGCGAUCGCCGUUCAUGUACUCCGCCACGAACUGGAGGCAUCUGGCCGGAAUCGUCUUCCAGUAGCCGGCGUUGUUGGUCUCCUCGGAGAGCCGCCAGCUGUCGCAGUAGAGGUCGUCGCCGUCGCCGCAAGGCGGGCCCUCAGAGACCAUCCGGAGGACGGAUUGGGAGGCGGCCGCGGAGGCGAUGGCGGAGAGGACGAGGAGGAGGGGAAGGAAUCGAAGUAAUCCCAUCUGAUUUGGAGUUGGAUAGAAUAAAAAGGAAACCCUGACCCUAACCCUAGAAGGUUUGGAUUCUUGGGGCUUCCCCUUCUUCCCUCGUUCUCCGUAGGAAGGGAAAGGAGAAGGAAGAGAAGAGCGGGUUCGGGGCGGACUUUUCCCAUUCUUAUGUAUCAUUAUACUACAACGAAAUGGCAUCUUUCGUAAAAUAUUCUUCAUCUUCUCGGCGAUUGUGGAGAUAUUACCGUUUUGCUGCGCUAUAAAUUUCACCGGAACGAUACCUUGUCGCGUGGCAGCAGACGAUUGGUGAUAUUUGCCUGUUCACCCCAGGUUUAAGGAGGAGAAGACCGUUGUGGUGACUAGGUGGCGCGGCAAAGCGUUCUCUCAAGCUAUCCUCGUCUGGUCCGUAUCAAGACUUGUUGACCGUUAGCGAGCUCGAAGAAGGUCAGCUUCCCACAAUUGGUUCGCUAGAACGCGUGCCAAGCCAAAAAACAUAAACUCAGUAAAAACAAAACAUAACCAGCAUUAGAACAUAUCUCAACCUCACCACCAAUCCAAAACUUAGUAAACUGGAAGAUUAUUUGCAAAGGCAAAGGUGCAGAUGGUAUGAGAAUUCUUAAUUUGGCAGAAUUUUUUAACCGAGCUCUGCUCUCCAAGUAGGCACAGAGACUUUUGAAUGAUAGGUAGCCAUAGAUCACUAAAUCUAAUAAGAUUUAUUGUUAUAACUCUGUCCUUACAUCUAAAAAGACUAGCAAGAAAGUUUUUUAAAAAUUUUUUAGUCUAAUAUAAUUAUUCAAAAUCUCUUUAGCGAAUAAUCGAUAUAAGACUAAAUACACGUCUGCACGGAUCCUCACAUAUUCCUCCCGUUUAAGCCAUGUCGUCUUUGUCAGGCUAAGAGUUCUAAUCUAUUAAAAUCUAACCAUAACCAUCACGAUCGACUCGUGAUCAGCCUCUAUGAACUCAUACUGCAGUGUCUCCUUGUCCGUAUUUGCUAUAAGCCGAGCUCGCUCUGAUAUCUUUUAUUACAAUUCAGGACCUUAUCCAAAAUAGUAGAAAGAAUUUCAGAAACAUGCGCAGCAGAAGAAUGGCAAGGGCUUCAUCUGUUUGGAGGAACAUUUGCAAAGGGUUAGACCCUUUCUGGGUUUGCUUGAGAUUUAUGCUAGGCGAUGGGAAGAAAAUACUCUAUUGACAUGAUAUCCAAAUUAGUGAGCACUCGAUGUCAGUACUCUUCCUAAUCUCAAGAGCAGAAAAUAUGGAAGCUGUGAUUGCUAAACUAUUGGAAACUACUCAACUGGGCGCUGGUCCCUGAUUCUCAGCAGUUGCACCAAAGGAACUGCAAGACUUAGCAAACACACUCCAAAGCAGCACUUCUACAAAGCAAACAAGACAAGCCAACAUGGAAAUGGUCUGAAAGCAGGGUGUUCUUCGUCCAAUUUCUAAAUCAACAAGGAGUGAUCUGCCCAAUCGCGCCAAGUCCAUGGAAAGAGCCUGCCCCGGAGAAGAUCAAGAUCUUUAUGUGGUUAGGCCUUCGGAACAGGAACAAGAUCAAGAUCAAUAGCCCUCGAGCUCUGAAGAUAUAGGCCACCUGUUGUUAUCUGCCCUUAUACCAGAUGCUGCUGGGAAUUUACAUGGACUAGAAGAAUGUCCCUUCUGUUAACUGCCCUAAACNNNNNNNNNNNNNNNNNNNNNNNNAGUGUCACGAGAAUGGAAUGCUUGUGCCCUUAUUAUAUGUUGAAAUUUAAACUAUGGAUGCAAUUUCUUGUAACAACACAAAUAAUUAAGAAAAAGUUCAGGAAGAAAAUUCAGCUUUAGAGGUACACGGAUUGCAUUGUUCUCAUAGGUAGAUUUCGCAUUUUCCAAAAUCAAUGACUUGGCACGAAGGGUUCCAGCAAGCGUACUUUCCAAAAUUCAACUAUAACAGCACCAUUUUAAGAAUGUGUUCCGAAGUAUAAAGGUUUGAUUGAAUUACUUUUGGUUGUCCCUUACCUCAAUAAUAGCAUGUGGUAGUAUUUUGCAGAAAAGAGGGCUCUUCUGCAAAGAAGAGAGGAGGGAAAUAAAAAGAGCUUUUUCCAAAACGAAAUGAAGAGAGAUUGAUUGAGAAAGAAAAUCACAUACGUAUAAAAGAAUUUUUAAGGUCAACCGGCCGAAGGCAGCGAACCAUCCAAUAAUAAUAACAAUAACGGCCAUUCAGAUAUCCAACGGUAAAAACUCUCACGGCAAAGGCAUGAAACAACCUUUUUUUUUUUUUUGAAAAAUGGAUAAGAACAAAGGAGCUUUAAACAUUUUGAAAUGCAAAAAUAAAAAAAUAAUUAACAUUAUAUCCCUUAUUGUAGGGACUCAGGAACUUCAUUCUCUUCAAGAAAAAUAAGUAUAGCUUAGGCUCUUCCUUUUUCUCAAAAAAAAUGAGAACCUGUCCUUUUAAGUCUCAUUAGCAUGGGACAAUUAAGUUUUAUUUCUCAUUUAUUACCAAACCUUCAAAUCAUCCGAGCUUUUUUUUAAAAGAUUGAAGUAGGAGAUAGCAAGAUGCUGCCCCCUGUUUACUAAGAACAGAGUAGACGCAGCAUCCAGGACGUUAUCUUUCAGAAAUUGAAACACGAUAGACAUGAAAACUCUAGAUGAACUGAAGUACAGCAGAUGUUCUAACUAAUGUAGUACAUUGGAUCAGGAACCUUGAAAGUACGACCACCCUCUGGUUGCCCCAAGAUAUCACUCCACUGAUCUCCAAUGUUUCCAACAACGCUAUAACCUUCCUCUUCCAAUUUCUGCCUCAUACCCGACUUAUACGCCACGCUCGAGCCACUCACGUUUAACCCUCUGCAAACAAAAACAGAGCAACACAAUUUACAAAAGAUUGUGUCAGCAUCCUAAAAACAAGUGACAUUUUAAUCUAUGUUGCUGAGUGUUUGAACUUUGAUGGUGAUCUCAGCAUCUUGACCGGUGCCAACCGGAGUGACAUAAUGGCAACGCAAUUAACUUUCGAAGUCAUACUUUGUAAACGUUCAAAUAACGGUACUUUUGACUAAAGGCGCAUGGCCAUGUCCCAUUAUUGAGAACAAGUCCUCGACCGCUUUUGACAAAGUCAAAAGCACGCAGGCCAGUGGCGGCUGAUGAGAGUUAAAAUAUAGAGUUUAUCGCAUGAAUAUCUUUUUAUAAAUUAAAGUUUGUGUAUAUACUUAUUUUUUAUUUUUAUAAAAUACUGUUUUUCACAAAUACUCUUAAUAUAAUGAUUCUUCUAAUACCAUUAAUAAAAAACAAUAUUUAUUUUAAUUAAAAUAAAAUAAAAUUUUAAAAUUAUUUUUUUUGUCCUCAAUCACUAUCGCCUUAUAAAUGUUUUGUUUUUUCUCAUCUACUCGUUAAGAAUAUUUAAGUUAUUUUAAUUUAAAAUCGUUAAUUUUUAACAGUGUUAAAUGGUGCGGGUAUAUAUGCAAAAAUAAGAAUAAAAAAAAGUAGAAUAGCAAAAUAAGUAUUUUACGAGAGUAUACAUAUAAAUAUUAAUUUUGGAAGAGUAUUUAUGUAAAAUUCGAUAUUUAGAAAAAUAUUCAUGAAAAAAAUCUUAAAAUAUAAUUUUUUUAAAAAAAUAUCAUGCACAAAAAUGCAUAAGAGCCCAAUUUUGCCAUCAAAAGAGAGCUCCAUUAGGAUGUCUCGCAAGUAAAUUAAAUUGGUGCUUGAUACCACAUUGCAACCAUGUGUUAUACCAACUCGCACCAACUCACUGAUGCCAUAUGGUUUACAGUACUGCUCGGAUACUAUGAUUGGGCCAAAGUUAUUUGACCACCUGGGAUGAAAGAAUACUAAUAAUCGUGAAAAUAAGAGAGAUAAUAAUGAAUCAAAGAAAAAGAGGGAUAGUAAUAAAUAUCACAAGAAAAGGGCUGAUACUUUAGCAGGAGUUUUUCCCAUGUAUGAUAUCCGACCAUCUUGAGAUUAUGAGCCGUGAUGUCCCUUUGAUCCUCGGUUCUACCCGUCAAGAAUACAAUUUUGAUGCCUAGAGACAACAAUUUCUUAUAUAGCUCCAAACUUUCUGGCAGCGCAGGUGCUUUCCCCUUCAUCACCCAUGCAUUGAAUGAUGUAGCAUUAUACAGUUCGACCCUACAAAAAUCAGAUUUUUGCACUUUAGAAAAGCUAAUCAUGCUCUUUGAAAAUUAUGCGUUUAAUUGAAAUACGUUAGGAAAUUUAAUUCGAUUCAUCAAUGUUGCCAGAUUUUUUUUUAAAAAAAAUAAAGGGGGCGAAUUUGAAAGAAUUAAUACGCAUGAGAAAAAAGAUGAAAACAUCUUUUGUGACCUUAAAGUAUUCCAAAGAUUUAGUGGAAAACCAUUGCAAACUACUUCUUCUUUCUUUAUUAACUUGGGACAUCUUGUCCUCUACUUAGUAUAUCCUCAAAAAAGAAAUUCAAAAAGAGGCUGCUCCAAGAGCUUCUCUGUCCUUUUAACUCUGAAUAAUAGAUAAGUUUUUUUUUUUUUCACAUUAGCAAAUAAGCCUGAUAUGGCCGGAAGGAACCGGGAGGGAACCGUGAAGACCGAAGGGGGGAGAGAGAGCAGGGUGCGGUUACCCAAAGCCGUGGCGAGCGUAGUAAGGGAGAUUGGAUAGGGUGGUCUCAUCGACGUCGAAGACCCAGACGUCCUUCCCGUCGGCGCGGAGGUCGAGGCUCUCGGCGUACUUCGCGGCCUCCCCGGCGACAACUGCCGAGUCCCUGCGAUAGAGACCGCCGAGCAUGUAGUGGCCGACGUACCCUUCGCAGGUGCGGGGGAUGGUCUUCCACCCCCGCAUGUUGUUGGCUUCCACCGCGACGCGCCAGCUCUCGCACGUCACGCCGCUCAACCGGUGCGCACCGGAGCCGGACAGGGGGCGCAGGAGGUGGAUGGGGAGCGGGAAUGGGGGGUCUUCCACGCGCGAAGAAGCGUGGGACGAAGUCACGAGGGCGGCCAAGAGGACGAUGGCGACGGCAAGCUCCAUUGCGGUCUCUUUCACCCGCUCCGCUAUACCUUCUAACUGCGAACUUUGGGGCCUGGACUUAUGGUCUUUAUAGGCGAGGCUCGUCAUACCUACCACAAGGCAACUGGAGGUUGGUGUUAGAAAACGAAGAGUGAAAACAGGAAACAGGGGAGGAGGAAAACCGCUGAAUUCAUUUCCAAUUUUCUUCGCUCUUCUUUGUACUUAUACACAUUCGAGCUUGGUCAAAGUAUAACUAAUCUAGCUAUUAAGCAAUGUAAAUUAUAACUGAAUAUAACUAAUCUAAAAAUUUAUAAUGAAGAAGCUUCCAAAACAUUAAAUUUAUUUCAGCUGAUUCACUGUUUCAAUCCGUUUCAACCGUAACGUUAUGACGGUUGUGAAAUGUUAUAAGAGUUUAAAUUUAAAUUUGACCGUUGGAGCUUUCAUGUGAACUGGUUGUUCUAUUGGAAAGAAGUGGUGAAAUCGUUGCUUGCCGGUUUGCUGGAAGAGACUGUAACUAAGUGUCCUUGUUAUUUUGAGAGUUAGUGGCUGGCUCCUUUGCUUGCACCGAGCUGCAAGUGACUGCAAGUGAUUUCUGUGAAUAUUACCUGGCAAUUGUCUGGUUGCUGAUAUCUUCUGUGAAUAUUGCCGGUUUGACAACUAUCCACGCAUUUGGCAAGUCCAACUCCACAAGCUCAGUUUUUUUUUCUUUUCUUUUCUUGCUCAGUUUUCAAAACAAACAAGAGCCUUCUGUUUCCGAUAUGAAUGAUACGGCGGCCAUCCAUGCAUUAGUACCUCUCUUCAGUAACAUGCAGGGCCAUAAUUGGGCCAACUCAUGUCAUGGUUUUUAUUGUAAAGUAGCUGCAGUUAUAUUUGGCCGCAAGCACUCAGAUUUUAUUUGGAUUAUUUGGUAGAGGUAACUUUGCUAUUGGACUAGAAUCAAUAUAAAAUAAUUACUAAUAUGUAGUAACUAUAAAUAUUAAUUAAUCACUGUGGCGAUAUACUGUAUUAUUAUAUAUGUAAGUGCAUAAUAUGUGAAAUAUGGUCAAUAGCUGGUCAUUUGUUUGUUUAAUGCAACAAGAAAGAGACAUGAAUUCUGCAUGUUGAAGAUACAACCUUACAGAUCAUCUUUUUAACAUCAUACAACCCAAAAAUUACAAUUGCAUUUAUCAAUUAUAGAUAACCAAAAAAAAAAGUUCGCGUGACAUGCUAGGGUGUUGCAUAGGUGUUUGAACAUUGAAAAUAUUUAAAGCGUGACAAGUGGGUUUUGCAAAAAAAACAUAAAAUUACUAAUUUGAUAAGCUGGCACCUUUCAUCUAUCAUUGCUCGUGAAUAACUAGUUUUUCCUCAUCGUCAUUAUGCACGGGUUUAUGAGAGAAGUUUAGUCUUCCCUUCUGCUCUAUGUCCUAUUGCCUAAAAAAAAUAUAUAAUUUUUAUUGAUUUAAAAUAACAAAUAACUAUUGGCUGUCUAAAAAGGUAAUAAAGUAAUUUGUGACCAAACCCAGUAAUUAAGAAGAGGUCGAAAAGGGAAAUUAUUCAUUCCUAAAAUCUGGAAAUUCUGUCAUCUAUUUUUCUUUUUGUGCAAGAUAAAAAAAUAUAGUUUCUCUAGUCAACUCAAUCCCCCUAUCUAAAGGAAAUUAAAAGGAACAAACUAAUUUCAUGACAAUUGUGAUCUGAAACAUGAGUUGUUUUGCAUGCGGAUUGUCGCAUGCGGUCAUGUAAAUAUCUGAUAUUCUACAGGAAACUGAAUUUUUGGACAACACAUUCACCUACCAAGGCCUAUUUUUUGGUGAGAACCGAUGAUCUCCUUCCCAUUAGAAACCACGUCAAGCUUUCAACUCUUUAAUUCCUUCUCCUAUUUUCGUGCAGCUUGUUACUGUGGUAGUUUACUAGUUAUACGGAACGUUGCGAACCUAAAAAACGCUACUUACAUAAAUGUUUUAACACAAAAUGAAUAAUAUUAUACAGCUUUAGCAAUUCAAACUAUAUAUUUGUCUCUGGCUUGUGGUAAUUUGUCACACUUCUAAGUUUUCUUUUGUUUUGAUAUCAUAGAUUGUGACGGCCGUUCAUAACUUACGGUGAUAUCCCCAAUUCUGCACUCUCAAACUUAUUUUUGAAUGAAAUAACAAGGCUUAGCUUCCNNNNNNNNNNNNNNNNNNNNNNNNNNNNNNNNNNNNNNNNNNNNNNNNNNNNNNNNNNNNNNNNNNNNNNNNNNNNNNNNNNNNNNNNNNNNNNNNNNNNNNNNNNNNNNNNNNNNNNNNNNNNNNNNNNNNNNNNNNNNNNNNNNNNNNNNNNNNNNNNNNNNNNNNNNNNNNNNNNNNNNNNNNNNNNNNNNNNNNNNNNNNNNNNNNNNNNNNNNNNNNNNNNNNNNNNNNNNNNNNNNNNNNNNNNNNNNNNNNNNNNNNNNNNNNNNNNNNNNNNNNNNNNNNNNNNNNNNNNNNNNNNNNNNNNNNNNNNNNNNNNNNNNNNNNNNNNNNNNNNNNNNNNNNNNNNNNNNNNNNNNNNNNNNNNNNNNNNNNNNNNNNNNNNNNNNNNNNNNNNNNNNNNNNNNNNNNNNNNNNNNNNNNNNNNNNNNNNNNNNNNNNNNNNNNNNNNNNNNNNNNNNNNNNNNNNNNNNNNNNNNNNNNNNNNNNNNNNNNNNNNNNNNNNNNNNNNNNNNNNNNNNNNNNNNNNNNNNNNNNNNNNNNNNNNNNNNNNNNNNNNNNNNNNNNNNNNNNNNNNNNNNNNNNNNNNNNNNNNNNNNNNNNNNNNNNNNNNNNNNNNNNNNNNNNNNNNNNNNNNNNNNNNNNNNNNNNNNNNNNNNNNNNNNNNNNNNNNNNNNNNNNNNNNNNNNNNNNNNNNNNNNNNNNNNNNNNNNNNNNNNNNNNNNNNNNNNNNNNNNNNNNNNNNNNNNNNNNNNNNNNNNNNNNNNNNNNNNNNNNNNNNNNNNNNNNNNNNNNNNNNNNNNNNNNNNNNNNNNNNNNNNNNNNNNNNNNNNNNNNNNNNNNNNNNNNNNNNNNNNNNNNNNNNNNNNNNNNNNNNNNNNNNNNNNNNNNNNNNNNNNNNNNNNNNNNNNNNNNNNNNNNNNNNNNNNNNNNNNNNNNNNNNNNNNNNNNNNNNNNNNNNNNNNNNNNNNNNNNNNNNNNNNNNNNNNNNNNNNNNNNNNNNNNNNNNNNNNNNNNNNNNNNNNNNNNNNNNNNNNNNNNNNNNNNNNNNNNNNNNNNNNNNNNNNNNNNNNNNNNNNNNNNNNNNNNNNNNNNNNNNNNNNNNNNNNNNNNNNNNNNNNNNNNNNNNNNNNNNNNNNNNNNNNNNNNNNNNNNNNNNNNNNNNNNNNNNNNNNNNNNNNNNNNNNNNNNNNNNNNNNNNNNNNNNNNNNNNNNNNNNNNNNNNNNNNNNNNNNNNNNNNNNNNNNNNNNNNNNNNNNNNNNNNNNNNNNNNNNNNNNNNNNNNNNNNNNNNNNNNNNNNNNNNNNNNNNNNNNNNNNNNNNNNNNNNNNNNNNNNNNNNNNNNNNNNNNNNNNNNNNNNNNNNNNNNNNNNNNNNNNNNNNNNNNNNNNNUGGAGGAAGACAGAGUAGGGCCGGCUGCGAGUGAAAUUUUGAAUCGGUGGUUCUCCACCGUGGAGGGAUUUGAAAUUUGGGAGGAAGAGAUUAGGGGCCCUACUCUGGCUGUGAGCCUGUGAAUCUGUGAUCUAAUCCCUAAUUUAGAGCGCCAUUAGGGCUGGCUGUAAGCCUAUGAAUCUGUGAUCAUUGCUGUCCCAAUUUUUUUUUUAAUUAAACGAGUUAAAUGGGUCGAGUCGGGUUACCCGUUUAAUAAACAGGUCAGGUUCAGGUUGCAAUUUUUUGACCUGUUUAUUAAACAGGUCGGAUUCAGGUUUACAAUUUUCUGACCUGAUCUGCAUCUGACCCGACCCGUUUAUGUCUGAUCCAACCCGAUUGCCACCCCUAAUUAUAAGGCACAGACCUUUCCGCGGAUUAGCCGAUGUGGGACUAAAGUUUGGAACCCCAUCCCAUAACACAGCCCCUCCAGCGGGAAGGUCUGUGCGCGGCCGGGGCCCUCUUUCUAGCGCCAUCUGUUGCAGAAUUUUCACCCUGACAACAACCCACACACCGGCCGAGCAGGGAAAGCGACUGCAUCCCUUCCCGAGGUAUUGUCCGCUUUGGGGCUAACUCUGCGGGCGCAGAGCUCGCACAGGGCGCACACCCGACCUGCGGGUGCGGAGCUCGCACAAGGGGCUUGGGCGACCUCUCACAGUUUUGUCCCACAAAAGAGUCCUCGGGAGGAAAAAUUUGACCUCCUCAUUAUAAGGCACAGAUCUUUCCGCUGAUUAGCUGAUGUGGGACUAAAGUUCGGAACCCCAUUCCACAACAGCUAUUAAUUAGCUUGGCAUGGUUAGAUUGUGCAGGUGUUAACUAAUACGGCAUGUCGCAAUCGUCUUCAGGGAGGAACGACUUCUGUGAUUUAUUUAUGGACAGGUAUACUCGAACUAAAUACUUUCGUCUUCAGAAAUUAUUUCUCUCUAUAACGAGCAUGAAUCACUAGUGCAAGCGUCAUGGGUUGCAUUUUUUUCUACACUAGAUGUACAGUUGAUAAGAGCAGUGGUUAGGGCAGGUAUCCUGCUGAAAGCGAUGGUACCAUUAUAAUUUUGAUAUCCAGAAUACUAAUCAUUUAAGAUAAACCAAUAUACAAAAAUGUCCCUCCGAGUCAGAUACUCAUCCCUUCAUCCAUGAUUGGGUGGUGGCAAAGAGAUUUCCCUUAAUCCAUGAUUGAGUGUUGGGUUGGAAAUUUCUUACGAAGAUGACAUCUAUACUCGUUGUUUAGAGAUUUUUUGCGAUAAUUGAUAUUGAUGUUGUCGUUUUUUUCGAUGGAACAAGGUGGAAGUAAACACUUCCCCCAAUUUAUUGGAUCAAAACAUAAUUGUACCAAAGAAGCGAAAGAGACGGAGAGAGACAAAAAGGGGUGUAAAUAGGGAAAAAUUACAGAGGAACUUCCCCAGCCAAGAGGCUGUAGAAGCCCGAGUCAAGGUGCUGGGAGAAGCCAAAGAAGAAAUACUGCUCCAAAGUUUGUGGUUGCCUUCGGUCCCUUUCUCUAAACACAAGUGCUUCCGUAUGCAAAAUCUUUUGAGGCACCGCAUAGAUCUAAUAACGCCGCUCGAGAAAAACUCCUCAACUUCCUUCUCACCAAAUGUACGACAAGAAGGACAUUAGAGUUGGUCAAGUCUGACUGGAUGGUCCGCUUACAGAGAAUGGAAAAGCAAGUUGCUGUCCUUCGGGGGAAGGCUCCUUUUCGUCUAUUCAGUUCAUACUUUUUCUUCUUUUUUUUGCUAAAGAUUCAGUUCUUACUUCUCUUCCACUUUAUUUUAUAUCCCUUUUUAAGUUGCCGGCUUGGGUUAUGUAAUGUAAUAACCCAGAUUUUGGGCUCGUGGAAUUAGAUAAAAUUUUGCGACCUCUUUGUAGAGUUGCCGUGUGCCGUUAAAGAUCAAAUGCUUCCUUUGGCUGAGCUGGAAGAGAAGACUAAUAUGAGGGAUGCACUGGGGAAGAAGCUUGCGAAGAACUCGAGUGGCUGUGUGCUCUGCAGACUGCAAUCACCCAUCAGAAUCUGUUGACCAUUUGUUCUCCAGCUGCAAAUUCUUCUCAUCGAUUUGGAUGGAGAUUAUGUUCAUUGCGCUGUGUGUUGCACACUCAUGCUUCCUUUGAAGGUAUUUGUCUGAAUUGGAGGAGACGAAACUUCACUAAGUCAACGCAAACCGUGGUAUUCAUGCUCAAUUGGAGUGGUCCAUUCUCUACAAUAGUAAUGAUCUUGUGGAACAUGGAACAAUAUGGCGUAGUAUCAAAGGUCUUAAAGAUCAUCUUCUUGAUGCAUAAAAAACGUCCUUCCUUGAUCCACUACUGGGACACCGUUUUGAUUGCUCACCACCUCUACCGGUACUCAAGUUCAGAUUAAGCGCUGAGGAAGAAUGUAAUUCUGCGACCUCAAGCUGUUUCAUCACCCCAACUUAAAACAAUUGGUUUUGUUAUUUUUGCCUCUCUCCUCGUCUAUUGUAAAUCUCUGUUUCACCGCAGGGGAUUACCAACUUUGAGCUUUCUUUUGUAAUCCUUUUUCUAAUUCUUAAUAAAAGCCGGGUGGUCUGACCUCCCUUCUACUGAAAAAAAUAAAAAUAAAAAAAUAAAUCUUUCCGAUAAAUGUCUGAAAUUUUUUCCUUCUCCAAGUGGUCCAUAAAUCAUGCAUGUUGGCUAGUCAUCCUCUAACCACCGACAACCAUUGAUCCUCUAAUGGCGGGUUUCUUAAUUUCAAAACUUGAUUUCNNNNNNNNNNNNNNNNNNNNNNNNNNNNNNNNNNNNNNNNNNNNNNNNNNNNNNNNNNNNNNNNNNGACUGGUAUGUUUUGUAAUAGAAUUUGAAUUGGGAAUUUGGGAUUUUUUAAGAUUCAGAUGAGAUGGACUCUCUCUUGCUGCAGUGUUCAUUUUCUUUUAAAGAAAUGGUUGGAUAUUAUUAGUUUUUAUUUUCUUUCCUGAGAAUAGGUCAGGCGUCUGAAAGAUCCUGACGAUCUUGCACAUGAAAUAGCUAUCCCAAACCCUGGGAUAUCCCCCGGGGACCAGACGGACCAUUGCGGGCAUGGGACAGGGAAGGAGGACAACGGACAGCUCACUCUUACCAAACGGAUAUCGGGCUAUCUCAAUAUCUGGGACAUCCCCGGGGUACGAAGACUAUUGCGGGCACAGGACAGGAAAGGAGGGCCACAGACAGCUCACUCUUACCAAACGGAUAUUAGGCUAUAUUGGACUCCCUCUCUCAGGGCAAUGUGCGAUUCAGGAUAAGGUGGACCCACUAUUCAGACCAAGUCGCUACAUCAUUUAUGCAAGCACAUCCAUCUACUGGACAUUAGGUGCAAAGUGGUACAAACUGCCGAAGCAAAAUGAAUUUGUCGAGGAACAUAUGAUUCAUGCUCGAGCAUUGGUCCCCUUCUCCCCUGCUUACAUCAACAACAAAAAAAUUUAAAAAAAAAAUCAUCUCCCCUUCCAUCUGAUUUUUUCACUGCCUUCUUUACUGCCAAAUUCCAGCCUCAUGUUUCUUAAGGAUUUGUUUGUUUCGGGGGAAGAGGAGAUAAAAAAUAAAAUAAAAUAGAAAAAUAAAAAAAUAUUUUAUAUUUGGUUUUUUUUAAAAGAGAAAAAAAUAACUUUUUCAUAAAAAUAAGAUUUUUUUUAUUUUAUGGAAAGAAAAAAUCCAUAUGGGAUGUGGAAAAGUCCAGCUCCUACAGGCUCGAAAUUAGGAUUUUUUUUUUCUGAAAGUGCCCUUAAGCUUUUAAAUAGAAUUGGCUAAGUUUUUUCUUUUUAUCAAGAGCAUAACAAGUAUUUUAUAUAGUUUUUCUAAAAAAAUAGAUACUUAAUCAAACAUAAACCACUUUAUAAUGUGUUUUUUUUUUGUCCACAAAACAUGAAAAAAUCAUUUUUCAGGCAUCAGUUCUCAAAAAAAAUAUUUCAGUAAAGAAAUUUUUUUUUCACAAACUAAAUAAGUCCACAGUUCCUUGGAUCUCUCAAUUGCCCGCAAUUGAACUUUAAAACUCAAUUGAGCAAGGAAAACUUGUUUCAGACGUUUGAUUGGCUCAAAAUGGGGCUAAUGUUGCAUAAUAUAAAGAAGAAAAGGCUCGUAGGUGGCUUCAAUCCUCGAAAGCUACUUCAGUCGACCCACUUAAAGAAAACCAAAUAAGCCCUAAGCUCCUUUUCUUCCCUUUUUCCUCCCUUGCUUCUCCAUUUCUCUCUCCUAUCUGUCUCUCUCCGGUGGCAUAUGGUGGAAGUAACGAAUCUUCUUAUGACAAAAAAACAGGUUGGAUAAAACUCCGCACCCAUUUCCAAAUCCAAUUUGAAUGGGAUUAUGAUAGAUAGAGAUUUUAUGUCCGAUCAAAUCCAGAUCCGAAUUUGGAUGUCUGUUUAUAAAUAUUGUCAGAACCUGAUCGGAUCAUAUUCGAAUAAAAAUUUCUUUAUUAGAUGUUGAUUUUAAUUUUGAUUUAGAGAUUUUUAAAUUCAGAUAUAUUGUAUCACCCACGAUAUUUUUUCUUUGAAUGGCAAGCACUCAAUCCCAUGCACCAAUCUAGUUUAUCUUACUUAAUCACAUAUAUAAAUCAUUAAAUAAUCAUUUGAUGUAUAUUAUAAUAUUUUCUAUUAUAAUUAUUUUUUAAUUAAAAAUAAAUCUUUUUUCUUUGAUAAAAAUGCAAAUGGAUAUACAUUAUUUUAUACUUCAUGAUAUUUUCAAAGACUUAUUAUUAAAAAUACUUAAUAUUUAUAUUAAGAACUUUUUUGUAUCUCUAUAUUUAUAUAAUUUUUCUUACAAGCUCUCUAACAAUAGAUAAUUCAUGUUUAUUUUUUAUUUAUACUAUAAGUAAAGAUAAUAAUGAUAUUUGAUGCAAAAAAACUUAAUAUUCUUAUAUUUUAUUUUUAAUUAUUAAUAUUUUUGUCUAUAAUAUGAUAAUAAAACCUGCACAGCCAGUGAUCUAAAUAUUUGAUGAAGUGCAUCCGAUCUAUUGGUGCGCCGCAUCCAAUCUACAUAGUGAAUUUUAUUUAUAUCUUUUAUAAUUACAUAAUUAAUAUUAGUUUUCAUCAUUAUAAUAAAAUUCAAUUCAUAUCCAAGUAAUAUUCAAGUUAUAUCCAUAUUUGGAUAGAAAAAUGGAUAUAACUAAUAUGCAACCUCUGUCUGCAUAAGUUUAAAAUAAACAUAAAUAUGCUUAAUAUUUGAUUCGUAUCGAUUUUCAUUUAGAAAAAAAUAUGGAUAAUAAUUUUAGUAUUUAUUUAAUUUCUAUAUCUAAAUUUAUAUUUAUUAAAGAAUGUAGAUAUAAAUAUAGAUAUAUCGGGAUCCAAUCCAUUCGUUUCUAACCUUAGGUAAAAAUAUAUAUGAAACUAGAACACCUCAUUUUUAUAAGCUCCAAUUAAGCUCUAUGCUACUCCAAAUAUUGUUGUUACUGACUCAGCAAAACAUCAACCACAGAGAGUAGAACCGAAUGCAGACGUCGGAAAUUAAGUAGCAUAAGCACUUGAGGACAUGAAAUAGCUUCAUUAAUGAGCCCACGUUCCAUUAAAUCCUUUUGCACCUUUGGGAGCCAUCCAUUUCAGAACUUUCAGGCCCAAGUUUGAUGCACUAACUAUGCGAGCGGAGGCCGGUAUCCCAUUAACGAUUCAAACCGUACGAGUAAUUUUCAUCAGAAUUUUUUUUUAUAGUAACAGCAUUAGCAAAGUAAUAACAACAAUAGAAAGUGUUUUAAGAAUUUCCAGAAAAUAUUCUCAAAGACGCAUCCAAAAAGUUUAAAAGAAAAAAAAAUCAAAAAGCCCAACACUAGCAAGCCAGGUUAUCUGGUUUUAUGCAUUUCUAGCAUUUUUUUUCAAAGCAAGUAAUACAUAUAGAAUAUAGCUUCAGCCAAGGAAUUCAACCCGGAGCCAAUCUGGUCCGUGGUUUGGAUAUUAGUCCGCAACCCAGCCAUGAGACUCGAACUCAACUCGGUAUGUAUCUUUAGAAGUUGGAUCCAAAGUUCCAAACCCAUUAGAAGACUGGGAAACAAGGGUUGCCGAGCCGGGCCAGCCUCUGGGCCUCAUUCCCUUUAUUCUGGACCUAGGCUCAGCUCGUGGUGCCGCACCAAUGUCAGGCUCAACAAAUCUUCCUUGGGAUAAGGAAUUGAAUUGUCACAAGCAAAGAUAACAUAUUCGUUCCCCGUCCGUGAUAUAAUAUAUAAGUUGGCAUCCUAUUCUUAGUGGAGGAAACAAAGUACGACAGGCAAAUAAAAUGGUGGAAACUAUCUUAAUUUUGUAGUUGGAAUUUUUAUGAAGAGCAUUAUGCUUCGGGCCUGGUUUGAUAGGUCUAAAUAAAAUGGUUCAUGAAUUACUUGCUUCAUUCCAUGCCAAUUUACAUGGAUAUCCAUGGUCCGAGCCUUCUCCGUUAUGGUCUGUGAGAAAUCCCAGGAAGCCCGGAGCCAGAGGGACCCGCACCACUAGAGUCCGCAGAAAGAAACUAAUUUUUAUCUGACAGGCGAAGAUUACUGCAGGUUAUGAGUCUCGAUUUAUUUUUCAAAAGUUAGGCAACCAAUAAUAGGUGAGAGAUUUUGGGGAUUUGUGUGUGUUAGUCUUGGGUUGAUUGCAGGGUUCCAACUAACAAGCAAUCACUAUGAGUUUGUCAAUUUUUAAUACUAGAAGACAUCAGUGAGAGCUUAAGGAUCACAUCAUUGCGAGGACAAACUGGAUUAGCAGAACGGAGGUCACCCGAUUAAACAAUGUGUUAUCUAGUAUCCAUGUUCUGGAAAGAUGACCGGUACCAUUAAGCUUUCUCGAACUUUACACUGAUGUUAUACAAUUAUGAGGAGUAUCCUCCGUGCUUUAGCAGGAGGAAUCAAAGCAAAUGUUUUAGCUCCUCAUCCACGCAUUGGGGUGAUCGACAUAAAUAUUAUAUGAACAAGAAGUAGAGCAGUGAUCUUCUUAAUCAUGAUUAUUUAAAAUAUAUUUAACACAUAUUGGUUAUUUUAGUUUGUACACUUCUCGUCUUGUUUUUCUCUUCCUCUUUUUAUCGUAUGUUCGGAUAUAUCAUGGAUCCGACGGGCGAAGGCUGCUGCAGGCCUUUGGCAUGAGUCUCACUUUAUUUUUUAAAAGCUAGGCAAUCAAUAAUAGGAAAGAGAAUUUAGGGAUUUAUGUUAGCUAUUUUGGAAUCAAUAAAAAAAAUCAUAUAUACCAUGGACUCCAUAUUAAUAAAAGUAGAGUGCAUGUAAUAAUAUAUAGAAGGAAAAAUCAGAUGCAUAGUCAAUGAAAAGUUAGAUGCGCAACCUUGCAUAUAAAUGUCCACCUGGUUUACUAUACGUUACUGUCAUGCAUAAUGCAGAUGUUUGAAUAUGGUAAUCCAUUGCAUGCCAAAUCUACAUGAGAUAUUAGAGGGGCAUUAGAUCUGUAUAUAGACAAAAAAAAAAAUGAUAUGCCAACCAAAAACAAGUUUGCCUUGAGCUAACAUCAACCAAUCUUACAUCGUGCUUUGGUCGAGAGGCAUGAACUAAAAUCAGAUUGGAUUGAGUUUUGCAGGAACGAUUCACAAGAUUGAAUCCACUACAACUUUUAUUAGUAGAGUGUCAAGAAUUAUGUAUUUGAAAUUUAAUUAAAACCAUUUUCGUGAUGCUUAGAAUACAGUGCCGACUAAACUAGGCCGGAGUUACAAUAGAGCCUGAAAAUAUAUACAACCCAAACCAAUCCAAUUGCAAUGCAAACAAAGUUGUUCAGCUAAGAAUAGGACUAUUGGGUUUUAGGGGCCUGGUAAUUACUUCGGUCACCCUUAAAUCUAGGGCUAAAAUCAGAUCAUCUAUAUUCAUAUUUGUUUUAUCUAACUAUAAAUACAGACAUGGAUAUUAAUCGGACGUAAAAAUUCAUAUCUAUAUUUAUUUUAAAUGGAUAGGGAUAUAAAUCGAAUACGGAAAGUAUUGAUAUACAUGCGGAUAUAAGUUGAAUAAUUAAACUUUAUGACGACAGAAUUAAAGAUAUUAUAAGUGGAUGGUAAAUCGAAUAAAUUACAUAUUAAUAUGGUUAUAUAUUUUUCUUAAAAGUUAAUAAACUUUAUAUAAAAUUAAAUAGGAUUAUAAAUAGAAUCAGAUAUUUGGAUAUUGAUACGGAUCGGAUAGCGGUCUAUCCAUAUCGAUAUCUAUUUUUCUUUAACAGAUAUGGAUACAGAUGCAGAUAUUAAUUGGAUGCUUAAAUUUCCAUACAUAUCCGAAUAGAUACAGAUAUAAAAAUAUAUUCGUUUGGAUAUUAUCCGGCCUACUUUUAUCUCUGCUUAAACCGUGCAACAUGCAACAAGUUGCACACUUCCCGCAUAAACCACACUAGGCUCCCUUUGUUGUGCAGGGCCCACGUCAGCUCAAGUUGGGCUGGUACCAACCAUGCAACGUGCGGAUCGCGUUCAUCUUAAAUUACGAUUCGGGGAAAUUAAGAUAGGAUUAUGAUUCAACGUAGAAUCCAUUCCGUGACUUUCAAGAGUAGCGUAGUGUUUGCACGAAUCUAUUGUACAUUCCCUAAUAUAUAUAGUUUUCUCCCAUAGAUAAUGAUAACCCCAAGCACCACACAGAAUACCAGUCCACCAAGGCUUACAAGGAAGACAAUGAGAGGCAAAGAUAUAUACUCCGCAUCCAGAGCCAAUCACACGGAAAGAAACCCCGAUGGCCUUCAAAUCCCACUACCCUGACAAUAAAAGCAACCAAAACAAGGAACUCAGCCUUUCUAGCACAGGAAGAAUCGCAGAAUCCUUUUACAUACUUCUCUUCAAUCAUUUUAAAUGGGCAACUCAUCCUUUGGUGAGAAGAAGGGCCCAUCACUAGCUUCCUCGUGCCGUCAACUUAAACUUGCCUAGCUCUCGAAGUAUAAAAUAUAAUGGCAGGAGCAAUCCCUGAGGGAUUAAAGCUAGAGAACCAUUCUAAAAAGCAGCUCAUUUGAGAGAAUCCAAAAGGGACGCCCAUGUUCUGUUAUUCUACUCCCCACUACACAAUUCCUCUUGCAACUUCUUUAUGGGACCGAAUCAGAACAUGGGAGCCCCAACAGGGCUGAUCCGUGCCCUUUGAAGGGCAUCCGAGAUCUUCCAUAAAGAGAAAGAAUGAACAAGGGCUUUUUGGAGGGGGCGAACAAGACAUGGCAUUCUUUUCUAUCUACUAUGGAAAGGGACGCAUGGACUGAGACUCAGCUACAUCACCCGCAAUUCUGUUCCCCUCAUCGAUCUCCAAUAUAGGAAGAAAUUUUUUUUUUCCUUUGUUUGGCUGACGAUUUUGGAACUAAAGGCAUCCAUUGGCUUUGUACGUACAAGGAUUCUGCAAACAAGGCGAAAACAACUAAAUCAACCAUUUCGGAUAAGCUUGCACCGGUUUGCUGCUAAUAAGUAACUCACGAAGCUGCUCGGAAAGAAAAUUGCAACUAUUCCAGGUGCAACAAACCUGCUCGCAAUAUCAUCAAAAAAAAAGAGAGAAAACAACAAAUCUGCUCACGAUUUAUUGCAACUUUAUGUACGCACUGGACUGCCCUCUACUGCUGCAGCUCGGUCUGUGGUGUUGUAGGUCAAAAAUUUGGUGGUUGAGUUUUCUUUUUUCUCCCUGAAGCUAGAGCUACAUGCGAACUUACACAUGAUAUAUUGAACAAUGUAAAAGUGUUGGACGCAAGAACUAAACUUACAAGUGAUCAGCAAAGACGCGAGCGAAAAUAGAAAGGAAAAUACCUUGAUUUAGUAUUAUAUAUUCCACUCUACGUAGAAAUAGUCUUCUUAAACUUUGGAUACUUAGGAGAGAAUUGGAGCAAAAGAGAGAAAAUUAACAUGAUUCAGAAGAAAAAAGAUGCAGGAAUGAGAAGUAUGGAAGGAAGUAAAUUUGAAACGUAAUGGAGGGAAGCGAGCAUUAAUUGCCCUCCUCUGGAAAAGAGGAAAAAAGAAGGCUGUUUUGGCCCUAUCUUCUUGUAAGCUCUUUAUUCCUUGUGCUGUGACAGUGAAACUACAAAGAAGGUUCCACAAGUCUCUCUGCAUGGACGUCCAAAGCAAAGAAAAGGAUGUGCAAAGAGACAACCAUGCACGUUCCUCUCUCUCUCUCUCUCUCUGUGGCAACAAUGAGAGUAACUAAAGGUAGGUCAUCACUGCUGAGAAACUUCGCAUCUCGUAGAGCACAAUCGAAUAGAAUACUGCAUAAAGCGGGACUAAAGUGGUUCUUUAUUUAAGCAUAUUUAACACACACAGACCUGCACUCGCAUCAUUCUCUUAUCUUUUGUAAUAGAUUAAAGAAAGGUUUAGGCGGUACAUUUUGAUUACAAAUGACGUUAUGAUUACCUUGUUAAGUAGUUUGUUGGGGAACAUUUAUGUAAGAGUUUUGAAAGAAAUUUCAGAUAUUCAUACGGCUUUCUUAUAAAUGCACUAAAAUUCCAUGAGCUGAUUCUCUUGCCAGAAUCAUCUUGAUCCAAAAUUCUUUUCGACUAAUAAGGAAGUAACUUUUUCUCAAAUAAAAUGGUGGGUGCCUGCUAUCUUAGUUUUAUGGUUAAAAGGGAUAAAUCACUUGGCUACAUUAUACACAUAAUAUUAGAAUUAUUUUUUAGCAACAUUGAAAAUUCAAAAGAUUAUGCAAUGCCUGGUGUACUCAAACAACAUCCUAAGCUUGUUAAAGUUCUUAAAAUGAUAGAGCCAAGAGAGCUAAAAUCUGUGACACACUAGUUUCUUAAUUAGACUGUAACCAGCUGCUGUUUUGUUGUCUUUAUACACUUAAUAUUUCCGAAUUCUUAAAAGGAAAGAAAGGAUUAGGCAAAAAACCAAUUUAAAUUGAAAAAGAGAAACAUUUAUUCUUCAAGCUUCAAAACCAUUGAAAACUUCACUUCCAUCAAAAACAACCACUACAAUUGAAAGGUUCCCCCUCAAGGAAAGCCUUCUUGUUUUCCCUUCCUCUUCUCAUUUUUUCUUUUAAACAUAUAGGAAAAAUUACACAUGAACAAUAAAGUAAAAAAUAAUAUGUAAAUAAUAGUUAAAAUUACAAUUAGUAAUAAUAAUAACAACAAUGAAAAGUGAUGAUGGGGAUGAUAUGGUAAUGAUGGCAGUGUUGAUUUUGAUGCAUGGUUCAUUGGCUCUAGGCAUUUUGGCCUUCGCUUCUACUGCCAACAACAGCAACAGCUUUCUUUUUCUUUUUCUAUCCUUCUUCUUCUUCUUUUUUUUUUUUUUUUGCUUUUUUUCCUUUUCUUUUUCACCAACACCUUUUCACUUUGUUUCUAUCCAACCUGGAUUAUCGUACAGUUAGUUUUUUUUACUUGCUGAGCCGUCAGCUACUUACCCAAGUCCCUUUGCGAAGAAGAGAGAGGGUAACCCCUUUUUUUUUUUUUUUGCUGCCUCCCAACUUGUUUCACUCCUUGAAAAAAACAACACUGUAAGUCCAAGUACUGAUGAUGCUAAUAAUGAUGUUCUGUUAGCUUUCUUGGUUUUCCUCUUCUUUGUUGUUACCCAUGAUGAUCUGGGUUGUCAGGUGACCAGUAUGAGUACUGCCAUUCUUGGGAGUGUGGAAUUGAUGUUUCCUGCCAUGGCAUGCAAAGGAUUCAAAAAACAAAAAUGUCAGGUUUUUUAUAUGUAGAUAUUUGCAUGAGGCCCAACCACUUUUGAUCACCACCCUUGUAUAAAAAGAAGAGAUUAUGUAUCGGUAAAAUAAAAAAAAAGACAUGAGGCAUGGACAAAUUUAGUUAAGAAUUUAAAUACACAUAUUUUGCAAGAGGAAAAAGAUUUACAUUUUGCUUCUUAUUUCAAAACAAAUAACAAACAACAUGGAGAAAAAACCACAGUAACAUGGCACUGCUUGGUCUAUUCUGGUGUUGGUAGAUAUAUAUAAACCAUGCAAUAAACAGAAAAUGGGUGGCAUUUUGGUUUUACAUCAUUAGACAUGAAAAGCAGGAAAGAGCCUCUUUUUUCUUUUUCUUUUUCUCUUCUAUAGCAGUUUUAACAUGUUCUUUAUUACUGCGAGUCCUAGUGUGAAAGGAAGACAGCCCGCAAGAUAAAAAGCUUGUGUCUUCACUUUUGUUGGUUUGAAAGGAAAGAAAGGCAGGUUCGGUUUUUAUAUAUCCAGGUCAUGUAAUAGAGGAGGAUGUCGAUCUCUCUCCUUCUCCCUCUCUCUGCCCGCGCGUAUGCAUGCGUGAUGCGUGCAUGCGAGCGUGCUUGCGAGAGUGCUUGCGUGCGUGUGUCUCUUCCCAACAUCCCUUCCCCUUCUCACACGCCCAUUCUUCCUCCAAGGUCCAGAUUCUAUUUUUGUUUGCAUGCUCAAAAAGAGAGAGCCAGUAAAAUAAGUAUACGAAGUGAUGCAAAUGAAAGGGGGAGGAGACACAUUGUUGUACUGUUUGACAUCUGUUGUCCUCAUACGAAACCAGAUGGCCCCACCUUUGAUUUUAAAUUCACCAGCUGAAACCCAGUUCUGCGCAUAGCUUGGGUUGCCCAAGAAGAAACAAACAUUGUCCAAUUAGAAUAAAAAUACUUUGAUUUUCGUUUCUUUGUCUCAUCCGGACCUACUUACGGUAAUUAGCUUCGUUACAAAUAUGUUGUUUUUUUCCCCUGAUAACUCGAUAGUGUUCUCUUUUAUAGCUGCAGGUAGUUUUAACAAACUAAACCGACCAAGAAAAAGGAAAUGGAAAGAGAAAGAGAAGCGUUUCUCAUGUGAAUUGGCAAUAUUAAACAUCUAGAUUCCGGGUUUUGAAGGUUCAGACUUACUCCUUUAAUGCCGGCCGCAGUGCAACCCAUUAUCAAUUCUUCCAGGCCAGAAGUAGAUCUAUGAUCCAGCUUCUGCUGCUGCUGCUGGUGCUGCUGCUGUUCACAGUUGAAUACCCAGUCAAAAAUUUUACAAGGAAACAUCUAAUGAGAAACUAUUAAUUUCUAAAUCACAGCAAUCCAGCCAAUCUAUUGGUCGGUCCCACACUCGGACCAUAUGCCAUGUCGGACAUGGUUAUGGUGUCGCCAUAUGAGAACACCAGUGUAAGCAAAAGAGGAUAUAUAUAUAAAUGGCUGGGAUCCAGCAACAUUAAGAUGCUAAGCACUCCCACGUACGCUAUAAAGGAUUGACACGUAGGUGACAGUUUAAUGCAAAUGGUCCAACACACCAACUCAAAGCCACCCUUGCUUAGGCUAUCAAGAUGUAGUUAUCCAAUGAAAUUAGGAGAUACCUGAAACUUAUCAGUUUGGAGCAGGAGCCCCGAGACAUGGUAAGGGUCAUCGAGCACAAUCGAGGUUGGGUGUGGAGGAGGAGGCGAGAUGAUGGUGGAGAUGGGGUUUGUAGGCCUGCUAAUAUGGAAGGCUGCAAUCGGCGGCGCCUGCCGAUGCUGAUGUUCUUGAGCCACAUGAUGAUGCUGCGGUAAUGUGUGGAAGUGCUCAUGUUCCUCAUGCUCCUCUCGUGCCUUCGGUGCUGUCUCUCCCAUGCCGACCUGCUCCAAACCCAUAAAAUUAACAGUUGGAGAUCAAUAUAUAUAUACUCUUUUCCCCCAUUUUCUCCUUCCCUUCUCUUUCAUGCGACCCUUUUCUCCCACCUCUUUUUGUUUUUUUGUUCAAGGGAAGGUGAAUUGAUUGAAGCUAUAUUAAACGGUGAUAAAGUGUUUACAGAGUUUUUUUGAUAUAAUAUUUAUAGUGUCUUUUGUUAUGAUGAACGUGGACAUUGGUUCUUUGGGUUGCUUGCAAUUGGAACAAAAUGAUGUGAAAGUUUAGCUAAGAGGGUCUAUUUUGUUCUUUUGCUUUAUAAAGAUAGGCCAGGCCCUAUGCUAUUUGUGUUUACGACUGGACUUGUCAAAGUGAAGCAAUAGAUGGUACGAUAUAAAUGACGGAAUUAUAUCAUAUAAAUGUUCGUAUACAUGUGAUAUUUACGUUACGGUGUGUUAUUAAUGAUGGAAUUAUGGACUUACAUGCCACUGAAGAUUUUAUAGAUCAGUUCGAGGAAGGAGGAAAGACCAAGUACUUUUUAAGUAUUAUUCAAGUAAAAUUCCUUGUGUUUUACUUGGGGAAGCCCUUGUCAUAACUAAAGUUCAGAAACUUAGAACAUGCAUUCUCGAGUCUCUUGUAGUCUCCUAAGGCGAAUCUAAAAAAUCAUAUUAUGAAAAAAAAGAAGAAGUGUUCCUAUAAAGGUAAAUAAACAGCAUGGAAUUGAAAAGCUCCUUCAACUUUGCUUACCCUUUCUGAUAUGUACAAAUAGAUUGGGGAUACUCAUAACUUUGCCAUCAUUGUAAACCAACAGUAUAUUUAUGCGAACACUGUCGAUAGGUUGUUCAUGGGUACAUCACAAAAGGAACAUCCAACCAACUUCUCGUACGUUUUGUAGUGUUGCAAUCUAAGUUAGGUUGUUUCCGAACGAAUAAGAACAAUAGUUUAAUUUGAAGUACGAAUAGGCGCAGCAAAUGCAUUAAUCGUUUUUGGCCCCUCGAGAGAACAAAUGCAUCAGUUGUGGAAAUAAAUGGAUCAUUCAGUGCAAGACUUUAUAGACACGUACCUCAUCAAAGCUCUUCCUAAAUGGAGCAAAGCUGAAAUUAUCUGGCUUGAUGUUCUGCUGGAUCUCCAAGGCACUGUAUCCUGAGAUACCAACCCCGGAAGUGAGCUCAUCCCUCUGGCCGACCACCUCUUUUGAGGAGCAGCUCCCACUCGCACUGUCCCGCCUGUUGUCCAUUAUCCCCUCCCCAGCUGCUGCUGCUGCUGCUGCUGCACUACUCCUGUCUGACCAGUUACACUGCCUUGGCUGGGUCUGGUAGAAUAUCUUAGACACCACCAGCUCCCCUUCCUUCUCCUCCUCUAGCUCGCCCAAGUGGUACUGGUGCAUGACCCAGUUGGUCUUCUCAGGUUUCCUGUGCUUCCCAAAGUUGGUGUAUAGCACUAGUAUUUUCUUGCAGCCCUUUUGCUUUCCAUUGACCAUUACCGGCCUAGUUUUGCCGGUCUUAUGCCACCUUGUCUCGCCCUUCUGGAGGUCGCACUCUGUUUGGAUCUUCCUUCUCUUUCUUGUGCCCGUGGUGUAGGCCUUUGAUGGCCUGUGGAAGAAGUGUUUGCUCAGGCCAUCUCUCGUCACACCUGAAACGGAGGCACACCAGAUAAAUAUUGGAUGGGAAUUAUUUGAAGUUAGGUGUGACGUCCAAUGGGACCAGCAGCUCAGAUUUUCCUGUCAGAUGCAACAACCUUGAGAGGCAAAACCAAACCAAACCAACCUUCAGAGAGGUGAGGAACCUAUUUAGAAACUUCUGCAGUAUCUUUCCACCAUCACGAAGAGAGAGAGAGAGAGAGAGAGAGAGAGAUCCAGUUUACAAAAAACCAAGGAAUAGUUCUUUUAUUUCUAUUUUUUUUAUAAAUAGCAAUUCUUUUGCAUGUACCCACAUGGAGAGAGAGAGAGAGCGAGGGAGAGAGGGAGAGAGGGAGAGAGGGAGAAACACCAAGUGAGUGCUGAAGAAAGGAGGAAGAAUGGAACUUAUACCUCAUAAAACUUUUUUCUAUAUACUCAAAGAACCCAAAGAAAAACUGCAUAAAAUAACAAUUACUUUGAGAGAGCUAUCUAACCUGGGAGUUUCUCAGGAUGAGUGUAGCAGAUGCCAUCUUCUCCUUCUAUUGUGGGUAUAAACUCAUCUAUCAGAGGAUGGGACCUUGAUGCUUCUCCUUUAACCUUAGCCUCGAGGUGUUCUAUCAAUUCUUGGUCCGUUGGAUCAAAUUUUACUCCUGCUGGUAGCCCAAGCCAGUCCUGCAAUUCUCAACCAUAACACGGAAACUACUUCAUUCUUGUAACUCUACUGCUUAAUUAAAGACUUUCCGAGAAUCCCUCCGAUGACUAAUAAACUAGACUUUACAAAAUUAAAACUACAAGUAUACGGAGUUCUUAUUAGUUCCAUUUAAUAACAGUUACUUCUACCAUAAAGAGAGGCACAAAUGUUGUGAUGGUCUUUUAUGUUUGCGUACCGGCUUUCCAUCGAGCUCGUGGCCACAGCUGGGACACUGCUUUGAUCCACACAUCCGAUGCUCUUCGAGCUUGGCAUCGAUGAGAUCGGAGCUGCUGACUGAACCUAUGUGACUCCUGUUCAUGGCUACUUCAUGGGCAGCAGACGUAUUCCUUCAUUACUAUACUGUAAAUCUCUUAGAAGAAAUCACGCCAACUAUUCAAACCGAGUAUACGAAUCGAAAUCGGAAUUCCCCUCUGCAAACAUUUAUGAGCACCAAAAAGAAUUAGCAAACAGUUCUUGCUCAAUUGAACUAAAUAAGCCAAAACAUAAAGGAAAGGAAAGUAAAUAAUAAAACCGGGUGCAUAAAUAGUACAAAAACCACUGAUUCAACUGAUCACGAAGAAAGAAGCAGCAGAAGGCGAAAAGUAUUUACCGAGAAAUUACAAUUAAUAGCAAUGAAGGUGGAAGAAAAUUAUUCUUGAAUGAAACCUGGGUCCAGGAUAAGGAAUUCAGCGAAAACCAGAUAAGAGAAGAGACCUGGAGCUAAGGAGAAGGAAGGAGAAAGAAAGGGAGGGAGAAGAGGGAGAGGGAGAGAUGCCAAGAUAAGAAAGAAGCGAAGGGAGAAAAGGGGAGACUGCAAGUGUUCUAUUGAUCUAUAAAACCUUCUUUAACUUGAAAAAAAAAUACACCAGAAUUCCUACUUUAACUGAAGCCCAUGAGAAAAAGGAAAAGUUCCCUAAAAAACAGACUCUCACACAUACAGCAACCCUCUAAACCUAUGCCCAAAAUCUGGCUGUGUAGGCUGAGAGAGAGAGAGAGAGAGAGAGAGAGAGAGAGAGAGUNNNNNNNNNNNNNNNNNNNNGAGAGAGAGAGAGAGAGAGCUUACUUUUGGGUGUUUUUUUAGGGGUUCGGCUACUAAAGCAAAAGCACGAAACGGCCUUCACAGCUGUUACUGCACAUUCCAAAGAGCCCAAACUGAACACUAUUAAACAUAAAGCAUUAACACUCACACAUGGAAUUUGCUCAUAAAGAGAGCUAAUUCAGGUUUGUCUCCCUAAAGAAAAAGACCCACUUCUUGGAUUAAGCCAAAAAGAAUAUUUUGAACCACCAGUCCUUCAAAGAAGAAAGUAUCCUUCCAAAAAUAAAAUAGAAGCUGGAUCUCUAUUUUUUUUUCUCGCAUGAAAUGAUGGAAUUUGAGAUAUUUUUCCUUUAUCUAAUAAUGAAGCUGUAGAAGGGUUGGGGGGGUUGCGGGGUUGAUAGAAACUCACAUGGGCUUCGGGAUGUGCUGAAAUGAUGAUCCUUUUUGGCAUGAGGGAGGAGGUUUGCAGAGGGAACGGGGGGGCGCAGAGGUGAAUCCAAAGGUUGCUUCAUACGCAAGGCAAAUGGGCAGUACACUUGAUGGACCCCAAAUAAAAUAAACUAAACUAUAUAAUAUACCACAUGAACAAGCAAACUUUAACGACACGCAGGACCAUAUGUUAUUAUAUGCUAUUCCGAACUUUAAAUGUAUAGGCGUACUUGUAGAAUAUUACCGGCAAUAUUUAAUAUAAAUAAUAUUUUUUAAAAAAUCUGAGCCUCUUUUCGCUUUUUCCUGUAGCAUUUCAUGUUUAUGUCCAACCCCUUGCGGCAUGCGGCCUCAUGCAAUGCAUUGUUAAGAAAAUUAUACAGGUGUUAUGGAAUAUUUGGACCCACGGCUCGAUCGAAUAUCUUCUUGUUGAGGGAAAGGGGGGGGGAGGGAAGAACGGAAGAAGGGCAGGCUAGUAGCAGUAUUAGCUUGCGGUGGUUUCUGCCUGUGAGGUGUGUACGUGUAUGGCCGCAAGGAAGGAGAGAAGCGACAUGGUUAGGGUUGUCUAAAAUUGGCUCUGGUUUCCUUCUCCUGCCGUAGUACUCCACUCGUUAACAACCUUCAUAUCUCUCUCCACGAUUCCUUGAACUUGAGAUUAUAUGUACUCUUGCAUGCAUCAGCGCAUCUCUAUUAUUCUUGUCAUCUUGGCAUAUACGAGCAAAUAUAGUCAUUUGCUCUCUACUUUUAUGUUGCAAUUUAUUAUAUAAUAUAUGGUUUGAAAGCUUAUUGCACUACCCAAAGGACCACACGAGGUGGUCGUACCUGCUAUUCUCAAUGGUUUUUUAUUUUUAUUUUUUGGGUAAAAUGGAGAAGUAAGGUACUUCAACAUAUUAUGUUGGAUUGUAGUCUCAAUCUUGGGGACCACGUCUAUGCCGAGUCACUUGGAGAUCUUAUCAUUGAAAAGCUGUCUGAUACAUUUAUACCCACAUGUACUGGGUGUCCAUGACUUAAGGAGGUUCUCCAGUUCGAUACCUCCGCAUGGAGGAGGACUAUUCUUCGACUCUCAUGACAUGUAUAUGGGAGCAAUUCCAACCUGAUCCUUACAGGUAAAAAUUAAUUAAUAUUGGAUAAAAGAUAAAUAUUUAUUCUAUAAAUAUGAGAUGAGUCCAUAUAUAAAUAGAGCUUUGGAUUUAGACCUAAAUCUAAGACGCAUUCCACAUAUCCCCUUACAAAUGAUGGAAUUUACAAAUUUCUAUGCAUCUGUUGCAUAUGCCGCCCAAAAUUGCUAACGAAGCAAUAUUUCCCAUUAGCACAAGGCAUCUUACCUCACUUUGGAUGUGAUGGCAAAAGCAAGCAGACUCAAAGAGUCAUGCCGAUCUCAAAUCCAUUCAUAACUUGAUUAUUAAGCAUAUGUAUAAGUUUGUAGUCCAAGAUUGAUCUCUAUAGUUUCUGAAGGAAAAGGAAGGAGAACCACCUCUAUUAUAAUUAAUUAUAUAGAUUUUAGUUUUUGAGACACACCAUUUAAGAAUUAAGAUGAAGUCGGACCAUCCGGGUGGCAUUCAGAAAGAUACAUAUAACCGCUGAGUCAAGUCCAGAUUCAUCAGGUCCACCAUAGUUUGACUUUUGGUGUCAUGAGAAUUACAAGAGAGAAUAAGAUUACGCCUCCUCUAGCUAGCUGUGUAGCUGUGCUAUCGAACCAGCCAUGAGACGGUUGGCUGUUCACGCACGAACGAAUGCAGCUGUAAUAUGAUCGUGAGGGCUAUCGACGACUACGGGAGAGGAGGGGGUGAAGUAGUAGAGGUAGGAGGCAGUGUGAAAAAGGGUGAGCGGCGAAAGACUGCAAGAUCUAGGACGAAACCCGGAAGCGGUGGUGGGCUCCAUAUCCAUUCCGUGUUAGGACAGUUGGGCCGCAACUCUCAGGGUUGAGCAUUGCUCAAAUGGAAAGGUAAGAUAAUCUGCGGGUCCCACGACCCACCGCCGCGCCGGAGCCCGAUCGCAAUUGCCCAAACCGAUGAUGUAGAUUCUAGAUCACAUCCAUCCAGAAACCCAUCUUGCCACCGCCCCUCGCAGAUGCAUGACUUUUAAGGCUUGUUUGGCUCGUAGAAGAAGAAGGGGAAAAAAGUGUAGUCAACGAGAAAGUAAUAAGAUGCCUCUUAUUUGAUUGGAGUUUUCAAAGAAAAGAGAUGAGAAAAUGGUAUUCCCAUGAGAAUAUGAUUCCCACAUUUCAUGAAAAAAAAUUUUCCAUAAGAAAUACAUUCCCAUGAGGCGGAAAUCACUUCAUCUUUAUUUUUUUCCAAAAAGAUCCUUCAGCAUUAAAGAUACAUUAAAGACCUAAUUUUUAUCAAGGAUUAAUAGGAAUUACACAUAAUUUUUCCAGAAAAGUGGAUGGUCAACCAAACAUAAGCACUCUGAAAAUCUGUCACUUUUCCAUAUUUAAUCAAACUUGUCAAAAGUACAUUCCCAGACAUUAGGAAUCAUAUUCCUAGGCCCAGUUUCUUUUUAGGAAUCAUAUUUCUAGGCCCAGUUGCCGAUAUAGGGCUUCGGCCCAUAGGAUUGUUAAUUUCGUGUGUAGGUUUAAAGAGUUUUGCAGAGUGCAGGCAAUAAAUAUCAUCACCUUUUGUUUUUCUUGAUUAGAAUCGUACAACUUUUUAGCGAUCAUGUGACGAUACUUAUCGUUUUAUGCAGACAUAAGUCUUAGCACAUGCCAUCAACACGUGGAAAAUCAAGAGUGUGUCAGCUCUCAAUAACAUUAAAAGCCCAAGCAACAGACCCCGUCCGCCCAUGUUAUUUGUCGUGAAAUAUUUGCCUAGAACUCCAAAUAUUGAGAAUAAAGAGUAAUGGUUAUGACACCACUAAUUUGCCGUUAUAUUGGAAAUAUAAUGGAAAAAAGGUAUAAUUUGAGGAGCCGCAUUUUUUUUUGCGGCCUCUCAAUCGGCACCUCCGGAACCGAACCCACAAAAUGCUAGUAGAUGCAAUGUAUCCGAAAUUCUCCUCUAUAACUAUUAUAUUACUCGCAUGACGUUAUAGUAGCCGAAAAUGUGGUGAAACUUUGAGCCCAUUCUUGUACCUAGUUCACCAGGCCCAGAUGGGCUGAUGAACGACUAGCUUGAACUUAACUACAAGAUGGUUGAUGUUUCAUGAAAGAUUAGCCUGUAAUUGUGCAAGCACAGUAACAUAGUUUUCUAAAGCAAAAUAACAGCAAUAACAUUAAGAACUGACAACUGGUCGUUCAUUUUAAUGCUUAGAGAGGAAGAACGGGUGGAGAAGUUUUCUUGCUAUCCCUAAAUACAGCGAAAAUCUGAAUGCAGCCCUAAUCCUAUUACUUCUGAGGCAUCCUAGGCAAUGUGGAGCAUCAGAUUUACUUGAAACUAUGUCAAAAUAAUAAGUUUGAUGGCUUCAGAACACGCAAUAUUGGAAAAUCAUUGCGAAAUAUAAUACUGCAUACCAAACAGCUUGCUGCAGUGAGCAUAACUACAAGUCUGGCAUUCAAGGAAUAAUUUAGCUAGAAGUAAAAUAAAUAAAUUUAAGAAUCAUUAAUCCCUGAUGCUCUUACUGAUUGAGAAAGUUAGUGGCGAGAUCCUCGAAGGAUGUGAUACUACCAACCGGGAGACUCCCGAACCACCUAUUAGUUAUAUUUCAAUAUUUUUUUUACUUGAUAAACAUAUAAAUAUAUUAAGUAGAAAACCCAAGAAAAAGAGUAGGAGUAGAUCAGCAGAAGCUCAAAUGCAACAGCUUGUUCGACUAAAGCCAGAGGUGCCAGAUGUUGCAGAUAUCUCAUUUAAGUAGCAGGCCAAGAAAAGUAGUUGGCUACAACGAGAAGGGAUUUAAGUACCCUUUAAAUUUGGGAAGAAGGCUUAGAUGAUCUAUUAGAUGUUGAAGAAAUCUUGAUAUUUAUAGUUACUUUGACAGCCUGUUAAAGAAUAGCAGCUUGUCAUUUACAUUUAUCAAAUUUCUUACACAUUCAUCUAUAUAUGAAAUGAGUAAAGGUUUUUUUUUCCAGAAAAAACAGCCACAUCUUAGGUGCUCUUCCAACAAAAUUAAAUUGCAUUAAUAUAGCAUUCUAAUGAGAAACAAAUCGAAGAAAAAUGAAAAGACGAAAGGAAAAAUAUGCAAGCAUAAUUUAUGGGGCUACUUAAUAUUGAGCAGAGUACAUACUGUUACACCAGUGCUGAUUUGCCAUGUUUAUGGCAAGGAAUGAUAAACAUAUUAGGUUUGUAUAAAAAACAUUUACCUAAAUAUCUUAGAGACAUGUAGAAAAAUCAAGUGCCUCCAAUGCAUAUGCGGCUGUUGCUGUAAGUUCCUGCAUAACUUUGUUACAGAUAAAAAGAUAACCAUUAGAAACCACCAGACUACAGAAGAGACAUCACCAUUGCAAAUUAAAUCAAACAUAAGAACAAGGCUGGCAAAAAGGGGACACAGCUGGACAAGAAUAUCCUAUAAAUGAUCUAACACCAAGAGAAAACCCUUAAUAGAAAGGUGCUUAACAUGAGUUAUUUCUAUUAAUAUAAGCGAUGCAUUCAGGGUCAGUGGCACCGGGGAAUGAAGAGCAACAAAACAAGCAUCUUCACUAUUUCACAUAAAAAUAAAAAAAAAUCAUGCAACUCUUCAGCUAAGGUUUUGGUCAAUGAGAGCCUACAAGAUGGAUUUUAAAGUUAUCAGAUUUUAAACCUAUGUUUCUAGAUUUCAGGGGAUUCAGAUAGUAAUUUGAAACAUGGAUUCCUCACUCUCUCCUGUGUGAGCUUAUUGCAAUAAUUCCAUCUGUCUCUUGCCUUGAGGAGAAAGAAAAACUCCUUCAAAUAUAUUAAAAUCUCCCUGAAGCAUACUAAAAUCAGAAAACACACCCUUUUUACUCAGAGUACUCAUACCUUAUGAAUCUGAUUUCUCUGGAAUCCGCUCUGACUUCCCAUGCACAUUAUUUAUUUUUGGCAUACUUGUUUCUCUCCAAAUUGCUUGAACUUCAUCAGUUCGAAACCUCUGGGUAAAUGUUGAUUCCUCUAAAGGGGUGGUCACACCAUGUGCAAAUGCAAGGAGACCAGUAUAUGCUAUCAUUGCCCCAUUAUCGACACAGUACCUAUCAUCAGUUGCAAAAAGCCUACCACCCCUUUCCGAGCACAUUGUCCUCAUCAUCUCUUGCAAUCGUUCAUUACAUCCGACACCACCAACAAUGAGAACAUCCUUCUUAUCACAGUGUGCCAUUGCUCGUUCUGUGAUUUCAACAAGCAUAGCAAACACUGUUUCCUGGAACGUGACACAGAAAAAUAGAAUAUAAAUCACCUAUUCCAAUUAACCAAAUCAGUCAAAAAAACAAAAAAAGCUGCAAUUGUUUAAGGUUUGAGUUAUUUAAAUAUGUUUCAUCUAAAAUCCGUAACCAUGAAUCAUGAUCAAGAAUUUUCACCCUUAUUAGCAAUAAAAUGAGUGUAUAAUAAAUAUACCUGCAAGGAGUAACAAAGAUCUGCAGGUGUGCAUUCAUUGUUUUUAAGCUUCUCGACAGCAGUAGCUUCUAUAUAGCUCAAUAUCCCACUAAAUGAAACAUCCAUACCUUUGACAACAUAAGGAAGAUCUAUAAAUUUUUCUCCUUUCUUUGCAAGCUGAAUCAACGAAACACCACUUCAGAUGAUUAUCAAUUACUAUAUGAUACAUUAAAGGAAGAUUGAUAUGUCUCCAGUGAAGAACUUAAGCAAAUGAUCUCAUGGAAAAACAUAAGGUGAUAGGUGGCCUUCAAAAUCACGAAAAAAAAAGUGGAACUGUAAAAACUGACCUGUAUAUAUCGCAGUAUCAUCUGAGCAAAGAAAUUGGCAAAAACUUAUUUAUGAAAAAAAGGAGCAACAUUAACAAUCUUUUUAAAAUUAUGCCAGCACAACUAAAUCAUAGUGCUGCUUUGCUUCCUAUAUCAUUCCCUCCUUUCUCCAUAGUAACUACAGAACUUCUCAAAAGAAGGGACCUAGAUCAAUAGCAUACUUCCUGUUUGGGUGUGCUUAUGGUUGGUAAGUCUUAAGGGAAAGAAUGUAAGAGUCUAGGAUUUUCUGAAGGUAGGGAAGAUGACCAGAAGAAAAUCCUCAAGACAAUUUCAGAGUAUCACUUGUUUAUGAGAAAAGUAUAACUGGACUGGAUUUCAUUUUCAGAUAUUGACAACCAAGAGGUACAUAAUUCCAUUACAUGCAGACUCAAAGAGAACAUCAGAGUGUCAAAAAGCAUAUAAUUAUUCUUAAUUUGCCUAGAUUGAUAGUACUCAUUUUGGAAAUUAUAUUGAGCAUGCUGCCUAGGUGAUAUAGCUAUUUAAUUAGUAGACAGAUGUAGCCAUUUAAUCAAUAGAAAGAUAGCUUUAAAGGACCAUAGAUAGUAUGACCAACCAAAGAUAAGUUUUAUCAAUUUGAUUGACAAGAUCAUUUUUGUUUGUUACGCAAGGGUUUUGAAUUUUUCACCUCUGAGGUAAGGUAUUUUGUUACCAAGUGGUGCAAUAUGUACCAUAACCACCAAACAUGAUGCUGUUAAUUUAGACAUGUAGAUUUGCUGGUGUAAAUGGUACACAGUCAUACCCUGUAGUCCCUAUCAAUAAAUAACCAUGUCAUCUAUCAAUCUGCAACAGCUUGUCUAGUUUAAUAUAAGAUCCAAAGGACAGAUGCAAUUUGAUGGUAGAAAUAUGAAGUACAAAAUUAUUCAAGUCCUUAUGUCAUCAUAUAAGAAUAUAAGACAGAUUUUUUUAUGUAUUUCAUAUUAAUCUGACAUUUUUUUUCCACCAACAAGUAGUCUAAGAAGUUCAUCCAUGGAUUAAUUUCCAUGAGGCCCUUUAAAUUGCAUGCACAGUUGAUGAUGAGCUGAUAACCAUGAAUAAACACAUGGGUUUAAAGAUGCUCUUGGAAGGAGAGAUAAAUAAAGGGGUUUCAGCUGCAGUUCCACAAUUUUAUCCCACUAACCAUUGGAAUACCAACCAGACAAUGAAUAAAGCUAUUCGCUGGUUAGCUGGUUAGAGGGUGAAUACCAAUGAUUCAAGUUAUUCAAUGUUGGUCAGCUAUUCAGCAUCCAAAUGCAAUCUUAGAUGGUGGGUACUCAUGGUUAAAUCUACUUAGGGGUGGUUAGCAAAUCAGCAUCCAAACACAGCCCAAAAGAAUACUAGAGUGUCAACAGACAUCUAAUUAUUCUUAGUUUCCAUAAAUUGAUAGAUUCAUUUUACAAAUUAUAUUGCAAACGCUACCUAGGUGAUGUAGCUAUCUAAUUAAUAGAAAGAAAGCUCCAAAGGACUAUAGAUUGUAUGACCAACUAAAUAACAGUUUGAGCAAUUUUAUUAACAACAUCAUUUUUAUUCAUUAAGCAAAAUUUUUGAAAUUUUGACCUCCAAGGUGACAUAUUUUGUUUCCAAGUAGUGCGAUAAGUACUAUAAACAACAAAUGUUAUGCUAUUGUUUUAGACCAUAUAGAUUUACUGGUGUAAACAGAACACAGUCAUACCCUGCAAUUCCUGUCGAUCAAUUACAAUGUGAUCCAUCCAUACAUAACAGCUUUUCAAGUUUAAUCUAAAAUCGAAAGAGUUGAUGCAAAUUUGAUGGUAGAAAUAUAGAUUACAAAAUAACUCAGUCUUUAUUUCAUCGUAUAAGACAGAUUUCUAUGUAUUUCAUAUUAACCUAAUUUUUUUCUACGAACAAAUUGCCUAAGAGGUUCAUCCAUAGAUUAGUUGCAACAGGGCCCUUUAAUUUACAAUAUACCAUUGAUGAUGAGCUGAUAACCAGGAAUAAACAUUUGAGUUUAAAGAUGAUCACUUGGAAGCAACGAUAAAUGAAGAGGUUUCGGCUGCAACUACAUAGUUUGAUGAAGGCACACUUCAGGUGACAAAAAAUUCAGAUUGCCCUUUUUUUUAUUCUUUUUGAAUCACUAACAGUCUAAUACUGAUUAAACAAGACUAAAGUUAAACUAAAGCUCUAAUUUAAUUUAAAAAAUAUCAUGAUAUAUUUGAUGCUACAUUGUCAUCUGUAUCAUCAUACUGUCGGAAACAAAUCCUAACCAUGACAUUUUCAUCUUUAUCGUCAUAUGUCGAAAUCAAAUCUUGUCAUUAAAAUAAAACUCUCAUCAAUAGAAUGGGCUCUUCAUGGGAAGUAGUCGAAUCAAAACAGCGUUACAGACCAAACUUAAAUUUCGACGGAAUAUUGGUGGAUCCAAUAAAAUCUGAGCUGAGGGGAUUCGUUAUGGAUGAGGAUCGUGAGAGAGAUUUAGGUGUCUCAGAAUUGGAUUAACGACGGUGACUGAAUGGAGAUCGAAUAAGGCAUCGAACCCAAGAAAAUUCUGGAAAAGUGAGAAAAGGAAAGGAAAUCAGCAAACCUGCUCGAUGUUAUACCCAGGGCUGGGAUCGUUGGAGAGGGUGAGGACCCGGGCGAAGCGAUCGAGGCAGUUUCCGACGGCGAUGUCGAUUGUCUCCCCAAAGAUGCGGUACCUGCCCUCGCUGUAGGCGAUGACCUGGGUGUUCCCCCCGCUGACGUAAAGGACGACGGGGUCGUCCGCGCCGGUGACGACGCGGCCCAUCUCGAUGUGGGCGACGCAGUGGUUGACGGCGACGAUGGGCUUGCGCCAUAGCUGGGAGAGGACGCGGACGGCGAGGGCGCAGACCUGGAGGGGGGCGCCCAUGCCGGGGCCCCUGGUGUAGCAGAGGCAGUCGACGUCGGCGGGGGAGAGGCCGGCGGCGUCCAGGGCGGAGCGGAGGAGGGGGAGGAGGUGGCGGAGGUCGUGGUGAGCGGUCUCGCGGGGGAGGAAGCCCUGGCCCGGGGGGGUGAUGUAGGUGUGGCGCGGGUUAGAGAGGAUAGUGCCAUCCAGGGUUACGAUGCCCACCCCGAUCUUGUUCGCCGACCCCUCAAAUCCGNNNNNNNNNNGGUCCUCUCCUUCCUCUUUCCUCUCUCUCUCUCUCUCGCUCUCUGCAGCCUUCGGUCUUGCUCUAUGAAUCCAAGAAUAUGGGAGAGCAGAGAUGGGGGCGGGAAAUGGAGAGUUAGGGAUCGGGAAGGCAACGGGUCCAGACUCCAGAGACUAGAUACUAGAGUGGGAAGUCGCCCACCAGCCACCAGAUAGUCGGAACUAUGUCGGUAAACGCAAUGCCGUCUUGAGUUAAAAAUAUCUAUAACAUAUCACCGUAUAAAUUAUCCAAUAGUUAAUUACAGGCUAACUAAAAUGUAUUGUUACAUACUAUACUAGCUUUCUGUCAUGAUUCGGUUGGGAUAUUCUUAGACUCAAGUUGAAAUUGCUUUCUAGCCUGCCAAUCAGAUUUAGGCUUACUUGAUCACAUUCAAGUCGAGCCUAAUUUGAUUUUAUUUCAAGCUUAGUCCGAUAUUUAUUGGGAAUGACAGAACAAAAGUUCGCUCUUGUUAGCUGGCUCAGUAUGAUGUGAUCUAAAGAUAGACCAUAAAAGUUUUAGAUCCAAGCUCUAUUCUACCAUAAAAAUAUCAUACCCUCUAAUUUUUAUAGAGAUUAUCGAUAAAUUCAAAUUUUUCCUCCAUGGUCUCUCUUGUCACCUCCACCCUCAAGACUCCAAACAAUGUUCCAUCUUUUGCCAUCAUACAUGCAUCUCAAUCUGUCCCCUCCCUCUCCAUGGCCUAUGGUUUUCUUUUUUCAUGUGGAUUUACAUAAUUGGAUUUGGAUCCAAUACCUGAUAUUUAGAUUUAAAAUGGCUUUGCAAUUUCAUAUCUACUAAUAUCUAGAGCCUAUUCAAUUAAUGGAUACUAAGUAUUCGAAUUGAAUAGACAGGGUCCUCCUAAUCUUCUAUUGGUGUAUUUGACCCAAUCCUAUUAUAUGGAUUAGUAUUUCUACAUAUAUGGUGAGUAACGGAAAAAAAAAAAAGCUAAAGAUGUCCUACCUUGCCUUAAUUGAGAGAUAUUUUAUCCAAAAUUGUCUUAGCAUCAACUAUUCCAUGUGUAGUAUCAAUUCUCAAGUGCCAUAUUGCACCGAUGAAUUGCGCGAUGAACAAAUAGUUUUUGUUAAGGUCUUAGAUUGCAUUAACCACAAUUCUGCUUUCAUCUUAGUUUUGCAAGAUUUUUUUUUUCAAAAAUUGUAUGUAAGUUUUUUCGGUUUGAAAUUCGGACGGAAAUGUGAAACGUUUUAUUUAAAUGAGAGGUAUUUUUGCCUUAAAAGGUAUUUUUCAGACCAUUUGUCGGUUUCUGAUCGGGCGUUCGAGAUAAUCUCAUGGAGACGGGGAUCAUGCAUACGAACAACACACGUGGAGCAUCGUAACUCGUCCGCAUCAGCUCUCAGUACAAGCCGGCGUCAACUCUUGCUUCUAGAAGAUGCCAGCGGGGUGCGUGGCCUCCGGCGCUCGGAAAAUAGAGCAGCAAGGGCCGAGAAGAGCCUUCUACCUCGCGAGAAUCGAAAGUAUGAAGUGAAGCAGUCGGCCUCGCUCCUCUCCUGGGGGCUGGAGCUCCUCGUGUCACCGUACUCUCUCUUUCUCUCUUCUCUGGCUCCGGCUUCUCUUUAGGGAAGAAGGACCGGAAUUCCGUCUCCGCUUCCGACCUAGGGUUUCCGCGAUCCCAUCAUGUACCGUGCCGCAGGUUCCCAUCUCAAAGCUCUCAAGGUCGGAUCCGUAAACCCCUAUCCCUAGUAUCUUCUUCGUUUUUCAUUUCUUGAUCCACUCGAUCUGUAGCUUCCAAAUAUAUCUUGUCACCGCAACUGGCCAUGACAAAAUCACCACUCAGAUUGUAGUUUUAGGGGCACGAUUUAACGAAACCAGUGCUUAUGAUCUGAUUUCCAUGCAUUUGCUAUCUCAGCACCAGGCAGGUGAUGCCAGGAUCUUUGCUGCUGCCGCUAGAUUUGCCAGUACUAGCAUAGCGAGAAGGUCUUCUGGUGGUUUCUUUAGCUGGCUAACAGGUGGACAGUCCGGUCAACUUCCUCCUCUUGAUACUCCGCUACCAGGUGUUACACUUCCUCCUCCCCUGCCUGAUUACGUAGAGCCAGGCAAGACAAAGAUCACGACUCUUCCGAAUGGCAUUAGAAUUGCCUCCGAAACAUCACCAGUAUGUUAUUCGUUAUCUGUUUACGGAAUUAUCAGUUAAACUGUCUUCUACUUGUUGUCUCUCUCAACUUAUUUGGAUCCGUCGGCCAGAGCCCAGCUGCUUCGGUAGGGCUAUAUGUUGACUGUGGUUCUAUAUAUGAGACGUUUGCUUCGCUUGGAGCCACACACGUCUUGGAGCGGAUGGCCUUCAAAACCACAACAAACAGGAGCCAUCUGCGGAUCGUUCGUGAAAUAGAAGCUAUCGGAGGAAGUGUCACGGCAUCAGCUUCCCGCGAACAGAUGGGCUAUACUUAUGAUGCUCUGAAAACUUACAUGCCCGAAAUGGUUGAGGUGCUUAUUGAUUGUGUCAGAAAUCCUGUUUUCCUUGAGUGGGAAGUUAAUGAAGAGGUAGUCUAUCUUGCAAUAUCCUUUCUUUUAGCCUAAUUGUUAUUGCAAUAUAUGAUUUAUAGUUUAUUAUUUAUUUCAGCUGAAGAAAAUAAAGGCAGAGCUCGGAGGAGCUUCUAAUAAUCCACAGGGUUUGCUUUUGGAGGCUAUUCAUUCUGCUGGCUAUUCUGGCGCAUUGGCAAAUCCAUUGAUUGCUCCGGAAUCUGCAAUAAACAGAUUGAAUGGCACCAUUCUUGAGGAAUUUGUUGGUGUAAGAUCAAGUAUUGGUCUUGUAAUAGUGUAUUACUCUUCUUUUUUUUUGUGUGUGUCUGUGUGUGGGUUGAUAGGCUGUUUUGACUCAUGGUUGCAAGAAUUUUCAGGAGAACUACACUGCUUCUCGAAUGGUACUUGUGGCAACAGGUGUGGAACAUGAGAAAUUGGUAUCAGUUGCUGAACCACUUUUGUCUGACCUUCCCAAAGUGUCGCAUCCUGAAGAGCCAAAAUCUGUGUAUGUUGGAGGAGACUAUAGAUGCCAGGCAGAUCCAUCGGUGUGUAUUAAGAGUGCGGAAUUUGUUCUGNNNNNNNNNNUAUUAUCUUGUUACUUUCCAUCUUUCUGAAAUUCAUUUUGACAACAGAAGACACAUGUUGCCCUUGCAUUCGAGGUUCCUGGUGGAUGGCAUAAAGAAAACGAAACCAUGACACUCACAGUACUUCAGGUUCAAGGAAAAACUUAUCUGACAAGCAGCUCAUUAGUUUUUAGGAUCAGGCAUCAUUUGAUUCUGUUGGUUAUUUGCUCAUGGUCUUUCAAACAAUAUCAUCCGAAGUGAUGCCAUAUCUUCCAGAUGCUUAUGGGAGGCGGUGGUUCAUUCUCUGCUGGAGGACCGGGGAAAGGAAUGCAUUCUUGUCUUUGUAAGGACUAAAUAUUCUGGAUAUGGUGCUUUGCAAAUAAACUACGGUUUCUACUGUUUAGCUACCAAAAUUUGAAUCCUGUGAAUAUUUGUGUUUGUAUGUAUCAUGUUGAAGUGCUCUAUAAGGUGUAAGACUUGAUUUUCCGUUACUUAUUUGAUCUGUCUAUCAUAUAUCUAACCCUUACACUGGUUUACAGAUCUACGAGUCUUAAAUGAGUUCCCACAGAUUCAGUUGUUUUCUUCUUUCAGCAAUAUCUACAAUCAUACUGGCCUUUUUGGAAUUUAUGCAACCACUGUAAGACUAUAUUACAUGGAUGAUUAUAGAUUUUUUUUUUAAAUUCUUUGGAUUUCUUGUUUUAUUUUGAAUUUUAUUGCCAAAUAAUUCUUGUGUUCAAAAGCAUUGAUGCUAUGUAACAAUUUGCUUCUAUCAGCAAUAACUUUAGUUAAACAUGUGGGAUUUGUUGAAUGUUUCAUUUAUGUAAUGAUUAUGCUGUUUAUCAUGCUUAACAUAAUGCAAUAAAUCUGGCAAUGCAACGGAUAUUGCUCACUCUUCCAUUUAAUGCCUUGAUAUAUUUUAUUUGAUUUAUAUGUUAUUUAUGGAUUAUACUAUAGGGAUAAACAUAAAUGUAAAGACAGUAAUCAUCCCAUGAUUUUAUGUAUCCCGCUGUAAUAUGUAUCGAUACCUUCAUCAUGGCAUUAUCUUUUGUUUCUUAUGCCAAUUGAAACUCACUUUGUGCAUCGAAUCUUGUUUUUCUUUUAUUGUUAGAACCUUGUCUGCAGUAUGGGCCAAGUAUCUUUUUUUCUUUUCUUUUAUAACUUAAAAGUGGGGAUUGCUGAAAUGUUUGUGCUGUAUUAUACCCUUUUUCUAAUGUGAACGUCUUAUGUUUCAGCACUUUUUUGCUCCUUGCUUCUAAAGAUCGAGAGUCUUAAAUGCUGAUAGAGUGUACAAAUUAGCAUUGGAUAGGAAGUCUCUUAAAAAGUUGCAAGUGCCCAAACAUGAAGUUAAUGUAAUUGUGGCAUAGAUUACAAAAAUGCAAGAGUCCGCUCUCGUGCUAGCAGAUGAAAAGGAUGCCACAUUGUAUCUCUAAAUAUUUAGCAAGGUUUGCAGACUCACAUGUAGAGGCCCAGGAAAGCACCAGCAUGCAGCUGUGUCUAGUUCCUGCUCUGUAGCUAUCCACUCCAGAACAAAGUUGUUCUGUCACAGCACAGUACACGUGUCAUCAUGGCACAGCGUUACAUUGGCACAACGUGUGCCAGCCACUAAUUUUAAGCUUUUGAGAAAAAUGUUUUGAGUGAAUGACAUACAAAGGAGUGCAUAUGGACCUGCACAGUGAUUCGUGAAGUUGUUAUAGCAUUCCUGUAAACAGAGUCUACAAGCAAAGCCGGAAAGAUCAUGAUUUAGGCAUGUAAGAAAAAUAUUUCAAGAUCUACACUAAUUUUCCUUGUUCAUGGUUGACAAGCAUACAACUCAAUGCAGUUACACUUGAUUCAUGCCUGGCGGCCGUAGGUAAAGGGUUUGUAGAUUAUUUAGAAACCUUUUAUGGGAUAUCUCGACUGUAAUUUCUAAUGAUACUGUUUUUAGGAUUUGUAAAUUAAUAUGAAAGUUGUUUGUGGUUGGAUUUUCAAAAGGUUGGAAUGAUUUAUUCAAGCAUGAUUUUCACAUGUCACCAUGUGUGCUGCCUGAGGUGGGUGUAUAAGAAACUAGAAGCUAAAAAGAGUUUCUAAAGAGUGAAAAAAUUAAAGAACCAAAACCAUCAAUUCUACGCCUAUCUCCAUUGCAUCACUUGUAUGAAGGUCCUUCUGAGAAUACAAGGUUAAAUAUGAGGAUCACAAACCUUAAGGUACAUGCAAAACAUGUACUGGGAUGAGUAUUGCUAAGAAAGAGACAUAUUUUAAGUAUCAAAAUUCUUUAUAUGUAACUAGCAGGGAGCAUGGAGGUAUCAAAUGUCCUUCAAUGAGCAGAUCCAACAUCUAUGAUGCAAGAAACAUGGGUAUAUUAGUGACAGUGAAAGAAUGUUGAAGGGCACCAGAGGAGUUAUGUCGACAUCAAGUUGCUUAGCUAGGUGGGUGAUGGUGGGCAUGGAAAUCGGGAAAUAACUUUGGGAGGUAACUUAGAUUCAGCAUUAGAGGAGGGUGGAGGGUCUAGGAAUGUGCUUGCUUCGUUGAAUGCUUCUAUUAAACAUGUCGUUGUGAGACAAAAUCAACAAUGUCAAGAGCUAAAAGAAGGGCAAGAAGUAGCAUUAACCAUAAUUUUAAUGUAAGAAGUUGAAGUAUAAGUAGGCACAGCCAGAGAACAUAAGUGAGUCUAGCAGGUUGAUAAUGGCUGCCAUGAGAUCAGGCUGAAGAUAUUUAGGGGAGCCUCUUUCCAGAUAUGCAAAGUUUGCUAGAGCUACUCAUUUUAAUCAAGUUAGAACAGUUAUAUUGCCUAGUUUUAUUCCAUUUUUUUGACCUAAUUACCAAAGAAUUUGGUGGCACUGCAGUAGCAGCAAUAGAAGUAUUUGUGGCAUUUUUUAGCGGCAUUCUGUUGGCUUAUUUGUUGGUGAUCUCCAACUAAUGUAGACCAUGUUAUAACAGGUGAAAUCUAAUGGUUCUUUGGCUGGCUUCUCAUUGGAGGGUUAUUUCAAAUAUCUUAUUACGCAUGAGUUACAUCUGGAAACUAGUGAUGAAGCUCACAAAUGAAAAAAAAAACUAAUAAUGAAUAUCUACCAUCCUUGUUAAACAGUAUUUUUCAGAUUUUCACUACUAAUGUACUACUAUUAAUUUUCACAUUAAUGCACCAAAAAAAAAUUGCUUUUCACAUAUUCUGAGGUAUUGUUGUUCAUUCUAUCCAAGGGGGGUUUGAAAAACUAUUGGUUGAAAUCUACCCUCCUUUUUGCUGUGCUGUUCAGAUUUUGCCACUUAUCAGAUAGUGCUAUCGUGUGAAAGCUUCUAAUAUGGCAGCUUAUGUGCUACAUCCAGUAUAUAUGAUGCCCUUUUGUCAUUUCCUCGCAGUUGAAACUUGAAGGCUAGACACAUAUGGUCAUUGAUUAAUAAACCCAGUGAAAAACAACCUUUGUGAUUCUCUAUACAACCAUAGAGUCUAGUAGCUGGACAGUGAUUUUGGUUGAUCUCCAUUGGCAGAUCUCAAUUGUAGCAAUUUUAGAAUCUUUAGAUAGGUUCGUCUAAACAACAAAACUUCCAAUAUUCGUUGUAUUUGUGCAUAUCGUCCCAUAUCAUGCAUGUUGUACUGUUACCAAACUGAUAUUCGGUAUGGGGGGCAUAGAGUGUUGGUAUGUUGAAUUGACUUGUACCAAUAUUAUACCAACAUAGUAUUGGCACGAGUACCGAAACCGGUAUUGCACACCAUGAAAUCUUUAGAUAGAUAUAAAUGAUAGUUGAGGCAUGGAUACAAAGGUGAAAUAAUUGGUUUCUUACAAUUGAUGAUAUUAGGAAAUAUUUAGAUUACAUAAUGAUAUUGUAGUGAUGGGAGGCUAAUGAUUGAUGAUGCAGUCAGGGAACUGAAUAAGAGAUUUGAAUUGUAGAUCAAGUGGUUAAUGCAAAAAUUAAUAUCAAUAUCUAGAUGUAUUAUGCUGGAUAUUAUUCAUAUAUGCCUUUUUCCAAAAAAUGCAUAGCACAAAUAGCUUGCACAUCUAAGAAGACCUAUGCACUUGCUGGGCCGGGCCAUGUUCGCUAUGAGCUAAGAAAUGAUCAAGGCAAGGCCUGUUGGUUUGAACUUGGCCCAGCCUCAUCUUGACCCUAUUUUUUACAGCUCAGGCUUGACUCAGCUAUGAAUUGUUGGGCCCAAGCCCAUUCUUGGCCUGAUCUAUGACAGCCUUAACCUUUGUAGACUCUUAAGAGGGAAAUGGGGCAUAGUCUAGGGGAAUCUCUGUUAUUGGAAACGUGGGACAUGUCAGCCAUUGAUGGGAGAGGGUGACGGAGGAAGGAUGGUGUGAACAAGGGUAGACUAAGAGAGGAAGAGAUAUGGGUGAGUGGUUGGAGGUUGAUGAGAGAGGGAGGAAGUGGAAUGGGGUGGACAGACAGACUUGCUCAAGAUCAUGGGGCUGCAUGGUGGUUUGGUAUCUAGUGUUGUGUGAGAGGAUGCUGGCAUUCCGAGAAAGGAGGGAGCAGGUGUAGGUGAUGGGGGAUCGGAAACAACUAGAUCUAGGACUCAGAGAUUGGGGAAAUAAGAUAAGACAUAUAAUAUUGGUUCUUUAUAUUAUAAUAUAGAUGUGUUUUUUAAAAUAUUCUUUAUGACUGGCCAAGCUGGGUCAAGGUACUUCUGUGUUAGCUUGGGCUCAGCCCAGUCUUCAUUGGGCCUAGAAAUUUAGGCCUGGUCCAGCUCAUUGGGCCAGAAUUAAUGUCGAUAUUUGCUCAAAAUCAGGAUGGUUUUGCUAAGGAGUACUUAUGAGUUAGCAAACAUGUCCAGAAAUUGAGCUGAUAUAGAUUAGCACAUUAUGCAAGGUUUGUCACAUCUAUCAUUGUAGUUGGGUUCUGUCAAAUUUGUCAAAUUAGCCUUAACCCUGAUUCACAUAAAGAACAUUGUUAGUCUUGUUUCAUCUACCAAUUUUAUUACAACUCAUGAUAAAUGAAUAAAAAAAAGUAGUAUUAUAAAUACCCUUGGUAUGCUUCAACUAUGCAAUUCUAUUGAUAUUAGGAGGCAAAUCUUUUAUCCUCCAAAUAUCUUUGAGUUUCUGUGGAAACAACUGCUCGCCGAAUGGCAUUCUGUUUGGAUUGUCAUUUGUUUUCAUGGACUCAUGCUUCUGGGUGCAAAAGUCUUAUUACAAACUGUAAUCUAGUCCUUUUUUCGGUAUGCAUGCAUGCAUUCUUCAUAUAACCAAAUCUUGUUGUCUUGUAUCCUAGCCACUGGAUAUAUAUAAUAGCAUGAUUGAGGAUUUCAUGUCUCUUAAUUAGGGUCCAGAUUUUGUUUCUAAAGCUGUUGAUUUGGCAGUCAGAGAGCUUCUUGCAGUUGCAACUCCUGGACAAGGUUUGCUGUUUCUCUGUUUCUUGUCAGACUAUUCUUCAAUUGGAUUCAGAUUUUGUAAGUUCUUUGUUUCUUUCUCUUUUUUUCACAGUUGAUCAGGUACAACUAGAUCGUGCUAAAGAUUCAACCAAGUCUGCAGUUCUAAUGAAUCUGGAAUCACGAGUAUGUUUAUUUUAGUAAUUUUUAAACUUGCAAAGGUAUUUCAAUUUUUGUCGUCUGGUCAGUUUUUAAGUGCUUAUUGCUUUUCUUUUGCAGGUACUAACAUCCAAAGAUAUAGGACAGCAAAUUUUGACAUAUGGAGAAAGGUACACCAUGGCUUCUCUUUGUGCAGUAUCUUUAGCAUGUUAAUCUGAUACAUGGUCUAGUUUUUCUUUUCUCUUUUGGGAAAAUGGGUUAGGGAGACCUAACCCCAUUAGUGAAGUACACAUCUGAUGGUUGUUUCUUGUCACUGUUCAUUAACCUACUGCAGAUUCUAAGGAUACAAUUACAAAAGUUUGUAGAAAAGAAUAUUAAUAAAGGAGAAAGUUGAGAAUCAUAGGAGGACAGAGUAAAAUAAUUGGCUAAAGUGCUUUUUAAAGAUAUGAGAUAACAGAUUCUGUUAUCAAAAAAUGGUGAUAAGCUUUUCUCUGAAAGUCUCCAGAUUGCUUCAUCCUUCAAAAGUUAGUUCAUAGUAUGCUAAGCUAACAAACCCUGAAGCCCUACAAGAUAUCUUGGCCUAAACCUAAUACCUGUCCAAGUAUUAUAAUGUAAAAGCAAUAUGGCAGGUAUUUGGUGCAACAAAACCAACACUAAUCAAAAUACUCUCUCAUGUUCAGUAGAACUGCUCUAUGCAUAAAUCCUCCGCUAAUGUAUUUAUGAUAAAGUUAGCAAAAUUGAUUAUUUAAUAUGAAAAAUAUUAGAGUAAUGCUGAUGUUGUUUUCGAAUUUAAAUUUUGUAUUUUAUUUUCUUGCUACACUGUGGGAGAAACAUAUAGAAGGCGCAAAAGAAUAGUUCUUCAUUUAUUUAGAUCAAGAUUUAUUAUGAUCUUGAAGGACCCAUGCCCAUAUUACCUGUGGAAUAUGAGUAUAUGACCUAAGAAAAAGUUGAAAAUUGGAAACCAGCUGACCAAGUUUGAGCAUAUCAAUCCUGUCAAUGUAUCCAAUCUUUGUUUGGUGGGAAUCGAGCAGGGUUUUGUCUUUAACCCUCUUUUUAUCCCAUACUUGGAGGUGAAGCAGCUGUAUAGCUGUCUACACAUAUCUAUGCUACAAUUGAUCAUUUGCAACUUAAAUUCAAGUUGAAACUUGAAUCAUAACUGUUGCUUCUGACAUGUUGAGCACUAUUCCAAACUGUGUAAGAAUGAUUUAUGCAUCUUGGUGCUUUACAACAACUUUGGCAAAUGGAAGCCUAUUAGUAAUUGAAAUUCAUAGUUCUGGAAUUUAAAAUGGUGCGUACAAAAGGCCAGUUAGAUUGUGAGAAUUUACAAUCGGUAGCUCCUGACUGGUUCUUACUUUUGGCUCUACUAGUUUGUGAAUUGAAUGCACUCGGUUUAUCAAAUCAUUGUUGCAGGAAACCUACCGAGCAUUUUCUGAAAUCCAUUGAUGAAGUUACGCUAAAAGAUAUAAGUUGCCUUGCUGAAAAGAUUCUCUCUUCCCCACUUACAAUGGCAUCUUGGGGGGAUGGUGAGUCUGAUGUUGGAUUUCAAAGUAGUAAUGCCUUCAAAAUCUUUAUUUGCCUAUUUGGUUGUAAUUAACACUUGGAACAUCUCUUUGCACAGUUGUCCGGGUCCCCAGCUAUGACUCCGUCAGCCGAAAGUUUCAUACAAAAUGAGUUUCUUCAUGCCUGAUGGUUCAAAAUAUCUUUUCUGGCAAACCUCGUUAUUCAUAUGCGCUGCUUCCCAGUCAUGGAUAUAGCUGCAGAAAAUAAGAAAUCAACGUGUUUGAAAGAAAAAUCGUUUUGGUUCAGUAAUCUGGUGACCCAUCACAGCUGGAAGACGUAUUUUCUUUAUUUUACAUUGGAAGUUCAAUUUGGUUCGCUAUUCGGUGUGCAUCUUCUAUGCCUUGUGCCAUUUCACUCUUUUCCCCCGUUUCGAGGCUCCGUUAGACAUGGAAAGGACUAUAGGUCUUUCGUUCACUCAAAUCCAUCAGCCCAGUUACAGAGCCUCGUUGCAGACUGAAUGUGAAUUGAUGCGGCACAAAGCCACCUGUUUGGAUGUAAGAUUAGCUCAUAAGCAGCAUUGCCUGAAACUGAAAUUUUUUUAGCCUAAGGUAGGAUUGGUUGUGGUAAUAUUUCCCUCUAUAAGCUCACAAACUAAAAUAAAAGUUCUUUUGGAAGGAUUAAGAUGACAAUUUCUUGGGUCCAUGUACUGUAAUUAAAUCAUAUCAAUUUGCCUCGUGAAAGUUCAGAGGUUUUUGUGCAAUUAAACAUUGCCAGCAUGGUUAACAUAUGCACAGAUCAAAUGGAAUUUAAUUAAAGCAGCGCAGAUGAGUUGGCAUACAUUAGGUGUGAGGGCCUGGUCCACUUACUGGCCUGUCCUUGAAUUGGGCCUAUGGCUGCUCCUAAGAGGCCAGCCCAGCCCUUCAUGUGCCCCGCGCGUGAUGAAUCGGGAAAGGACUCCGGCUGGGAGUCUUCUUCCUUUCCGAUCGCGAUUGCGAUCUAAAUAACUAAGUUCCAAGCCUAAUUAAACACCAAAAGCUCGGAUCUUUGUCUGUUUAAGAUUCUCCAUCCUUCCCCUUUGAGAUCCAUGAAAGAAUAGGGGUUGUUUGCUCUUGAUCUCAAGCUUUCUUCUUGAGAAUUUUCCUCUGUUUUCCUUCGGAAAAGGUCGUCGGAGAGCCUUGCCAGACCUAGGUACGAGCUCUCCAUCUUCUCUUCUUCGUUCUUUUGUGUUUUAGGCUCUUGUUCUCUUGGAUUUGAGCCGGUAAUCGCCAGGUUGCCCUUAGGUAGGGCAGUCGGGUCAUUGCGGCUGCCACAAGUUAUCGACAAGGGAAAAAGAAAGAAGAGGGAGACAGAAAGAAGGAUUCUUCCUCUUUCUUUAUUUUCUCUCUUCUCUCUCCUCUUUUUACUUUCUCUCUAAAAGAUCUAAAAAACCCAGAAUAAAGUCCUGUCGAUCUAACCAACGAACCCGAGCUGAUCUCUGAAAAGAGAUCCCAAAACGCCCUGGUGCCCGGGUCGCCUAAUGGAUCAAUCAUUCGGUCUUGUCAAAUGUCCACGGAAUCCACUGAUGAUAAAUUAUAUUAAUCGAACUUGGCCCUGAUCGAGUCCAUGCCCUAUGAUUUAUUGAUCGAACCGCUCAGGCCUGACCCAUCCGAAAUCGUCGAACGCUAUCAUUUAGCCAAUCAUCCCUAUUUUUUAUUAUUUUAAUUUGAUUAAAUAUUGUCAAACAAAUUAAUUUUGCUUUUAAUAUUUUUAUAAAGUUAACUGAAUUGCCUAGUGAAGUUUGAUGGCCUAAGACGAAAUAGGUAAGUAAAUCAUUCGCCCAUUAUUUUUUAGAUAAUCAUAUUUUUCGUGAAUAAAAUUUGCUUGUAGAAAUAUUAUAUUUUUUUAAAAUUAUGGAUCAGUAUAUGUGUUAUGAAAAUCAUGCUUUAUUAUAAAAAAAUAGUUCAUGAAUGCUUUGCUGAAAAUAGCUUUGUUAUGACAUAUGAAUCUAAUCGUGCCAUUUAGUGUUUUUCAUCUAUUUAUAUGUAUAUUUUAUGAAAAAGAUAUGAGCUUUUUAAAGGCUUUCAUAGCUAUGUAUGAUUCCUACAAAUGAAAAAAUCGAUACUCAAAACUAGCAUCCAUACAACAUUGGCCUCGCCAACGGGUAUAAAAUUGGCAUAUGAAAUAUGAAUCUAUGCCAAUUAUGAAUAUGGGCCCCGUCAUGAGUAUAAAGUGACAGUAGCGCAAAUAUCUAUGAGCAAUGUUUGAACUAUAAUAUGGCUAAAUGACAGAAGAACGAUUUAUAUAUUUAUUAGCAAAAUAAACUUGGAGCCAUGUUUAUGAAAUAUGAAUGAUUUAUGCACGCAUUAUUUAUUUUAUGACUUGUUUUAAUAUACUAUACUAUGAAAUACUUAUUUUGGAAUACAUGUUAUUUUUUUUAAAUGAUGCAUCGACAUGAAAAAACUUAUGCUUAAUCCAAUAAAAUAGUUAAAUGUUUAUUUACUGAGCUGUCGUUCAUAUACCUCUAUUUUUUUCUCUCUCUAAACAAAUAGAAUUGAUAGAAACGAAGAAUGAUCCAGGCUUGGAGUUCGCGCUAGCAAGCUUGGUGAUCUAUAUAGCAGAGCAUAAUCUUAAUUCUUUUGUUGAUUAUGAAUUUGUAGCUAAUGAUUUGCUAAAUAUUGAAAAUUAUGAGUUUAAUAUUAUAUUUGAAUUUAGAUGCUCUGAGCUAGUAUUGGCUCCAUUUAUUAGAUAAUAAAAUUAAAUUUAUAUUUAUUCUAUUUUGUUUGAGAUGAAUUUGAAAGCUAAAUAAAAGGUUUGACUUCGUGUUAUUAUGGGUUGUAUCCUUCGCUAACACGGCCAUAUCAUGCUCUGGAUAUAGGGCGUGACAUGAGGUGAAUAGAAAAAGGCAUACAACAUCAAAGCUCUUAAUUUACGAAUCAAAGUUUGAUCACCUGAAGUUUCAUUUCCCAACUAGACCACAAUUCAAGGUUUUCAUCUUUAUUACAAAUAAAUAGUUUUGAGUGUCACCACCCAAAAGAAACGGUGAAUAAAAGAAUUCAAUCCUGGAAGGCCAAAACACCAUGAAUAUAUGCUAGCAGCCAAAUGCAAUCGAUGUAUAGGAAGGGAAGGGUGACAAACCUAAUCUCCUAUGAACACAAAUUACAAUGGUACAAUGCCGCCCGAAAACUGGGAACUUGAUGGCUAAUGGAAGGCUGAUCAACAUUUCACCUGUCAAGCUCUUUGACCGAAGUCACCUCCCUGUCUGAAGAUGGUGAGAGAAGAUGUUUGUCUUGGUCCGCAUCAUCACUUUCUAUAAGGUCAUGUGUGGUUGUUGUAAUGAAUGAAAAUGAUUCGGAGACAUCUUCUAGAUAGAUAGAAAACAAAGAGUCAAGGUAAUGAACAUAUGCAUCAAAUCUCACUCUCUUUUCUAGCGGCAUUAGGGGGAAAAAGUAGUAAGCCCAUGAUUUUUCUUUAAAAUAAAAUUUCAAUAUCAUAAUAAAUUGAUAAUAAAAGAGAUUAAAGUUGAUCACCAAUGUUCGAAUAAAUUAAGCCAUUAUUGAAGAGUAAAUUACUUAACUAACCUGAGAAGCCAUGGUACUCCGAGAUCUGUUUAGCAGCUGGUAGUCUGAGGCUUUCAGGUAAAAGACAAUUGCAAACAGUACCUGAAACCAGAUGAGAUCAUUAACCUGCAAUUCUCUUAAGGUAUAUACAUGUUACUACUCAAAUUUAAAGGGCAGAGUCAAAUCAGACAAUGAAAUUCAGCAAAUCCACUUUCAUCAUUCACUAGUCACGUGACAAAUGUUUUAUAUAUAAUAGCUAUAGAGGAGGGAUGAGGGUGAGCCACGGGUAACAUAAGGUUGCUCCAUUGUGACCGGAAGGUCAUAGGUUUGACCCUUUUUGGAAUCUGCAAUGGCAGGAGCCUCAUGUACUAGAUUGCUCUUUUUUUUAUAAUUAUAGAGGGAUAUGGCCAAAUUCACCAUUUUGAGAGCUACACCAAAUUUUGCGACACCAAUAUUGUAGUGCUGAUAGGCCCUCCUAAUUUUUCAGCAAGAGACAGAGGCUUAAAAAACCAUCUAUUGUCAAAUUUGUACUCUGCCUUUAGCAAUAUUCAGGAAAAGCUGACUCAAUACUUUUGUAACAUUUCAGAAACUAAUAUUUGGCUUGAGAUAAAUCAUCAGAUAAGAUUAAUAUAAUGAUGAAAAAUAGACUUUGUUUGUCUGCAAUAACACCUGCAUUGUCACAUGUUUGCAGGAAAACCUUGGUUAAACACAAGAAAAUUAAAUAAAACCCUUUUUCAAUUAGUUUUGACACCAAGUUACACGGAAUUUGACACUGAGCCAUGGUCAGUCUUAUUAUGGUCGUAGAAGGACAGUUCUACCACAGCCACUUCCAAUUAGUUCUAAAACAUGGUUAACCAGAAUUUGACACUGAGCCAUCCUCAAACUUAAUGUGGGUGUAAAAGGCAGUUUCGCCACAGCCAUCAGUUAGCAAACAUUUUUUUUUUAAUUUGCACAUAUGCCUUAUAUUUUCACAUAAAUGCAUAUAGGGGAUAAGGUUACAGAACUAAAAUGAAUAUUAAGCCACAUAAGUGAGGGCAAGGACACAAGGGUAAAAUUGUCAUUUUGAACUCAUAAUGGGUUUAACCAUGACCCACAGUCAAAUUUCAUGUAACAUGGAGAUGGAGUGACAUAAGAUUUAGUUUGAAUUGUCACAGACUUUCUUGUGUGGUCUUAUAAAUAUGGAUAACAAAGGGCACUUCCGAAACAAUAAAUGCAAAAUGUUUUCCGCAACUGCUUGAUAACAAAUUGUUGGUGUAACUUGAUAAACAACUACGAAAUGCAAAUCAUAUUCCAUUCAUCAAGGCUAUAACCCCCUCAAAACUCAUGUGGCUCAUACACAAUUCGUUGAGGAAGCAGAUGCACUAGAUGGUCUAGGAACUGGUGAUCAUCUCCAGUCUCCACUAUUUGGAGCCCAAAGAAAAGAUAUGUUUAAAAGAGGGUACAAACAAUUAAGACCCAGAUUUUACUCAGGUGGCAAUUCUGGAUGUUCUCCAUUAACUGUCUAAAGAGUGGGGGGUUUCACAUGCAUUGAUAGUUUUCUUGAUGUGAAUAACUGGAAGAAAGCAUAAGCCAUAUUUUACUUCCUUGCUCUAGACCAUCUGGAGAUAUAUGCCCUACUUGGUUAAAAUUUAUAAAAAUAACAUGAGAAAGGAAAAAGGGUGCAGUGUAUUUUAUUAUCAGUCUAUUUCACUUAUAGAAAACUCUACCAGAAUAGUAUAAUGUGGUUGUACAUAGACUAUAGUAGCAUAUUCGCCACAUGCAUACUGAAAACCAUGCAUGUUUAUUUAAUUUUCUUUUGUGAUCAUUCUAAUCUACAUCUGUGCAUGAAUUUUAUUACACAUAAUUUGUACACAGCAUUUAUAGAUACAUCUUUUGGUAUGAUUUAGUAAUCAUAAAGGGCGAUUUCUUUGUGCUUUUGUAUAAGGAAGAAAAGAAAUACUACUAAAGUCGCUACAUGAAUUCAUUUAUAUCUUCUUGCUAUCUUGUCCGUUUUGGAAGAGACCUCGUCAAGUUUAUGUUGAUCUUUGUAUGCUAAAUUGUAUAAAGAUUUUUUAAAGUAGACAAACAAAAGGUUCUGGUCCCUAUUUAUAAACUAGGAUUGGUAACUGAAUAGUGGCUAACUACAAUCCUCUUAAGAACUAUAUAGAUAUUCCAUAUUCUCACAUGCUGGCUCAUGGCCUGUUAUUAAAGAAUGAAAACAACAAUCAAAGUAUGAUAAAAAAAUAUCUUUUGACUAGAAAUUCUUUAUGUUUGUUCAAAUAGAAAGCAUUGCUUUAUGUACUAUUUGUUUUUUGUGCAAUUUGUCAAAGAGCCAGUCAUCUCACAAUGAGUUCCUUCUCAAAGCAAUGAAUGUCAGCACAAGAAGGUGUAACUCUUCUAAAAAUUAAAUAUUGUAAAACAUAUAAGGAAUAGGUUACAGAAAUGAAAAAAAGGCCAUACUGAUAUUUAAAAAAGAAAAAAUUACCUAGUCGGGCAAGCCGGUUAACCCAACCAGGGAUUGGUCUUCCUGUCAACCUCAAGCUAACAUCAUCUGUAAAGUGAUUGCAGUUUUUGGAAAUGAGGUGAUAGGUGUCACCAUGGUAAUCUGCAGCCAUGUUUUCUAUGAAUGCCCGAAAUUCAGAGGGAGGCAUAUUUACAUGACCCAAUGAAAUAGAACAUUUAUAGCUGAAUCCAGGACAGUUUUUUGGCUCCACCUCAAACACACCACUUGCUGGAUAGUCAUGGGCUCCAAAUCCAUACUCUAAACCAUGAACUGUUUCACCCCCCCCAACCAAAGAAAAAAAAAGGAAACAAAUAGUGAACAUCAUAUGGAGUGUGCUACAGUAAAAAAAGGAAACUUGGAUGCUAGAUAACCACCAUCAAUCAUGUAAACAUAUAUGUAAAAAAAAAAAUAAUAAUAACAUAUGUUACUGUGAAAAGAGAUCAAACAUAUGGAUGUUUAGAACUCAAUGCAAAUAAUUCUACGCUCACAGUUUGGGAACUACUUACCUAGCAUCCAGGUACAAGACCCUUUUAGAAUAGAAGCAAAACAGCAGAAGAUGCUACUCUAUGAAUAUGGACCCCAGAUACACAGAUAGACUUUUCCAAGUAUUACAGAGGCAUUUUUCUUAUAACCAAUUAAUAGCAAAUAAAAUCACUUGGCAGGUCUGCUCCCACCAAAAAAAUGGUUGUCUAAAACAUACAUGAACAACAAACCACUUGUAGCACCUACACAAUUAGCAUAGACUUUUAAAUUUCAGCUCACAGUUUAGGUCUUUGAUCAAGUUAUAUUGAGAUCAUACACUUUUGAUGCUCUUAGCAUCAAAGUGCAUACCAAGUACAUGUGAAACAUCCCACUAUUUAAUUUUUCUUAAGGGUACAGUGACCAAGCUGAAUAUUAGCGUAUCAUGGUAAAUCACUGAAAAGGGCUUCUUCUGUGAGUGUAGUAUUUCGCAAAGAUCUGAAGUGUUUCAGAGUCUUGCUUAAAAGUCUCCCAAGUUCUUUUCUUUUUAGUUCCUUAUAUAGAGUUGGAAUGAGCAAGUUUGCAUAUAUUUACACCUAUUUAAAGUUUAAACUUUAAACUGUUCUUUUGUUCAAGCAAAAGGCAAAUGGGAUUGCUAGGACUCAUCUCCUUGAUGAGUUUAGGUUGCUCCUGGAAAGACUGGUAUGGAGAUUGUAAAUCACCUUGCCUUAUACUUCAAGGAUUUUGAAGUGCUCUAAGGCCAUGUAGUUAAUUUCAAAACCUAGAAAGCUUUUUUUAUGCUACAAAACCAUGGUUAAAUAUGGUUCAAUCUUAUCAUAAAAAAGAAACUUGAGAAAUUUCUUACCCCCAUCUAAAGCAAAAGACCAUAUAGGCAAACAAUACCCCGCCUUCCCCUGCUAAAAAAAGAAAAAGAAAUGACAGAAAACCACUCCAUUUAUUUUAUUUUUAUUUUUCUUUUUUGGUUGCAUUCUUAUAACAUAGAGAAACACAUUUUAAGAACAUCUGAACGAAAAAUAACUUGAUUGACACAUUCAGAGAAGAGUAAUCCCAUUAAAAAACGACAUGAUUUAUACAUAACCCACAUUAUACUAUACAGUCAACUUUUUCUUUUUCUGUUUUAAGUUUUUCUACCAGUCAACAUCAAGUGAUCUUCAACAAAAAAAAAAGGAAUAACAACAACACUUUCUUCACAUAAUAAUGUAAUUACCAAUUCCACAUAAUGCCCUUAGAACUCAAUAAAUUUAUAAAAGAGAAACUACAAAACAAAUCCUAUACCUAAAAACACAACAGCUAAAUAGAUAAUCCUUUUUCAUAUAAUCCAACUCAGACAUAAAAAUUUGACAGAGUUCAUACAAAACUUCAAUACCUAUUACUUAAAUCAGCUAAAAUCCUAUAUUCCAAAAAAUAAUCAGUCUAACUUGUACUCUUCCAUAUUGAAUGCUCACCAGAUUUAUCAAGAAACGAAAGAUACCCAGUGACCAGGAGAAAAAUGUCAACCAAGAUAAAAUUUUAUCUCACCAAAAAAAAAGAGAACCAAUUUAUUUUUUGGGAAAAGGCAAAAUCCUUCUUUUCUCAUAUAAAAAGAGCAAAAUUCGAAGGUUAAUAUCAAACCAGUCCAUCUAAUUGGUGCUAGUCGAAGGUUAAAGGUUCGCCAAAUUGACUAGGAAAGCAUGGGACCAAUUUCUUUCAUCUUUGUGUUGGCAAAUUUGGCAUGAAAGAAACUCCAGAAUCUUCCUCAAAAAGACCAGGCCAAGAAACCAUUUAGCCGAACCACCAAAAAUACCAAGAAAACCAAGAAUUAGGAAAAUCAAAGAAAAAGGAGAGAGAAUCGACGAUGGGACCAAUCGACUCACCUUCGAUCCCCGAGUGGAAGAUGCCCAGGCCAAACCAGUACAUGUAGUUGUUCAACGGCGUUAGAUCGUAGAUGUUCAGCACCACCGGAACCCCGCUCUCGUCCGAAGAAGUCGACCUCGAAGAGAAGACGCACCCCAUGGCUGCCCACCCCUAGAAGAGCCGAGAGAACCGGAACCAAAAAAAAAAAAAAUCCAGAAUCUGGAAGGGGACGGAGGAGAUAUUCCCCCCUCCGCCUCCGUCAGAGCUGGCUGGCUGCCCUAGGACCCCCUACCCAAUAAUCGAAAGGGAAAGGGGCCUCGCUGGUGCACGCUUAAGGGGAGCCCCUCCCGCCGCCAACACGACACGACAAAAGGGACAGCCAAGCAAUGGAAACACGUGGUGGAAUCUAAGUUCGGAAACGCAGGGGGCUUUUGCCGCGGUUCCUAACGGUUGAGAAGAUGGAGGCCGUCCGUUCGCUUGCUGCGAUUUCUCAUUCCAGGAGCCGUGAGAGUUACGCUGUUUGGGUAAGUCGACAUGUCCAUAUAUUUUGGAUAUAUUUGAAAAAUGAAAAGAACAAUUAGGAUCUUUCUUUUGAUAAUAAAAGAACUCGGACUGUUUCUUUUUCCGUUCCCUACAAGAAAGAAUGAGAGCCUCCCCUUUUCCUCCUCCUCUUUGGCGCGCAUCAGCGGCCGUCCGGCUGGACAUGGAGGGUUCCAGGUAUGCUGUUUGGGCUUUCUAAGAUUGGCAUAAUAAGCUAGGCCCAUGCCUAUUCAACAUACAACUCGCUGGGUUUACCAAUUCAAGCAUUACCACCGGAUUCAAAUUAUGACAUCAGAACUGGGAGAACUGAUAGACAGAUUAACCAACCAUCCUUCAUUCAUGAAAAUUUUUUUAGGUGUUCAUUUAACAACGAGGUGAAGAUAUUGUAAAUAUCUGCUUCAGUACAAACAAAAACUAUCUGAUCCGCACGCCUUUGUAAAUGCCCAUUCGCAAGCCUUAUAUCAAUAUGGUCACUGCUUAUGAAACGUUAACAAAUGUUGGUUAACAUCAACAGCAAUCUGGAGCAGCAAGAAGAUAAUUCCUUACAGGGCCCAAGCUAAUGAAAAGGAUGACAGGCAACUAAUAGAACAGUGCCCAGUUCAUGAUGCCAUUUGUCCGUCCCCCGCCCCCUUCUCUUUUUCGCCAAGUGUGUACAAUCAACCAUUUGUACCUUGGUUGGAAAACAGGGUAUGCUGCAAAACAUGUAGGGACUAUGUCCGGCACUUUUGACAGUCUAGGAUCUUCAGGGCACCUGGAUAUCCAUCAGCACCAAUUCACAGUUACUAAUUGGGCACAGGAAUGCAUUAUAUUAUACUGAAAACAAAUAAGAGAUGAAAUUUUUGGGAUAGGGCUACUGAUAAGGAUUCGCCGAAGAAGCCGAGAUUUGGUGACUGCGGUUGAUAUCCUCAUUGCAGAAUGAAAACUAACAUAAGGUCAUAUCAGAAAUAGGAGCAGCUUGACAUGCAAUAUACCAAAGUACCUUCAGUAUCCUAAAUUUAACUAUAUACACAAGGUAUUACUUAUACCUUUUGCUGGACUUCUACUUCAUUUUUUUUAUAAUUGCCACAAUUAAUUCUAUAUGUGCUGGAAUCUAAUUUAUGUGAUCAAAUUGUUAUUUGCAUGUUUCCAUCUUGUUAAUAGCAAAUUCUAGCACCUGAUAUUCAAGUUUAUUUACAGCUGAGCAACCUGUUUUGUUUGCGCUGAAACUAAAUUCUGCACACUUUGACCUUGACACCAGUUUGUUUCAAUUACCUUAUUCUCUGUGUACUUAUAUCAUGCAAAACAAAAAUGAACUAAAAUAGUCUAAAUCUAAACCUAUAUCUUGAGGUCUUCAACCUAUUACCCUUUGGUCUUUCAACCCAAGGAUGUGUUUGGUGUUGCUUCUACUUUCCCAAAGUCAUCCUACAAAACUUGAUUAAUUUAAAUUCUUAGUAUUUGAUCAAUUUAAGUUUUCACCCUAAAAAGUACUAAUUUUUCUGUAUAUUCAGAAUUAUAAAGUAAUCACAGAUUGUAAAAUUUUUCUUUUAAUGGAUGGUCAUACCAUAUUUGGAAAACAAGAAGCAAUUCUCAAAUGAUAUCACCAAACACAUAGAUGUCAUUUGGCAUCACUUUUAUUUUUCUUAUUUUCAGUAACAGAAAGAUAAAAAAUAUGUUCUAUUUUAUUUUUAAUUUUGUUGAAACAUAGACAUGUUUGGCAUUGUCGAUUAUUUUUAAAAGCAUAAGCAUGAUAAUAAUGGCCAAGGCAGUGAUGGUGGUAGUGGAAGCAGUGGAGGCCAUAAUGGUGAUACAAAAACUUACAAAAACUCAUGAGUUUCACAUUUAAUUUUUAGAAGUUAUCAAAUUUAUUUUUAGGUCUAAUCUGAUGAUUUUGAAAAUAUAUGUGGACUCAAGAAGAUGACUAGACCUAAGUUGAGAAGUCAAAUGGACAAGCUUUUGUAAGCAACUCCUGUUUGGCUUGAAAUUCAAUUUGAAAUGGCUCAUUCGACUGGUAAUUAUGUUGAACAUAUGCAAAGUUUUGAGAUAAGAAGUUAAAUGAACUGAACAUAAGCAAGGCCUAGCUACCUUGUGCUUGUCUUGAUAUAGCUCAAAAUACUGAAAUAUAAUAUAGAUAUAUUUAGAAAAAUAAUUUGUUCUAUUUUUACCCUUUGUAUUCUACAAUAGCAUAUAACAAAAAUGUCACACAAGUUAUAUGGCCAACAUAUAAUUACCCAAUUGCUUUCUCUUUCAAUAAUUUUUUGUGUGAGAUUUAUGCAGUGCCCUAGAGAAUUUCUAUGUGAAAAUAAAUUUUACGUAUAAUAGGUAAAAUAAACCUCAAUCCUUAGAUUGCAUCUAAUGGAUGCAAUUGUUUUCAGACAACUUAAAGGGUUAAAGGUACCAACUUGCUAGCCCUAACUCUUGCAACUCUUUGCUCUUUCGUAGCUUCCCUCACCUACAUCCUCCUCCUCAUGCUCUCACAUUAAACUGGUGGGCCUAGAUCCAAGAUCCAACUUCACCGCCUUCCCAAUGGCCAACUAAGAUGGCUACUUUGUUGCCUCUAUUACCUCCAACUUUCUUCUCAACUACCUAACGGCUCAACCUCCAACACUAAGACUGAUGUGGCGGAUCUUUCAAUUCCUCUGGCCAUUCUGUUGCCUCUUUCUUUCCCAAUAUCGAGUUUAAUCAAGCCAAGCUCAAGCCAGCUCAAGAUUAAUAAAGCUGAGCUUGAGCUGGAGCCAGCCAAGAGGGUUUUUGAGCAGAGCUGGCCUUGUCAUGCACAUGUUUGGCUUGUCCACACCCUUAGUAGCAAGAAUCUUCUGUUUUCAGUGGUGCACCCGCUCCCAAAUCUCCUCAAAAACUCAUCCUUGCACCUAGUUUCUAAGUGCUCUCUUAUACUGCUUCAGUGUACCUGCAAUGGAUCCGCUUCUAGUAACUAAGUCUACAACUCUAGACCUAAGGUUUUGUUUAGAAGUUCAGAUAUUAAUUAAAUCUAAUUCCUGUUUUGCAUGACUAACUUUAGAUGAGAGUCAUGAGACUAUAAAUUUGAAGGGCUUUCUGGUGACUUCUACUAGCAAAACUAAUAAUUGGCAAAUCAACCCGGGAACCGGCAUGUAAUAUAAUUAAUUGCAGCAAUAACAAACUGAACAUUUAAAGUUUUUAACUAAUCAAGCUAGAACAUAUAGAGAUCAAUUUCAGCAUAGAUACAACAAAGUUCCAGCAAGCAUUGAACUAGGUCCAAUAAAUAUGAAAUUCCUAUGAUGGUCUAAUUUAGUUUCAGCAAUACUUUGAUAUUAAUUUCAGCAAGGUUAAAUCCAGAUUUCAAGGUCUAAAUUCCGGCCAGAAAAUUCUAACAAAGGCUACUAUUGAUCCAACAAAACUCAGAUAUCAUUUCAACAAAUAAGAGCAGAUUUCAGGUUGCAAAAACGCUGCAAAUAAUUCCCAGCAAUAAGAGAGUAUAAUUCCACUAGAGAGAGAGACAGAGAGAGAGAGACAUGGUCAUUGCUUACGAAAAUAUCUCUUCAUUUUUUUCUUUAAAACCCAUGAAAACCUCCUUUUAAUUUGAAAGUAUAAUAUAGAAUAGCUCAAUAUACGAUUAUGCUGAAUCUAAAUUUCUAAUUUUCUAUCUAAUAAUUUAUUUUUUUAAAAUCAAUCAACUAAUGUUGUGGUUAUGUUUAAAUAUAUUUACUUAAUAAAAAACUGAAAAUACUAAAAUUAUUUACAAUAAAGUAUAUAUUUUUAUAUAUAUAUUUAAUUUAAAAAUAUUUAUUAACUAAUAUAAAUAUAUUUAAAUAUUUAAAUAUUAAAAUAUAAAUAUAUUUAUAAUUAAUUAUUCAUGUAAGGACCAUAAAUGGGACUAAACAAAAAAAAUUAUUAUUUAAAUUGUUUAUUCAAGAGUAUUGUUGGAAAUUUAGUAACAUUCCUAUAUAAGAUUACCUCCAACCAAAUAUAUUAGUCUUUUUCCAGUGCUAUUUUUCGGAGUAAUUUUUACACCAACCAAAUGCAGCAAAUUUUAUUUUUCCUGCAAUCAUUUUUUCAAAUAAAUAAUUUUUAGAAAUCAUCAAAUUACCUUAAUAUACCCUAACUAAAUGAACUCUCACUUAAUUUGGAAUUCGACGAAUCUAUUCUAGCCCUCGUAUUUUCUAGCAAGUUACUUAGCUUGGGUCAAUACCAGUCGGGUUAGGUUGAGCAUAAUUUGAUUUGAGUUAGAUUAUGUUGGUAAUAUAGAAAGUAUUGACAAAAAAUUAUCCACCAGCUGUGCAUCAUCCUCAAACUUGCCAUCCCAUCAAGAGUAGGCCUAAAGAAAGGGCCAAUAUAUAAAUAUCCUCUAAUAUAAAGGAUAUGAGGAAGAAAGGAUACAACUUGGAUAAAUAUGAGUAUCUUGCAACAAAAUGCUCAACUUUGAAGAGGUGAGGGAGUACAAGAAGGUUGGGGUUAGAGGUGAGGGAGUACAAGAAGAAGCUGGCCCGUCAACUUUGAAGAGUUGCUGGGGUUAGAGGUGAGGGAGUACAAGAAGAAGCUGGCCCGUCCAUAAUCCAUCUUGGGUGUAUGGGAGGAUGAGCUAGAAGGAGGCGGCAGUUCCAGGGAGGAGGAGAUGGUGGGGCAACCGGAGUAGAGAAAGUGUCUCCGAGAGGAGUAGAAAGAGAGGGAGCGAAAGACCAUACACAUAUGCUACUCUGGCUUUGAAACCAUUGUGUCUGCCCCUUGGGCUUGAGAAAACUAGUGUGUGCAUGUGUUUUAAGUGUUUUUUUGAACAUGUUUGGAUGAUAAGAUCGUACCUCUCGCCGUUAUGAAUGUGGUGUAAACAUUAAUUUAAUAAUUUACAUAAGAGAUGACGGUUAAUUGAAGUUUUUGUAAAUUAGUAAAACUUAAUUCACUAAUGUAAUUAAUUUGUUUUUCUGAAGAUAGAGGGCUAGUUCCAUAAAAGCCUACAACGAGUCUGAUUUUGUUGAUCCCAAUCUUGCUCCAUCUUGAACAGGAAAUGAAGGAAGCAAAAAAAAAAAACUCAAUGUUCAACGGCGGGAAGGGGCUCCUUAGCAUGCAAAAAGAAAAUAAGAAGGCCAUCCAAAACAUCAAGGUGAUAAAAUUGAGAGGCCCAAAGUUCUGGCUAAAUAAAUAAUAAAAAUUGUGCAUGGAUAUUGUGACGAGAAUGAGGUGGCUCUAAAGUCCAAACAAUCAGGAGCUACCUGGACAAUUCCCAAUAUUAACCGGUCAUGAUUUUUGAGGUUCAAUCUUCUUUAGCCUUCCGGUAGCUACAGUUCGGACUCAGGAUAAAAGGCCAUACCAUCUCUCUAGAACUUGUAUUUCUUCCGGUCUAUAGUGUACUAGGAUUAAACAGAACACCGUUAAAUCAGUAACCAUCUUAACUUGGAGCUGUUGAUUAAUCGGCCUUAUUAAGUUUGGGAUUUGACAGACUAAAUCUUUGUUCUUGUCGAAUAAGGAUUUCUAAUCCGAGUAGGACGCGGUGGAUAUGAGUUGAAUCGCUUCCCACAUCUCAUCGUCUUUUCUAUUCUAUAUAUGCAUGCACCCCCAACAGACUUUGCUCUCAGAGAGCACAACCAAUGGAGAUGUGGAGCUGGCUUUGUUUCUCGUUCCAUACGAUCAGCAACUGGUUUCAAGACAUCUCCGAGCCGAUUCGGGGGAAGAUCGUUAAAGCGGCCAUCGAUGCAGUGCGCGAGUCCCUCGAGAAAGUGACCAAGGAGAUGCAAAUUCUGUCGCUGGAUAAGAAGCCGAACACACCAGAAAAACUCAAGCGCCUGAAGGCGGAGGUGCACGUGGCGGAGCGGCUAGGUUUUGACAUGAAGGAAUACAAGGAGAGGCUUGCUCAACUCGAAUCCAUCUUGGAUAAGUGGAAGGAGAAGAUGGAUUGUCUGGCGAAGGUGCGCUACGGGAUGAUUCAUGCUUGCAUGGAGAUGGUAAGGCUCCAGGCCGAGGAGGAAAAGGAAAGGAACGCCCUGCAGGAGUGCGCCUCUGUCUUCCAGCACAUCGCGUCUGCCCCUUGGCAUCGGUAGGAUGAUCCAGUGAAGGAGGAAGAAGGCGGCAACAAGGUUGCACGAGGAGAUAUUUUAGAAAUAUCUUCUAGGUGAUGCAUCACCUGCUAAGCUACCUAGUUAUAGACUCAUAUAUAUAAUAUUAGUAUUAGUGUGAGAACUAUUAGUGUUAUGAUAGUGUCAAGAAACAGAUUUAGUGUUUUUUUUGGAAGUUGUAUUAGGGUUUCAUUUUCUAUUCUUGCUUUCCUUAUGAAAAAAACGAAAUUAAAUCUUCUUCCUUCCUGCUAGAUUCAUGAACCAAACUAUGUUGGCCAUGUUUCAUCCAACGAUAUGAAAAUCUCUCAAUUUUUCCUUCAAAAAAAGAUAAAAAAAUGAAAUAGGAUUUUUCUUGUUUUGCUGAAAGCUUAUUUUUUGCUUUUUUUGUUUUGUGGAAUAGUCUAUUCUUGUGGAGUGUUUGUUGCAUUUUUUGUUUUCCUAAAGCGUAUUUUUCCUAUCUAGGAUCGAAGAACUCUAGGGUUGAACAUAUUUUUGUCUAUAUAAAAGAAAAGGAAGGAAGAAAGAAGUGUCAUCUUCCCUUCCUCUCUAAAAAUAAAAGAGGUAUCUUAUUCUGAGAAUGAAGUAAUUCGAGGAAUAAGCAAGUAUUAGGCCAUAGUCUGCUUUCGAUUAUUAUGAAUGGUGUAUCAAGAAUCAAUUAAGAUGUAAACUUAGUCCAAAGGAGAUCUUUGGUACUUGUACAAGACCAAGGAACUCAAAUAAUAUCUUUCUGCAGAUCAUUUUAAUCUCACUCAAUGGUUUUAGACUAUUGGAUUUAUGUAUGCAAAUAUAGCAAAGCAUUACGGAUAUAGUCUACAAAGAUAAUGCAGAUAACAAAACAAGCAAAAAAAAUUCAGUGGGCCUGUAAGUCAAGGCACGUAACCACUGUGCUAAAACCAUUGAUGCCUCCCUUCGUGCAGGUGCCACUAGCUGUCCACAAUUCCGGUGCACAAUAACCCUUUGCUUCUCAGCCCUCUGCACAUUAUGCAUGCCAGCAGGGAGAAGAAGAGCCAAACUUUAUCCUACUGCGGGAGCUUGAUAAAGGAAGAAGUUAGGGAACAAAGAGAGUGAAGGAUUUUGACACUUUUCUGUGUUGAUGUCCCAAUCAUGGGACUCCUACAACCCAUGUUCAGAGAAACAUUAGGCAUCAAUAGCUAGGGAUUCUAUCUAUCCAAUCCCCUCUCCCCCACAAUGUACCUUAUAAAUAUCUCAAUGGGGCUCUCCAAAUGUUCCAAAAGCACAUUCAUCUGUUACAUAUGUGACCAAAAAAAUAGAAUAACAGAAACGUUUUGAAACUUCAGGGAAUUCUCGAAAACCAAAAUACCCAGGAAAUGUGAGAUAGAAAUACAGAUAUAUAAGAAACUUAGAUAGCCAAAUUGCAACAAUGCUAUCAUUACUAAACUGAGAUAGAAUGUUUUGAAACUUCAGGGAAUUCUCGAAAACCAAGAUACCCAGAAAAUCUGAGUAGAAAUACAAAUAUACAGGAAACUCAGAUAGCCAAAUUGCAAGAAUGCUAUCAUUACUAAACUGAAGACCAAUAAGCAAGAUUACUUUCCUCACUAGGAUAUGUAAAAUGCUAUUAUCUAAAGGGAAUCUAUCUAUCUAUCUAUCUAUCAAUCUACCUAUCUGCCUAUUCAUGGUAAGGUGUGACAAGAUAAUAGCUGUCGGACACAGUUUUUGACCACCUAUCAACAAGUGAUGCCACCAGAAAGCCCAUAUCGAUCAUAAGAAAAGCUCUUCGUAACUAAUAAUUAUCCAAAAACUACCUACCCUCGGACAACAAGGGGUGGCGGAUCAAUCAUAUAUACCAACAACCAUCUUAUGCAGAAGGGGAGAAACAAAAUGGACUUGAAUGCAGGGCCGGCCCGAGCCCUAGGCGACUGAGGUGGUCGCCUAAGGCCCCGGGCCAAUGGAAGGCCCCCGGGAGGCUGACCAAACGAAAGCAAAGGCCCCCUAUAAAACGGGAUCAGGAGCUGGCUACGAGUCUUCCCCCUUGAUGGAAGGGAGGUGGAGAGUUUCCUGGCCUGCAGAGGGGCAAUUUGGAAAGUUGGGGACUGUAGUUUUGUUUUGGGUGGGGGGAGAGAGAGAGAGAGGAGGGAGGGUAGUUUUGGGUUNNNNNNNNNNNNNGGGGUACGUGUAGUUUGUUUUGGUUGGGGGAGGAGAGAGAGAGAGAGGAGGGAUUUGGUUGGCUUGAUAGACGCCUGAAGCCACUCUUAUCUUUCAUCCCUUCUCUUUUUUGGUUUUCCUUCCCUCACAUUACUCCUGAUCCAGCUGGGCCAUCCGGAAGAAAGAUAGGGGGAUUGGAGAUGGACUUCUUGGAGGGUAGAGAUUCUUUUAGUUUUCUCCUCUCGGUUUCUUCUCCCCUCUUGGGUGGUAGAGAGAGAAAAGGAGGGAGGGGGUUGAAUGGCUGCUGUGCUGUGAUGUUGCAGUUGCUGCUUGGGUACUCACUUGAAGGGGAGAUGGUGGGAUGGGACUUUUAUUAAUUAGAUGGAGUGAAUUUCCCAUAAUGACCCUACUUUCUCUUAUAGAGAGGUUCCUUUAUGGACAAAUUCUUUUACCAUGAAGUGCCAUGGGAUGACCUUUUCCUAUUCGGCUCUUGCUUGACAUGGUAAACAGUAUUGCCAAGCAUUAUCUCAGUUAUUUAAUCAGUUCAUGCCCUUCAUUUAGAGUAAUUACUUUUAUGUGCUUCCAUUCAAGAAUUAUAUUAAAUUGAAAAGGCUUCUUGUCUAUCUUUUUUAGAUUCAUGUAUCUUUGUUGAAAUAGUGUACUUGAUAGCUAUCUAUUUUCAUAUAUUUUUUUAAAAUAUUUUAUAUUUAUUAAAAAAAAUAUUAUUAAAAAAAAGAGGCCUCGUUCAUUGGAUUCGCCUUAGGCCCCAAAAUGUAUUGAGUCGCCCCUGCUUGAAUGAUUGUGGAUUGGGGUAUUUCUUCAUCCUCGAGGGAAAAGAACCUUGCAACCAAAGUCUGAUUGUUUCUAUUGUCAUGCUUGCAUAUCUUGGAAGAAUAUAGUAGAAUUAAAUCAUCAAAAAAAUUAAAAGUUUAUAGCUAAAAGAGCCUUAUUUUUCAAAAUGCUCUGUUUGAACCUAAUGUUGAUGCAAAAAUGCAAUUUCUGUUGAAAUUGGAAGUGUAAAGACUACCUAUCAUUAAACAAAAAAUCUCAGCAAGAACAUGUCUCAAAAAUUAGACACAAGCAUGAUUCCCAGCCUUCACAAGUCAGAUACUUCGUAAAAUGUAAACCAAAACAUUUCUUUAUGCGAACACAAGGGACAUUAUCAGUCAAGAUUGCAAUCUUCCAGAAAAAAGAAUCCUGAAAUGGAUCUCUUACCGUCACAAAGUUGGACCAAGAUUUUUGGAGACACAAACUCUAGCAAGCGACCAAGAAUCUGAACCCAUAGUGUUGCCUGCUCAUUUAUAAAAAAGAAUUUCAAGAUAGUCUAAAAAACUAAUGAACAUAAUUCAUGACGCCAGUAAUACUGCAUGUCAAGAUAAUAACAAGAUAAGCUUUAUACAAGCGACUCAGGGUAAGACAUAAUAGCACUUCCACUACAUCCAUAACCCUGAUAUUUCAUCAUGACUCAGAAACUGUAAGCCCAAGUAAAGAAUACUUACAUCAUGGCUCGGGAAUCACAUGAAUCAUGUUACGCACAUCAAUUUCAUAAUUAAAUAGAAAAAUACAUAAUUAUAACCAUGAUAACGAUAGAAAAAAGCAGCAACAUCAGGCUAACCAUAUAAAAAUCAAGCAAAUCUGGAGCGUAAAUAUUACUUAAUUCGGAUGCCCGUAGGCUUCUUGACGAUAUUUCAAGAAGGAGGGGAUACAAAGGAAAAGGACGAAAGAAACAGAGAGAGAAAUGAGGAACCCUGAUUUAUGCAGCAGAUCGGUAAAGAAAAGAGUUAACAGAACCCUAAACUAUGCAGCGAAUGGAAAAAAGAUUCAAGAGAAGGCAAGAGAAGGCGAUACCAAUCAGAGGGGAAGAAAUCGGGAAAGAAGAUGUCAAAGCGUCGUGGAGACGAGCGGUCAAAUAGAAGCGCUUGGAUUCACCGCCAUGAACGGGUACCACAAACAGAGAGAUCAGUGUGAGCAGAACACCACGCUCUUUUUAGGACCUUAUUAUCUCCUUCCGCCGCCAUCGCCCGCCACCGGCAACGGACUGGGCACGCGAACGAGGGGGCGGCUCGUGGAGGGAUGGGGCCGGGGUGGAGUGGGACAGAAGGAGGAGGAACGGAGGCGCUCGAGGAGCCCGGAGGUCGCCAUGGACUCGAAUCAAGAAGGAAUGGAUGAGAGGCACUCUCAUAAUCCAAUCGGCCGGUUUAUUCCCUGCCCAGGUGUAUCGCACCCCUCCGCGUCAAUCGCACGCGAGUAACCGUACCACGCACGAGGGACGUUGG